UAAGUCCUGCUGUCAUUUUUGCAAUGCUUAGGAAUUCUACAGGAUCGGAAUCCUUUUCGAAAGUUCUUUUUAAGUAAGACUUUAUUAGGCUGUUAGCUGACUUCAGUUUGUGCGCAGAAUCAUCAUUGUAUUUAAUCCUUGUGUUGUUGUUCAAUUUCGUGUAGCUUCGUUUUGCCAUGUUGGCCCUUCUAGGUUAUCAGUGGAACCUCCCAGACCAUAUAAAUGUGGGCUACCUUGGCUGAUCCUUUCUACUUUGAGAAUGUUUGUUUUAAAACCCCCCACUUUUUUACCUCCCAGUAGCAAAGGUUGAUUCCUGCUUAAAGUAUUCAUGUUAUGUUCUAAUAUACUCCUCUGGUGACACCAUCUGUAUGAUGUAUUUAACAUCCAUAUGAGUUUGUGUCUCAUGGAUUCUUGCGAUUUCUGUACGGAUUUUUGAGGAUUUUUGAGGUGAUGCAAAUCCUUGGGAGCUUCCAAAGAGAGCUUGCCUUGCUUCUUUCAGGUUUUUGGGAACCAACAGUCCGCCCCACACCCUCCAGGGUUUCUUUCAUUUUGGUGUGGCACCAUAUUUAUCUUCCUUAUAUUUUUUUCAAAGUUAUUCCAUUUGACUUUCACUGUGAAACGUACCCAUUUGUAACAUGCUUUAGUUUUGGUUUCUUACAUGAGUAGAAGUGAUACUUGCAGCAUUUUAGAAUAAUUGAAACUAAAUACAGGUUUCUUUCACUUUUUCUAUUAUAACACAUAUGUAAUCGCAUUAAAGUUUGUUGUGAAAAAUGUAAAUAUUAAAUUAAUUACAAAUCUGGUAACUCUUAAAACAAGUGAAAAAUCAUGAAUUAUUAGCAUAUUGUCCAUGAUCUAUUCUCUCUCUCUCUCUCUCUCUCUCUCUCUCUCUNNNNNNNNNNNNNNNNNNNNCUCUCUCUCUCUCUCUCUCUCUCUCUCUCUCUCUCUCUCUCUUGUUGCCUAAUUUCUUUGAAAUCUUUCUUAAAACCUGUAUAUGUGGUUUGUUUUUCAAUUUCAAAUUUGUAACUUCCCUAAGAUUGUCUGAAAUUUCUACCGGAAUAUGUCUUCUUGCCAUUUUUUAAUUUAAAUUAUCAGAAGUAGUGAGGGGACCUACAUAUCAACCUUGUCGCUAGUAGUUCGUUACUUGCUUAUGUACUAUAAGCAAGUGUCCAUAACAUUGUUGAUUCAGGACUAAGAUUCAAAAAUCAGGCCUUGAUUGUGUUUCAGCUGGCCAUAUGAGCUUUGUUUUCUAUGAAUUUGCAUGAUUUUUUAUCCAGUUUAGGCCAAAAAUAACAAAUAGUUUAAACAAUAAAACAAGCAGGAAAAAAUAAGAGAAGUAUAAAGUUUUAAGAUAUGCUUUAUUGUUCAAACUGGUAUAAAUACGUCCAGUGGUUUAUGAGCUGAAACUAUGCACUAGUCAUUAGAAAAUGAAAAAAAUAGUUAUAUGCUCAUGCAUUACAUCAUAUUAGACUAUAUUAUAUAUAUUCUCUUGGUUGAGGACAAUCAUAUAUGAGACAUCCUAAACAUCAAUAUAAGAUUUGAGCACAGGCCUUGCAAUCUCAAGCUAAAAUCUUGCAUUUUCAUUUCUGAUAGGCUUGAUCUACUUCGCAACUUUCAGCUCAAACCUUGCUAAUUCUUUACCAUCUGGCUUUGUGUGAGGAUUAUAUUAUUUGGUUGGUCUCUAAUGCCUUCUGAACCAACAAUGGUGGUGUUAUGUAGAAUAGAGAUAAAAGAAAACCACCAACUUUCUUAGAAUGGAAAUAUCAAGGCAUUUGUUUAUUAUUAUUGUUGUAACAGUUCUCCAGGUAUUACUGCAAGUUUUUUUUUUGAUGUUGCCAAUCAUCUUUUGUUAGAGACUUCCAAGAGAUAUUAGUAUAUUAAAACUUAACUGACUGCCUCAAGCAACAAUGCUAAAGAAUAUAGCAAUCUUAAGGAUAUGCAGAAUCUAAGGGAAACCUUAUAUAUUAUAUUCUUAAGUGGUAAAUGAAGGCUAAGAACUGUAUUUAAUCCUGACAUACGGCUGCUUAGAACUCAAAGUAGUUGAGCAGAUCACACAACACACGCAAACUAAAAAAUGAAAAAAGAACUAAAAAGGAGUUUUGAGCACCGAACUAUGAUUAUGGGAGUAAACAUAGUUAAGCAGUAUAAUUAGCAUUUAUCUUCAUGAUAAUUUUGCGAGUUGAUAUUGUUAGUAUUUAUUAUUACUUAAAGCUAAUCCUUUGAGCUUCUGGCAUAUUGAAUUCUUUUUGUGGAAAAUCAGGUGCAAGAAGAGGUGCAAAAUGCUCUUUACCGAUAUGUACUCUUAGCUCCAAGGUAAAUUUUGAAAAUCCUUUUUGGGGUUUGAGGCUCGAGCACUGUAAACCCUUUCCCAGUUGCCCAAUUUUAUAUUUUGCGGUUAAAUCCAUCAGAUGGAUUCGUAUUGUUCAUGACAUCUGAUGCUUUGAAUCCAUGUGUGAAUAAUUAUGAUGUCAUGAAUAUGAUGCAUAAAGGUAAAUCCAUAUGUGAAUAAUUAUGUAUCCAUAAAACAUUUUUGUUUGGAAAAUAUUAGUUCUUUACUCUUUGUUUCCUUAUAUGAAAGGAAAAUUACUACAAACCCCACCCAUAUAGACAUAAAGAGGUAAAACUAGUUCGCCAGAGUAUUUGAAUAAUUGUUUUUAUAUGAAAGCUACUAUCUGACGCUGUAAACCUAUUAUUUUGAUGCUCGCCAUUUCCCAUGUCAUGCACGUGCAUGCAUAUUAACAUAAUUGUUGGUUAUACAUAUUGUGGUGCAGCAAAAAAUUGCUUGUUUGACAAAUUUUUAGGACUAAAUGCUUUUUAAGCCAUUUGGAUGUUCUAAUUUGUGUAUUUGUGUUGUGCGUGGUGUAGACUGCCCCUAAACCAGAUCCCACCCACUGCUAGCAGGCAAUAUCGGCUGCAUUUCCAAACUAGUGUGCCUGAAACACUGUUCACAGGAAGCAGAAUAGAAGCUGAAGGCAGAAAGCCUGUUGAAAUUGUCAUCAUCGAUUCUGAAUCAAAUGAGAUUAUCACAUCUGGCCCACUAUCUGCAAUCAAGAUUGACAUUCUUGUUCUUGAUGGUGAUUUUGGUGCUGAUGGAAAAGUGGAAUGGACCGAAAAGGAGUUUGGUGACAGUAUAGUACGUGAAAGGGAGGGUAAAAGACCAUUAUUGACAGGGGACCUGGUAAUUACUCUGAGCAGUGGAGUUGGUCAUCUUGGUGAUGUCACUUUCACUGACAACUCCAGUUGGAUAAGAAGCCGAAGGUUCAGGCUUGGUGCGAGGGUUUCUCAAAGCAGAUGCACUGAAAAAGCAAGAGUUCAAGAAGCAAUAAGUAUAGCUUUUUUGGUGAAGGAUCACCGUGGAGAAUGUAAGUCUUCUCCUGUCUAAGCUCAACUGUUUGAAAUUUUAUUUAGGAAAGUGAUUGAAGCUAAAUUUAUUUGAGUGACAAUGAGAGCAGACAAGAGCUUAUGUCGGCAUUAUAUGCCAACAAGCAACAUAAAUACCACGUGCCAUAAAAAUUCACCAUUGCAAAUUAUAUACUGGAGUAACACUGCUAUUAUAUGUACAUGCUGCAUCUGCAGUUCAGUUGAUAAGAUAGCUUUUGGACUGAUCGCAGAUAAGCUCUAAUAAAGCUUGAGCUUUUACAGAGGGUGUGCCAACGCUUGGUACGCCGAACCGGCUCUUGUACUGGGCGUACCAAUAUAGUAAUAGGGUGGCACCGGUAUGAAGGCCGGCUCCGAGACGGCAUACUAGAAUUCUUUGCUUGUUAUUCUAAUUGACUUUUGCUGCAGCUAUUUCUUAAGAAUAUAUUCUUAGCUGUACCAAAAUUUAUUCUUAUGAAUGAAGUAUCAGAAUAUUGAAUCUGGAAUACAUAUUAUAUAGAAUCUUUUGUGUCAUCAUUUUUUCUUAGUUUUAGCUGUCUAAACCUCAUCUGUUGAUUUUACAUCUGCAGAAUGCUUUGCGAUUUGAUUGUUUGCAGUUAUGCAUAUGAAUUAUAUUAUUUGGACCUUGUUGUUAUUUCCUUUUCUUGCCAUUCAUAAUCAGCUAUGGCAUGCCAAACACCUAAUUGCAUAUCUAGGUAUCAGGACUUGACAUUUGUCGUCAUUAGGUUGAUCAAAGAGGAUGGGAACUGAGAAAAUUUAAGUGAAACAUUUAUGUGGAUAUUAUCUGCCUAAUAUAUAUACCUUCUAGUAUAAUAUAUUUGUGCAACUGCUUGGUAUUGACUAUUGAGUCAUCUUCCCAAUAAUGUCAUGGUAUGCGCAUGCAUUAGAUUUUUGAAGGUUAUGUAUAGCUUUUUGUAUCGAAUAUGGAACUGCCGCUGCUAUUACCAUCUUGUCAUGCUCCGAUUUAUCAAAAAUUUAAAAGUUCCUUCUCUAUAAGUGCCAUAUGUGUAUGAUUGGGGUAAUAUUUUUUCUUUUUUAGCCUGAAAGUCCUUUCCUGUGAUCUGCUUAAAGACACAGAUAACCUUGAAACCAAUUUUAGAAAAUUAUUUAAUUGGAUGUAAAAUUAACGAUUGUUUAAGAUAGGUAUUCAUAUAAAACAUUUUGUUGGCAUGGCCCAGUUCUGGCAUAUCUUACAUAAAUUCGUGUUACUCUUCACUGUAUGCCAGUAGCAUAUGCUUUUAAGAGUUCUCUUUUGUCCUAAAAGAAAACUAAUUACAUUCAAAACUAAUUCUGUUCUAACUUUAUUCUAAUUUCAGUGUAUAAAAAGCAUCAUCCUCCUUUUUUGGGGGAUGAUGUGUGGCGUCUGGAAAAGAUAGGUAAAGAUGGUGUUUUCCAUAAAAAGCUUGCUGACAAUGGGAUCAACACUGUCCAAGACUUCUUAAGGAACUUGGUUAUGGAUCAAGACAGACUACGCAGUGUAAGAUAGCCAUAUUAAGUAGUUCUUUUGAGAGAUAUCCAUGCACAAAUUUAUAGUGCUAACGUUCUUUGCUUCCUUCCUGUAGUUCCUUGGUAGUGGGAUGUCAAACAAGAUGUGGGAUGCAACAAUUGAACAUGCUUGGGAUUGCGUUCUAGAUGACAAGAUUUACUCCUACUGCGAUGGACAGGGAAUCAUGCUUCUGUUCAACUCUGUAUAUCGGCCUGUAGGGGCAAUGCUUCACCAUAUUUUUUACCAGUUAGAUGAACUUCCUCCAACUCAUAAGGUAGAUUAUCAUGAUCCAGAAAAUUUAUGUUUUUGUCAAGCUAUUUACAUAAAUCUGCUAACAAUUUUUUUAACCAUUGUUGUCUGACCUUUUACUUUACGCAGCAUCUGUUUACUCCCCCUUAAUUCACUUAUGACAAACUUCCUUAAACCGGUGCUUGUGCCUUUUGGUCUUGUAUAUUGAAUUUACAUUACUAAUAUAUUCAGUUUUUCAUUUUGCAAUAUGGCUAUACUGCACUACUUAGUCCCGCAGUAUACGUUGGUUGGGGCCAACCUAUGCUGAUUAAUCGGUUUAAAGAAAUUCUCACAAAGAGACUCGACUGGCAAAACUUGAUCCUGCAUGUUUUAUGCAGCGGUCCUCAGCUUAUAGACCAAGUGAUGCAUCCAGGGAAACUUGAAAUGGCACUGUGCAGUGGAUACUAGUUCUUUCUCCAGCUUGUUGUGCCUUCUAUAAAUUUCUGCAUUCAUUUAAAAAUAAAUUUUCUUAUUUGUAUGCAGGCAGUGGUGAACAAAUUAAAACAAGAUGCGUAUAGAUUCCCAAACCAUAUACUCGAGUAUCGUGAACAACUGCUUGACAAUCGACCCAGACUGUUACCUACCGUUCCAGCGUCAAGCAUGUUGGACCCACAGAUUCGCAACCUCCCUGCCACAAAUCAAGGUAAGUGGAAUCAGAGCGCUUGAUGAGCCCGUCUCGUCCUUCACUCUUAGGCCUCCUUCAUAUUGUGGCCAUCCACUGAUGUCGUGACUUUUGACAGAUGAACCUUCUGAUCAAGUGUGCCUUCUGCAACGCGCUAGCUCACCAGGAAAUGAAUUCUUUGAAGAGCUAGCCCCAGGGAGAGACAUGUUUACUUCUGGGCAGUUCGCUCAUAUGGUUCAACGGCUGGAUUCCUUCCCACCAAAUAGUUUCGGCAUGAGGGAUUUCUGCGAUAUGCCGUGUGGCAAUUUCCAGAUAAGUGGGUCAGCCGGGCCUGCCGUAACAAGCGAGCACAUGAUGGGAUAUGCUCAAGAGGUUGGUACGUUGAGCUCUUCUCCCCGUCCCUUGCUUUGGGAUCAUAGUAAUUCCUUAAUUCAGACAUCAAUUGGCGAAACAAGUAGAAGCUGUGCACCUCGCAUGUCUGCUGUUGGUGCUCCCAUUACAUCAAGCAGAUGGAUCAAGCUAAUAGCAGCUCUGAAAUGGUUAGCAAUUUCGAGGCGCAGUGCUGCCAGAAGGGCACAGUCUCUGGAUAUCGAUUACCCGGCAGCAACUAUAGGUACAUGGAUUGAUGCACGCGGAAGAGGCUGGUGAGGUGGAGGGCGUCAUGGCAAGUUCAUGCAAAACACUUUCACGUUCGUCUUGAGAGCUUUGAACCAUGCUUGAGAUGGAGCCGAAACAGAGGAACUCAGUCUCUCUCCUGCAGAGGAACCUUUCUUAGAACUGUUUGUCAUGUGGCAGUAAAUUAAUUUAUUUAACUUGUUCAGUUUCUGUAUAUUGGAUAACCGUAGUGUAGGGGAGAAGUAGUUUUAGCUUGCGACUGUUCUUGGAUCUGCACAUAAGUUGUGUGUGUCAUUCAGUAUUUAUAUGUUCAACUGCUUUUAUUUGUCAGCACACUCUUGUUGGAGCUCUUUUCGCCUUUUUCCCGAGUUGUUCCUGCCUUCCUUGGACUCCACUUUGUUCUAUGCUUUGUCGGACUGCAAAUCAUAUGUAAAUAGGGAACGAACUGUGUCGUUUCAAGGGUCACCAUAGUUCUACGCCACCCCCCCCCCCCCUCCCACCGGGGUAGAGAGUCAUCAUGACUAGCGAAGAGAAUAGGAGGAAAUGGAGAAAUUUCUACGCCACAUUCCGUGAUGCUCUUCAUCGCUGUCCGUCCAUCUUACCAGCUCGCAUUAUUUCAGUAGGUGGCAACUCUUUGGGUUACUCGCAAGGCGUGAACCAACAUGACGUGCUAAAAAAGCACGGGAAUCCCUCCCGCAUAACGCCAACUCUCUCGGCCUCGGCUGCAAGGGAUGUCGCUCAUGGAUUCCUCUCUUCUUCCCACUUUCCAAGCUAAUUCGGUUCCCAUCGAGCCCUAUAUUUCUGGUGCUGGCUCAUUGCAAGCCGCAUCCAAGAGUGCUUAUCCACCAUGGCCAUGACGCUUGCUGAUUUGUGCCACUGCCACAGAAUCCCCCGGAGCUCCGACGUCAGCAUCGGGCUGGCCUUGUUCCUCGUGGUUCUAUCCGUGGUUUGUGGCCUCUUCACCUUUGUCUUAUGCCUCGCUGCCGAGGGCUCUAGGACUGAGGUAACAAUUAAAAUAUCCCAUGUGAUGCACAGAUUCUCCCCGGUUAAUUAUGAUCAUGAUAGCCGUAUUUAAAUCUGGUUAUUAACUUUCCUCUGAAUGCAUAAAGUCUGUAUCACCCUGUGACUCAUCAUGAAUACAUUGUCAGGCCACCCGGUAUAUCCUGAGCAACUGGGGUCAUGGCAGCGACGCAUCUGAGUGCAUCUACGACGCCAGUGGUCUCCGACCACUGGCGUUUGCUGUGGGUGCAUUCCUGUUGCUUGUGGUGGCCAUGUUCGCAGAACUUGCCUACAUGUUGGUUGUCAUCACAAGUCCUCAACCGCCGACAUUGGUAAUACCCUCGCCAGCUCCAUCAACGGUAAUGCUAACCUCGACAUCACGCAUAAGAACUCUUGCACGGCAGGCCCGUUUCCUUUUUCUCGCAACUUGGUAAGCAGAACCUUCAACCAGUGCAUCAGAAUUCAAAAUGCACCUAUCAUCAAUACACUGCCAUAGCAUCCAACCAUCGAAGCCUGCAUGCAGAUGUGGUUUGAGUGCGUUAAACAGGGCAUUGAAACCUCGACCCUUUGUAUUGUACUUGCAGGAUCAGUUUUGCCAUUGCUGAGGUGCUUCUGAUGUUUGGUAUGGCCGUGGAAUCAAGUCAUAUAUGCCAAUGGACAAAGCCAAGGUCCAGCUGCCAUGUAGUUCGACCAGGGUUAUUUGCAGCAGCAGGAGUUCUUGGAUUUCUAACGGUCCUCCUUGGAAUCGCCCUGUAUCGGACACAAACAUGGCACCAAUAUGCGCACAGGCGCCCAACACCAAGCGCACCGCCAGCACAGUGAGGGCAAAUGAAAGCCAGCCCCCACAAGAGACUCCGUCACCCCGACAAGACCUCAACAUCAGCAUCACUUGAAAUGGAUUUUGGGUAAUUACACAACCAUGUGCCCUGCAAUCGUUUCGCUGUAAUUGGAUUCAGUAUAAUCCAUUAUUUCACUACUUCAUAAGCUUGGAGCCCUCAAAACCAAAAGCCUGAGGCUGCCGAGCGCAUAGACAACAGGAUUUUCCUGCAAAAUAACACUACUAUGCCAUGAGUAUUCCAUACAAAUUUCCGAGUGGUUAGCGAUCAAACUAUCCCAAUCUGAGAGUGCACUGGAGUUAGUUCACCACCAAACAAUAAAGUGGCAACUUACAGAAAGCAUCAAACAGCUUAUUCAGCUCACUUUUUACAUGUUACCGGCAAACCACCCCAAGUAACCGAAUACUUGCAUUGCUUGGAGAGAGCAUAAAAAUAUUUCACCAUUCUUUUCGCCUGGACACUGUCGACUGGCUUAGUCGUUUUCCUUCCAUGGCGUCCUUCUUUCUCCUGCACUCAACACAGAGGUAAGGGCCCUCAGAUGAUCUUGACGUGGGUGAAAAGUGUGUGCCCGCAGUGGCAGAUAAACCCUCAUUUGGUGUUUGAUCCAUUUGGCAUAUUGCACACCGGAAAGGUGAUGAAUUCGCCUUCAAUGGGAAAUUUUUCCCCAAUCUACAUGAAAGCAGGUUUAGAGUGAGCAUCUACUCUAACGCACAAAUUGACAAUCAUAUUAUGCUGAACAUAAAUGGAAACCAUGCUAGGGUCAAGUGAAACCAGAUCCCCUGGUUGACUGGACACUCAACAACACAAAUAAUAAUCUUAAAGUCUACAAAGAGGCUUUUGUCACAGAAAAAAUCUACUUGUAAAGUCAAAUAUACUGCAACGAUGACUAACACACAGUAAAUUUUCAUCAAAUCAACCACAUUCAUUCGAGUUACGAUACAAAAUAGUUAUACGUUAAUCAGUUAAACUAGGUUGAUAAAUUAACUUUCCAACCAGAGCUAGCAGUUGUUGGCAUCUUCCAUAUUACAUCACAAAGAAUUUCUUGGCCCUCUUUGUAUGCACCGAGAUUCCUCUUUCAAGCUUUCAAUAAAUUGAGUUGACCCAUUUACAUGAUCACAUUUGCAAGUUCAUUAUACAAUAGCACCAUCAAAAACUCAGAGAGAAGAAUAGGACCUAGAGCCACCAAAGUCCAACUUGAUAUCCUUCAAUGGUUCAACCUUUAGCAUGAAUGAUGCAUAGAAAGAGAAAUGAGCAAGACAUCUCUGCCAGAUGGGCAUCUCAUUUGUUAUACACAUAUACAUGGAUCUUCCCAAUGAUUUUGUUGAAAUAUGGAUACAGAUUACCAUAUUACAAGUUUUGGGGAAUGAGAUGUGUGACAUCAAAAUUUAAAGGAUGACUAUAAAAUGAUAGAUGACCUUAUUGACAAGAUUAAGAGUAAUAAAAAUGUGUAGCUAUGGUGCUGUCCUGAAAGCAACAGUAGGCAGGAUCAAAGAUUUGAGAGAAUAUACCUCAGAAAAAUUAGAGCCUUCUGGUCAAGAUCAUAAAAUAAACUUCAAUUGCAGCUCUCUGGGAAUCUAGGAUACUUCAGAAAUUUAGCAGUGGAAAGAAGUGCUGGUAAUAUGGUUCAUACAGUGCUUUCACACAAAACAAUUUAGUGUUUCCACACAAAACAGGUACUUUCCAGAAUCUAAUGUUUUCCACAUAGAAGAGGUGCUUUCCAGACAAAAGAGGUGCUAGUAAUAUGAUUCAUGUAGUCCUUUUCCACACAGAAAAGGAAAGUUUGUACCUUUAAAAAUUUAAGACACAUGCCAAAGAAUUAUCGGAUGUAAGGAGGGGGAAUUACCAAAAAGACUUGCAACUUCAGGCAAACAGUUUGGGCAGUUGGCUCACGAAUAGGCGAUGUCAUUGUUGUGAAAUCGCGAACAUCAUCAUCAAUUCAUAGAUCAGGCUUCUCUAGUUCUCUCAAAUGUUGUCGCGUAAAAACCAACUAGUUUUAAUGUUCGAAUAUUCAAGGCAUAAGGCUACAAGUUCUGUGAGACACAACUAUGUCUUGAUAAAGAGCGCCAUUAGAAACCCACUUUUGCAAUAAAUUACGAGCAACAAAUAAGAAGCAUUGUGAUCGUAACUUAUCCAUCUCGAGACAUGACCUUCUCUAAUGCAAAAUCAAAUUUUUGAAAAAAGGUCGCCUGCCUACCCAACCAAAACCCCCUUCUGGACAAAUCAGAAAGCUUUCCAACUUAGCCUUCUAAGUGCCAAGUCAAAAGACAACCCUGAUCUAUCUAGAUCUUUUUAGCUCUAACAGAAUCCUUCUCCUCCAUGCCAAUAUCACAAGUUUCAUAACAGGUUGGACCUCAUCCAACUACUAAUAUGAUUUAGAUUGCCACCAUCUUAUAGAAAUAUUAUGAAAUGAACAGCCCUCUGCAUCACUAUAAACAGACACGUAAUUCAUUGAAUCUUGUACUUCCAGAACGAUGGUAAAGAACUUGGUAACAAGUAUUGUUACAAAAACAAAUAAAGAAAUCAUGCAAAUAUAGGACCAUUGAUAAGGGUGUCCAAAACUUCACUAUUGAGCGUGUUAAUGUAUUGGUCACCCAUUUUCACCUGAUAUACUUCAGGGACUUGAGCCAGCCUCAUUUCCAAAUGUAUAAAGUAGCUGCUUAUCUAUUUUGUCCCUAAAAAGGAUUUAUUGUUUCAAUUUGAGGUAGUAACCAGAUCAUGAAGGUGGUUACAAGCAUAAAAAAGGCCUUAUUGGCCAACCUACAAGUCAAUGUAUUGUUAGAUAGUUAUCUAUAUGACCAAUUUCGCCAAAAUAUACCACGAUUGCUACAAAAUAUAUAUGGAACUACAUCCAUGUCAUGACAUCUUUAAUUCAUACAUGAUAGUUUAACUUUAAGCAUAAAAUUUAAACUUUACCCAGCUCAGAAAGUAAUUCAGAUGAUUUAUGUGCAUUUAAACAGCACUGGCUUCACCUAAGAUUUCAUAUCCAUCACAUCCAUGUUUCCUCCCAAGAAACAAAACCUUAAAUAGGCUACAAGAAAUAAUAUCCUUCAAACCUUCACUCAAGGGGAUGCAAGAAAUGACAAUGUAAUUGACUAUUUCUAUUUCCAACUUUGCAGCAAAUAUGGAACUAAAAAAAUAGAAAGGUCUUAUUUCACUACAUCUCAAAAAUGAUAGAAAGUAUUAAAUCAAUCCAUGUUUAUGAUUUUGUAGCACUAUUUGAUGGUAUCCACAUAAACAAAUCUUCCAACCAGAUGCUUUCUUUGUCCAUGUUUCUAAGAUGAGGUCCUUGCUAAAUGGCUCCUAAAAUCAUAUGAUGCAAUUUCCCUCCUCUCCUCUCCUUUUGCAUGAUGUCGAAUUGAUUUUGGGUGGGAGGUCCCCAACUCCAACUUUGAUUCUAUCCACCUACUACUGCUUUGCUCUCUUCCUCCCAUAUUUGAUCGAUACAUCAUAUCCAAGUCCUUGUAGAACAACAAAAACUAGAAACCAUCUAGAGUAUAUCCACAUCCACUAGCAAAACUAUAGUAUUAACUUUUAGAGAAUUACCACACUAGUGCGUUUGAACACCUAAAAAUUUUGGUGACAGUGUUUAUGCCAUUUGAUUAAUAGGAUUUAGAAAUAGUGCACAAACGUUUCAACCCUUCGUUGUGCAUGUUUGGGAGUGUGUUUGCACUCGUCAAAAGUGAUUCUGAGUCCAAAAGCAUAAUUUUGAGUGUUUGGCUACAACCCAAAAGUAAUUCUUAGCCAUGUUAAAAAUCCUCCAAAAUGUAGUUUACGUAAAGCUGACCUUCUCUCGUUUCCCAUGGACAAGGGCCUGCAAGCUUAAUAUCGCAUUUGCGGGAAGUCAUUUAUUUUAAGAAAAUAGCACAUUGUCUCUCGAUGCCCUCGCAUCUCCGCUCCUUCCCAACUCCCCAACAUAUCAGAACAUCUUUUCUUCAGAUUAAUUUCCUCCCAAAAGGAUCAACUCCUCAUCGGAGAUCAUUCCCUCUAUACCGGCAAUGGCGAUGCAGCAGUGGAUCUUAGCCAAUUCCAAAGGCCAUCUCCCUCUGUUUUCCCCCCUCUUAUAGCAAUAAUUUCUCCUCUCAGUCUUCCGGGACCUAGAGCUCCCAGCACAAAACCCUCUGCCCGUCCUCAACGAUCCACGUCCGUCUCCUUUCCCUCGUUUCCAUGAAUUUCAAUCCAUUCCGAGUACCUAGGGUUUGGUUUCAUCUUUCUUUCAUUCGAUCAAGCUCCAAAGCCUCAUCGUUCUUUAUUGGUUUGCUCCGAUCUCAAUUAUUUACCUGUUUGUGUUCCUUUUUUUAUUCGAAAUUUGGGUUUAGAAAGGCAUUGUUUUCAUUCUUGGAGAACAUUGUUAGAUGUUGAGGUUUCUUGUGCAGCUGAUUUCAUACUAGAUUUCUCAUGGAUCUGAAGAAUGCAACUUUAUGUAGUUUGAAGAACAAUAGAAUAAUAAGGAUAGUUUCCUCCCUGUUUAUUUACAAGUAUCAUGAAUGUUCAUGCAUCUCGAUUGUAAGUAUCAGGCAUCAUUAAUGUUCGGGCAUCUUGAUUGUAAGUACUGGGUUGGUCUAUCAGUCCUCCAUAUAAAGAACAACAGAUGCUGCUGGAUGAUUUCACAAUCAAGGUUGCUGAAUUCUACCUACCACUGAGAAUCAAGGCUUCUCCUCCUCUUCUUCAAUGUUCUUGGUUGCUGAAUCAAGGUUGCUGUUUUAUUUUUGUCAGCCCCUUUUCUCCUCUCUUGCUUUUAUUUGGUGAAGAGGAGCUUGCUGUCAGACUGCUGAAGCAUCUUGCUUCAAACUCUAAAUUCUAUCAGCCUCUUCUUUGUUUUCACAGUUUCAAACACUGCUUUUGGCCAAAAGCUACAGCUUCCCCAAACAAAUCCAUUGACUUUUAUGUUGCUUAGUAGUACUUAGUACUUUUUUUCUCGAUUAUGUUCUAAUAAACUGUAUUCUUGGCUGCUUUGUCGGCAAAUUCUUUGGACUAAAAUGCUUGACAAAUCACUGUAUAUGUCCUAUAGGUUGAUGCAAUUGGAUGUUUUGUAUUUAUCCUGGUCAUCGCAGUUGCUAGUCUACAGAAACUUUUGCCAAUAAUGUCACACAUCAAACUUGGAUACUCUCUACUUGUGAAUUAUGGAUGAUGGAAAAAAUAAAUAUCACUUUGAUUUGAACUGCAACGCCAUUAGCAUGAUAUUUAUGGAAACAUCUUGCCAACAUGACACACAUCCUCUUCCUCAUACAGUUGUAAGCAUUGGCAUACCAUAGAAACUAAAACUAUAUCAAAGCCACACAUACACCUUGUUUUGUUACAAUGUUAUCUUGAUCAACCAACACAUAUGAAUAUGUAAACCACAUCCUGUUUUUAUUAGUCACAAGAUCCAAGAGAUACCAAUAUGCUAGAUCUACUCAAAGGGCCUUUGAUACAUGGACACUCUACCUAAGAUACUAAGAUCACACUGGGGACUUGUACUAAAAUGUAACAAACUAUGAGAUAAAUUAGUUUGAUAUGUGAAGGACAGCUCCCCUCUUAUUAAGUGACUGAAUAUGACCAUAUAAUGAAUACACAAAUCUCAUAUUUUACAGUAUAUAAAAUUAAAGGCUAAGAGGUAUUUAGAUUAAACAUCAAAUGUAACACAUAAAUGAAGCAAUUCUUUAGGUGUGCCCACAUAAGCCCUAAUACUUGAAUUUGUAAAUUAUAUUCUUGAUUGCUUGAUAUCUACUUGAAGCCAAUUAGAAUUUCUUAGAAAGAAAAAGGCUCUUGCUUUAUGCUAUGGUUUGUGAAUCAUUGAUUUGAGGGUGGGAGGCACACUAAAGUUCACAGACAUGAUAGAACACAACUGUUAGUUGGGAAACUGAUGUAGGAACAGUUACAUGUGAAGAAAAAAUUCUCAACGUGGUAAUCAAGGUACGACGUUGUGAAGAAUGGAAUGCAUAUGGGAAACCAUUGAAAAUCAUCAGGUAUCUUUUUGCGGUAUGUCGAUCUUUCCUGUCACAUAAAUUUCUUAAAACUCUAAACCUCAGUCACAUGCCCAUCCAAUCCCCUCGUUAGAAAAAACCAGAUUUUGUUUACCACAUGGGUUCCUGUCACACAUCAAACUUGGAUACUCUCUACUUGUGAAUUAUGGAUUAUGGAAAAAAUAAAUAUCACUUUGAUUUGAACUGCAACGCCAUUAGCAUGAUAUUUAUGGCAACAUCUUGCCAACAUGACACACAUCCUCUUCCUCAUACAGUUGUAAGCAUUGGCAUACCAUAGAAACUAAAACUAUAUCAAAGCCACGCAUACACCUUGUUCUGUUACAAUGUUAUCUUGAUCAACCAACACAUAUGAAUAUGUAAACCACAUCCUGUUUUUAUUAGUCACAAGAUCCAAGAGAUACCAAUAUGCUAGAUCUACUCAAAGGGCCUUUGAUACAUGGACACUCUACCUAAGAUACUAAGAUCACACUAGGGACUUGUACUAAAAUGUAACAACAAACUAUGAGAUAAAUUAGUUUGAUAUGUGAAGGACAGCUCCCCUCUUAUUAAGUGACUGAAUAUGACCAUAUAAUGAAUACACAAAUCUCAUAUUUUACAGUAUAUAAAAUUAAAGGCUAAGAGGUAUUUAGAUUAAACAUCAAAUGUAACACAUAAAUGAAGCAAUUCUUUAUGUGUGCCCACAUAAGCCCUAAUACUUGAAUUUGUAAAUUAUAUUCUUGAUUGUUUGAUAUCUACUUGAAGCCAAUUAAAAUUUCUUAGAAAGAAAAAGGCUCUUGCUUUAUGCUAUGGUUUGUGAAUCAUUGAUUUGAGGGUGGGAGGCACACUAAAGUUCACAGACAUGAUAGAACACAACUGUUAGUUGGGAAACUGAUGUAGGAACAGUUACAUGUGAAGAAAAAAUUCUCAACGUGGUAAUCAAGGUACGACGUUGUGAAGAAUGGAAUGCAUAUGGGAAACCAUUGAAAAUCAUCAGGUAUCUUUUUGCGGUAUGUCGAUCUUUCCUGUCACAUAAAUUUCUUAAAACUCUAAACCUCAGUCACAUGCCCAUCCAAUCCCCUUGUUAGAAAAAACCAGAUUUUGUUUACCGCAUGGGUUCCAAUGCUUGGGUGCACAAAUGUUUUUUCCCUAAUAACAAUUACAAUGCUAUAUCUAGGCUUGCAAGAAUCUAAGGCAUAAAGGUUAACAUUGCGAUGCAGACACCACAGCAAUUAAUCGAUCAUUUCUAUUCAUUUAGGACCAUUUCUUUUAUACUUAUUCUAAGAAGCUAGGUAUAAGUGCGUAGGGAAUGAGUUUACCUUCUGAAAUGGGGAGAAUGCACAUCCCAACAAAGCAUUUUACUAAAGCAUACUUCAUCAUGGGCAACCAUGGAUGAUUUAAUCAAAAGACUAGCUAUAGGAUCUUACAAAGUGAUCUAUAAGCAAAUAUGCUUAGCGUAGUCUAGAACCUCAUCAUCUCUAACCUACCUAGCCCAUGCACCCUUUAUUUGUUUGGAUAAACACUGCUCACUUUUUUAUAAGUCCCCUCACUCCAACUCCCAAAAAAAAAAAGAUCUCUUCUUAAAGGGGUGCCAGCAGUUGUCUUGAAGACAAAAAUCAAAUUUCAUGAAAGACAAAAGGGUCUUAGCAAUGCUUAUAUAAUGGUCAGGGAGUUUCAUCAAAUAGACACGAAUACAGGAGUUCCACAAACAUAAUAUGAUGCUCUAUCGAAAGGGUUUAAUAUGGUUCUAAAUAUAAUUUGAUAAUAGGAAAGCAUGGAAGAAUUUGUUUAACACUACAAAAUUUACAAAUUGCCAUGCAUUAUGAGGUGCUAUUAGAAAAGGAAAACAAGCUAAUGCUUCCAGCCCAUCUCGUAAAAAAUAAUCUCAACAAGAAUUACGAAUUUCUGGAUGAAAAUAGCGGAAGAUCUUUUUGCUCGCAAAGGAAAGAAAUUCAUUAAGCUAUUUGGAAAAGACAUUCCCAGCACAAAUAACGCAACCACUUGAGUUAUGAAGCAUAAUAGGUUAUAUAUCAUAACAUCAUUAACAACAAAAUGGGAUCCUAGAUGGGAUUCAAUGAAGUCACACCUUUCUUCCAGGAUUGCAGAACCCUCUUCAAAUAGUUCCUCGACAGCACCAACUGAUGAAAGUUUGUUCGUAUGUUUACCAACAGUGUUCUGCGACUUUUUCCCAAAAAGAAGAGAUGUAAACUUAUUCUGAUGCUUUUUUGGAGAUGAUGGUAGGACACAGCAAUCAGAUGAAGGUGGAAUGAUAUCAACAACUAAGCAAGUGGUGUCAUCUUUCAAGCCACUUGUUCUCAAAGCUUCCUAAAAAAACCAAAUCCACAAGAAUUAAGCAACGUGAGCUUAAAAAAAGCACUAAAACAAAUAUCUAUAAGUAAAAAGACGUAAGCCAUUAAUGAUUGGCAUCACCUUAACAACAAGCUUUGCAGCAAGUUCUGCAGGUAUCCCUCGGCACGCCUUCGCAGCCACCUCUGACGACAGAGCAUCCCAUAUGCCAUCUGACGCAAUUAUUAGCCGUCCUCCGGUUCUUGAAAGCUAACCAUCCAAUCAACAACAACAAAAAAACUAUUAUUCCAUGGGAUAUGGAAUACAACAAAACACCAAGUUUGAUUUACACUCACCUUCACUUGCUUAACAUGUGGUAUCGGGACGAUGAAUUCACCCACAUCUGUAUCACCUAUUGACCUUGAAAGGCACAAACCACCCGGCCAGCAGCGGAGCGGACCGACCUGAGAAGGCAGCACAAAACAAGUUUGCACUUCCCCAUCAAGAAAUGAACUUUGAUCAUAAAAUUUGCAACAGAGUUUCUUCAGAUUGUAUACCUCCUGCCCGCCAGAGAGAUUAAGCCUUCCAACCUCUCCCCCACUAGCAGUAACACGUUCCCUUUCCUCCGCAUUCUCUUCCAGCCUAUGAUCGACGGUCAGCAAAGAAACCACACCACCCUGUGUAUCCAGUAUGCACCGCGAGUCGCCCACCGAUGCGACCGUCACCCUCCACCCAUCAACCACAACAAGGGUCACCGUCGUCCCCGAAGUCUCCCCUGAUGACAACAAUCAACGAUCGGAUUUUUCUCAUCAGAUAAACAAAAACCAACAGCAGGGCACGCAUCAAGACUUGCCUUUGCGCUGGAAAUCUAUAUCCGUCCUCACGAAGCCGGCAACCAGAGCCUGCGGAAGGGCCUGGAGCCACUCCUCCCUGCCCAGCCCCGGAGGAAUCGCACUCAUAACAUUGUCCAAGAGAUGCUCUUUCGCGAACACGGCCGCAGACACUCCAUUGUGCCCAUCGAAGAUCUACAGACAAACAUUGAUUCCCGUAAUCGAAACCAAAAAGAAUAUACAAGAAACGGGAGGAAGUUAAAGGAGAUGGCGAUGAUACCGCGAAGACGGAGAAGGAGGAGGAGGAGUUGCCGGGGAUCCGGAGGCAAUCAGGCUUGAUGAGGAAGUAGUCCUCGCCCCGCUUGGCGAAGGCGUGGUGGCCGCACUUGAGGGUGGGCUUCUCGGACUUGUCGCCGCGGAGCUCGCGGCCGAUGAGGGUGGCGAGGGGGACCAGGGGAGGUCUCAUGCUCGGAUCCCGGUGCCGCCGGGCGUCGGUCAUUAGCGACGACUCCGCGGUCUCCUCAAAACCCUAACACAUGCUCGUGCCGGUCCUUCGAAGACCAAUCUCAUCUCAAAAACCGUAUAUUUCUUCCACCACUCGGAUCAGAAAACAUAGAGUAAAAGAUCAAGAAACGCAUCGAUGGAAACCCUAGGCGAGAUCGGCGGAGGGGAUCGGAGGCCCCAAUGCCGGUCGGAGAAGUCGAUCUCGGCGAUGGAGGAAUCAAGAAAAAGGAAAGAGAGGGAGGGAAGGAGAGUGGGCGUGGGGCCCAAUGGGGGCGAAGAUAUCGAGGAGGGAUAGCGAGAGAUCGACUGAGCCCACGGGUUCGGGAUUUGCGAAUUGUGGCAGAAAAAAUCCGAGAGAGGGAGGGAAGGGUUGGGGGGAAUGGGAUGUCGGUACCUACUGCGGAGGCCAAGGAGGGGAAGGGACCUGCGUCGUCUCUGUUCUGCGGCACCGUAGAAAAAGGAGAGACAGGGAGAGAAAGUAGUAAUGAUGGAUAAAAUACGGGGGAAUAAAUUUUUAAAAGAAACGAGAAAGAACGGGAGAAAGAAAAGAGUUGGUAUUUUGUUUUGGUUUGCAGCGGGAGUGGGGGCUGGGGGAGGGGCAAGGGGGAAGGUGUUUCGAUUUCUGCUUUGCUUUUCCAGCUGCGCAUUCAACUUUCUCCCUCUCUCUCUCUCUCUCCAAUCGCUAGAAGCUGUGUGCGGGGUGGUUCUAUAUACACCCCCCCUAUUGCUAAGGACACCCCCCAAAAACCAAAAAGAAAAAACCCAAACUAACCUUUAGUGUAAUUACCAUAUUGCCCUUGAAAUUUUCUCAUACAUCCCCCUUCCUCCUCCUCCGUUUCGUUUUGAAAAGAAAAAAAAAAAACACCCCUCGAACCCCCCUUAAACCCCUCAAUCCAUUUACAUCGUUUAGGCGAUCUUUGNNNNNNNNNNNNNNNNNNNNNNNNNNNNNNNNNNNNNNNNNNNNNNNNNNNNNNNNNNNNNNNNNNNNNNNNNNNNNNNNNNNNNNNNNNNNNNNNNNNNNNNNNNNNNNNNNNNNNNNNNNNNNNNNNNNNNNNNNNNNNNNNNNNNNNNNNNNNNNNNNNNNNNNNNNNNNNNNNNNNNNNNNNNNNNNNNNNNNNNNNNNNNNNNNNNNNNNNNNNNNNNNNNNNNNNNNNNNNNNNNNNNNNNNNNNNNNNNNNNNNNNNNNNNNNNNNNNNNNNNNNNNNNNNNNNNNNNNNNNNNNNNNNNNNNNNNNNNNNNNNNNNNNNNNNNNNNNNNNNNNNNNNNNNNNNNNNNNNNNNNNNNNNNNNNNNNNNNNNNNNNNNNNNNNNNNNNNNNNNNNNNNNNNNNNNNNNNNNNNNNNNNNNNNNNNNNNNNNNNNNNNNNNNNNNNNNNNNNNNNNNNNNNNNNNNNNNNNNNNNNNNNNNNNNNNNNNNNNNNNNNNNNNNNNNNNNNNNNNNNNNNNNNNNNNNNNNNNNNNNNNNNNNNNNNNNNNNNNNNNNNNNNNNNNNNNNNNNNNNNNNNNNNNNNNNNNNNNNNNNNNNNNNNNNNNNNNNNNNNNNNNNNNNNNNNNNNNNNNNNNNNNNNNNNNNNNNNNNNNNNNNNNNNNNNNNNNNNNNNNNNNNNNNNNNNNNNNNNNNNNNNNNNNNNNNNNNNNNNNNNNNNNNNNNNNNNNNNNNNNNNNNNNNNNNNNNNNNNNNNNNNNNNNNNNNNNNNNNNNNNNNNNNNNNNNNNNNNNNNNNNNNNNNNNNNNNNNNNNNNNNNNNNNNNNNNNNNNNNNNNNNNNNNNNNNNNNNNNNNNNNNNNNNNNNNNNNNNNNNNNNNNNNNNNNNNNNNNNNNNNNNNNNNNNNNNNNNNNNNNNNNNNNNNNNNNNNNNNNNNNNNNNNNNNNNNNNNNNNNNNNNNNNNNNNNNNNNNNNNNNNNNNNNNNNNNNNNNNNNNNNNNNNNNNNNNNNNNNNNNNNNNNNNNNNNNNNUAAGAUAUCCUCCGGCUAGAAAAAUACUGUAAUGAGGACUGAGGAGGUUAGAAUUUCUUUUUUUUUCUUCCUUUUCUUUCUUUCUUUCGCUCGUUCUUUCUUCUCCUUCCUUUUCUUCUCCUUCUUCUUCUUUUUUAUUUUUUAUUUUUUUACUAAGACAGAUAAUUUAUACAAGAUGUACAUAAAUACAUCCAAAAAAAUCAGAAAACAGAAAAUCACAUAGCUCCAAAGAUAGCUUCCAUUUCCAGCCCACAAGGUACUACCAGCAUAAUUAGCCACAUAGGCGGCCAUUCAAUUUACAAUCCCAUUAGCUUUUCUAAAUACAUGCUUAGCUUGGACGGUCCCACCAUCCAUCAUCAUCAUCCAGAUGUCUCGAAGCAAAGGAUGGUCGUAGUCGACAGCCCUCGGACCCUCUUGGAUCUAUCUGAUGAUCGUAGCCGAGUCACCCUUCAGGAUGACUGAACUAGCUAGUAGCACUCGCCAAGCAUGUCCAAGGCCCGCCCAUGGAGCCCUCAACUCCACACCAGAGACCAUAAUGUCGAGUAACUGACAACCACCUGCUGCCACUACUCUGGAGCAUGAGUUUCUGAUUGCGAAACCCAUGCCUCCCUUUGUGCCUCCAUUCAGCACAGACCCAUCAAAGUUGACCUUAAGAAAGCUUGGAGAUAGAAGCUCCCAGGUAAAGAACAUCGUAUGGGGUACUGCUAAGGCAGAAUGGCAACCUCAAAUAUUUCGAGCUGUCAAAGACCCUUCUACGCAGGAGACAUGACUAAUCUCCACCGUCUGUGCUCUGACACUCUCCGCUACGAGCCUCGGCGACAAACUAUGCUUGUCAAAAGUUCGAGCAUUCCUUGUCAGCCAGAUUUGGUAUACUGUGCAAGUCGUUCUAACAGCCUUCUGACGUAUCAGUGAAUUAUCCAACCACCGACAGAUGGUCCGUAAGAACAAGUGUUUUGACUCCAAACCUCCCUCAAGACUUAGGAGUUAUGCAUGCUAGUUAAGUGCCAUUCCUGCCAAAUAUAUGAUAGUUAUCCCGCAUACAGUAGUUGUGCAUGCUAUUCCCUCUCAAGCAAAACAAACUCAAAUAAUUUCACGAUAAUCUCAAGCCACUCGCGCUUGGCAGAUAACAAGGGGAGCAGGGGAGAGUCCAGAUCACCGUGCCGACCGUGCAAUUUAUGCGCGUGCUGAGGAACGUGCCGUGGUUAUCAAACCCAAACCCCAAGCGGUGAGUCAGACCGUGAAAUCGGAGAACCGUACCUCGAGCCGGGUCCGGCUUUGUAACGAGACCGCUGUCAGUGAUCCGUACACCGAAUCAGCCAAAACCCCACGCCCGCGGGGGACGUUGAUGCGGUAUGGGAGUUCCGACACGUGCACCAAUCACACACGGGGCACAUGCCCCGGCACCUGCGCAGGGAGGAUCCCCACAAUGUGAACCAGCGCCAUGAUAUUAUAGUGUAACUAGUGUCCCACCAAACAUACAUCAUUUGUGGUAACAAUGCCAUUUUAGGUUAGAAAGAAUAAGUAAUCCUUCUGUUUUUUUAUUCCAAUUUCAUUGCUAAGCCUACCAGAUAGGGGGAAAAUGGAUCAGAUGAUAUCAAUCGAGAUCUAUUUUUCAAUUCAAAUCUAUUAGGAUAUGAAUAAAAAUUUGAGAUUAAUGUGCGUAUUCAUAUCCAUAUCUAUUAAAGAAAAAUAGAUAAAAAAUAAAUAGACUAUCUGAAUAUCUAUUUUUAUUGGUAAUUUUAUUUAAUUUUAUAUAGCAUUCAUGACUUUUUAAGAAAAAUAAAUGAUUGUAUUAGUAUACUAUUAAAUUAAUUUAUCAUUUACUUUAUAAUAUUUUUGAUUCUGUGGUCACAAAAUUUAAUUAUCCGACUUAUAUUCGUAUUUAUAUUUAUAUUUUUAGUAUCGGAUUUGUAUUUGCAUCUAUUUAAGAUAAAUAUUAAUAUAAAUUUUUGCAACAGACUAAUAUUGGUAUCUAUAUCAGUAUCCAUCAAAUAAAAUAAAUAUGGAUAUCGAUAUACUAGUAUUUGAUCCAGUAGUGUCACCUUUUCAUAGCAAAAGUAAAUUAGGUAUAUUAUCUACCAGGCUAAUGGAUAUUUGGACUAAACGGGACAUAAAUAAUGAAGCAAAGUCUAAACUCGCGUUGAAGGAUAUAUAGAAAGAUGGUUCGAGGAUAUUGUUAUAUGAUCAAGAAUGUCUAUAUGUACCGCCACAUGGCUUGAGGCAUGGUCCAACAAUAGAGCUAGUGGAACCGCACUAAGUUGUUUGCAAAAGAACCUUUACAACCAAAGGGAUUUAUAAAGAUCAGAUAUACGAAUGUUUUGAUAAACAAAGGAUCAAUGAUGCUAGAAUGAAGCUUUUCCCUCCUCCAUAUAAACACCAACUAAUGCUCGUCACGUCAAGUGAUACCUAGGAAUCACACUCGAGACUUAACCAAUAACCACCCUCCAUACACAUUAGGAAUCUCUUAAAUUGGCACUUGAGAAUGUGCAAUGAGAUCAUGAAAUGUUGCUCAUGUUUCAAGGAACGGAGUCAUCUUUAUUUAAAAUCAUAGGUGCCAGAUAAAUAAAACAUGAGGCCACUUACGAACGCCAAAACUAUGAUAGACUUGUUCUGUUUGCUAGCCACCAUUAUUCGCCUAUUGAAGCAGGCAAUUAGGGGUCUAGGAUACACCAUUUGUUGGAUUUUCUCUUUUGCUUUCAAGCACUAAAAAAUCUGGAAAAGUUGUGCAACAAUAAAUAUCGUAGAGAAACAACAUAUUUUGAAAUUAAAACCAAGUGUAAAUCGCAGUAAAUUUGUAAGAUUGAUCACAAAUCUUUUAUGAAAAGUAAAAGUUUAACAAAGUAAGGCUUAGAAGUAAUAUAAGCAAAAGGCUAAACUACAUAAUAACCCUCCAAAUGCAUUAACCCUGAAUCCAUGGAUAACUAAUACUCUCACUAUUUCAAGUAACGGAUUGAUUCAGCAUACCAUCUUUCACACCCCUUCAACCAAUAAGACUGUUCUUCAUCAAGUUGGUAGUUGGUACCAAAGAGACAAACUGACCUAAACCACUGUAGAGAAAACCUUUUUGUCAGGCAACUUUUCUAGGAUACAAUUCUUCUCAUUAUUAGCAGAGGGAAAAGUCCACAAUAGUGGUGCAACUUGAUGCAUUUAGAUCAGUAGAACAUGAGAACAAGAAAUAAUCAUAUAUGAUUUAGUCUCUUCGCCUAUCAACUGUUCGUGAGAAGCUAAUCUUAUAAAAUGCAACUUAAAAGGAUAACUACUUGCAACAAAGUCAUCAUCUUACUAGAUAUAAGUUAUAAAGAUUCAUUGUAAUUUUUCAGACUAAGCCUUCGACGUCACACAAGAUAUGUUCAUGAUAAGAUAUGGUGAAUGUAUGGUUUUAAACAACGGCAAUAUAACUGUUAUAACAGUUUAAUACACCCUUAUUAUGAAGAAAUAUAAUAGCUAUUAUUUUGUAUUAUUUUCUGUUAUUUUCUAUUUUUUUAAUAACAAGCAUUAUAACACAAAUGAUGAAUGUUGUUUAUUUAUACUUUCUUUAUUUAUACACAGACAUAUAGAGAGGCCAAUGGGGCUGCAGAUUAGGUGACAUCGUAUGUGGCCAACUAUUUUAGAAAUACUCUGUAGGUGGAGGAGAGGGAGUUACCUAGUGCACUCCAAGAGCUAUUGUUUUUUAAUUUUUGUUUGGUUGUAUCCGUACCCACAUUAUAUGAUACAUCAGAGUUAGCAAAAAAAAUAAAAAAAUAAAACAAUAUAUUUAUUUUGAUUUUCAAAAUUUCUGCUAAAAAUUCCUUCCAAAAAUCAUCGUGCUUUCCAAAAAAUAUAUUAUUUUAUUAGAUAAAAAUUAAAGAAAAUAUAGCAUCAAUAUAUCACCAUCUUUUUGCUAAGACAAGAUAUUUUCUGUCAUAAUACUGUUAUAAUAGCCAUUAUUUUGAAGAUUAUUGUGAUAUUAAAAAUUUAACACUUGUUUUUGAGGCAAAAAAAAUAUGUCAAUCUAUAAUUGUCAAUAACUGUGGGUGAUCGAAGCUGCAAAUUUCAAAAUAAUUUUAAGGAUAUGUUCGACAUUGCUGAUAAGAGCAGGGAGAAAUCAGGUCAUUGGGAUAAAACCAAGCGUGCGAUUUUCCAUUAUUGUACGGCGUUGGAUUCUAUAACGGAUCCAGUGGAGCUCCCGGGCCCACCCCGUCGAGUUCUACGGGAGACGAUCCCCCGAGUCCUGGGUCCCACGAUUAAAAAAGACACACAAGAGCCGGACCGUCGGAUCGGAUUUCGACGGUGGAUUUGCUCGACGCGUCGAGAUAUGGACGGCAGCGGGCAAAGGGGUGUAUCUAGAUGGCGAAGGCGACACGGCGGGACGCGGUGACGUGGCCAUGUGACGAUGGGCCCCACACGGGGCUCGUCCACUCAUCGGCUCAGGUGCCCCCUAGCUGUAGGUUUGACGGAAAGAAGCCUCCUUUUCUCGAAUUCGCUCCCAGUUUUCAACUCGCUUUUCCUCCGCAAUGAAACAUCUAACUGAAGCUUGGUGCGGGGCUUUUUAUUUUAUUUUUAUUUUUAUUUUAUUUUUUUUAAGCGGACGAGCCGAAUAUAAUAUGGAUAUGGACACAUCUACUAAAAUAAACAAACAAAAUAUCGUGAAAUGUCAUAAGUAGCUUCUCCUCCUGAGNNNNNNNNNNNNNNNNNNNNNNNNNNNUGUUUCUUUCUAGCAAUUCAGCCGUAGUAAUAUGAUGAUAUGAUGCAGACAAGAAGAAGUUUUAGUUAAUUAAUUUGUCCACUUCUUUUGUCAAGACCAUCGUCUUCAUGGUUGGGUAGUAGAAAAGUCUAGGAUGAUUUGAGUUCUCAGCUUGCAUCCCUUUCUUUUAAAUUAAAAAAAUGAAGGCAAGAACUUAUCCAUUCAAUUUACAAGACAAAUCCCACCACCAUAGGAAGUUCUAAGCCACUUGCAUAUUGGAUAAAUAUCUUUUGUUAGAUGGAUCUUGUUCAUCAUCUUUAUUCUUAUUUUAUAUUUGAAAAUUCAUCUCCUUGCGCCAUGUUAGUACCCAGGAAUAGCUGAAUAAAAUAACAAAAGUAAUAGAAAAUAAAAGAGCAUGGUAGAUCAAGAUUGACUGUGGUUCACCUAAAAUCUAUGUUAUAAGUACUGAGGGAGUGGCAGGUCCACUGUAACAAAUGGAGUAUGCGAGAGCUCACCGAGAAAAAAUGAUUCGGAGAAAAUAUAAGAAUAGAUUUUGCCAAGAAAUCUAAACAUAGAAGAAUCACAUGUGUCAAGAUCUUGAGACCAAAAAAUAAUGUUCAAGCUCUAUCUUUUGUUCUCUCCCUCAUAUUUUGCUUCUAACACCACAUUGCAUCCUCCCACAGCAUUGAUUCGAUCACUGACCUUUCAAUCCUUAUAACUUUCUUGUUUCUUGGCCAAAUUGGGCAUAUGAAUGUAGAAAAGACCUAAUGAUGGCCUUCGAAUAUAUAGCGGCCAUUGAUCAUAUGAUAUUUUUGUUUUGAGAGAAAAAUGGUCUGCAAGAAAAAAACGUCCAUAACUAUAAUAGAACUUGUGAUUCAUUUUUUUCUCAAACCACAUGUUAUAAUUGGCUGCAAAUUUUCAGAAAUGAUCACACCCCAAUAGGCGCUAUAUGAAAAGAAAGUUCAAACACCAAGCAUAGCAAAAGUUGCCAUUGAAGGAUAUGGAGGUCCUACUAAUAGCCAGCCUAUGGAAAACCAUAUAAACAAAAAUUUCGAAAGUAUAUUCAACAUCUUUAGAGCCUCGAGAAACAUGAAAGGCUAUGAUACCAAUGACAGAAAUCAAAUCUUCGGUCAGAAUGAAGAUCAAUAACAUACCUCUCGAAAGCAUGUGAUCAAAGUUUCCAAAGUUCAUCUUCAGCUAGAAUUAUAUAUUUUGGUCUCCUUGUGUUCUUGAACAUCUUCUUCCUUAUUGUAUCGAAAAUUCGUGGCCAGAAAUUUGUUUGUAAUUGAAAAUUAAACUCUUUCACAAGAGUCUAUAUAAAAAGGGAGAGGAAUUUCUUCCAAUAAUCUCUCUCAUUUUUUAUCCCUUCAUUUUACUAUUAGGUGGUUACGUUGGUUUGUAGCAGUUCUGACAACUAUACAAGAUGUAAUAACUCCCAUCUGAACCUAUUUGAACUAGGCAUGGGCAUGCUCUCAUGGGCACCAGCCUCUGGCUCUUGAAUUAGUGCUUGUAUAAAUAGUACAUGGAUGAGAUACUAAGUUUCAUAACCCGCAUAAUAUAUCUCUGUAUACACUUUCUAUAUGCUAUGCUAUUCAUUGUGAACUAGGAGAUACCCUAGUGUUCUCAUCUCUUUGCCAAAUAAAUAAAUAUAUCUGAAUCUUGGAUAGUGUAUUCACAGGAAUUUAGUUCCUGGUAAUUAUAAUUCUUGUGGAUCAUUUUGUUAUCUCAAAAAUUCUUGGUAACAUUAUUUGCAUAAGUAUUCUAAAAGGAUGUCAGAGAUAGUUUAUUAAUAACCAAAGUUCCAUAAGUCAUCCCAUAUAUGCAUGUUGGGUAUGUACAUGCUGCGCCUCUCUAACAUCAUGUUGUUUCAAGGCCCUGGAUCGCUAUAUUAAUUAAAGCUUCACUGCAGCCAUGCAACAUGCACAUAUCAAACAUGUACACGCAUACCAAGGCAGUGUUGAGUUGCCAAGAAAGUGAAUAGGGAAACCAUGAUAAAAAAAAGAAAAUAAAAUGAGGAUUAUGUAUUGUUGGCCUAUUUUUAAUAAAUAAAAAAAGAAUUGUAGAUGAAUUUUGUUGUUUGCUACGCAAGAGAUAAUCUGAGAUUCUAUUUUGUUUAUCUUUCCAAAUUCUUGGAGAGGAAAGAGUUUUUUUAGCCCCUAUAAGCAAUCUUUUAAUAAGGAAAAAUAUAUAAUAGAGUGGCUAGAGUAAUAGUAUUAAUAGUAGUAGUAAUAGUAAUAAUUAUAGUAGCAAUAGUAAUAAUAAUAGUGAUAAUAAUAAUAACAGUCAUAAUAGGAGUAACAACAAUAACAACAUCAAUAACAACAACGAUAGUUAUAUAAAGUUAGGCCUAGUUUGGGCCAAUCAUUUAUGACCCCAAAAACCCAUCCAAGCUAUCUCAACAAUUCAGCUGCAAAGUCUCCGCUUUCCUUUAUCUCUAAUUUCAGUUAUAACAAUAGCAACAUUAUGUAAUAUUGUAUACUUUAAAUGACAAGUUGUAACAUCCACAUUCAUUGGAGAUAGUUUUUGUAACUCUAUAUAUUCAAAUAAACAGCUCUUAGUGAGGGCCAAACUAGUUUUUUCAUAUUAUUUUACUUACAUAGUAUCAGAGCAUUCAAGCUAACUCUUGAUUCUGAUAUAGCUUCCACAACCUUAGCAAACUUGGUCUAACAGUGGAAACGCUUUAACGACCACUGGCAAACCAUGGAGCAACUUAAUUCGCUGGAUAUUCUAUCGUCGAUGGCCUCCGGUUGUGGCGCCGCCGCAUCAGGCUUUAUCGCAAAACUUGGCGAUGGACAAUAGACUUCCCUCCGGCAUGACACAGGGGAACGAGCCGCUAAAAACCUGUUUCCGAUGUCUAACAAUCCCUCCAAAAUUUGGAUGAGUUUGUUCGACACCCAAACAAUCCCUCCCAGAUCUUGAUAGAAUUCCGACUGCUAUCAGCCAUCAUGCCUCAAUGCCCGAAUGUAACGACGCCAGAGUGUGGAGAUGGAACGCCUCUGGAGCCCUCUCAGUGGCGAAGUUGCUCUUGUUUCUCAUCACACGGCGACAUCUUCUCUCCACUCGGUAAAACUUUUGCUGACUUUCUGUUCCCGAGAAAGCAAAGAUCUUUAGAUGCCUAUGCUUCAGCAGCAGAGUAUUGACCGUCGAUAACCUUGCAACAAAGGGCAUCAAAGGCCCGAGUGCAUGCCCCCUUUCCUCCUCUCAGGAAGAGUCAACAAUUCAAUAUAAUCUGAAAAUUAUACAAUUCAUCUGCAAAAAAAUUCUAAAUAUUACAAUAACUAAACUAUUAACCUAAGAUAUUGCAUAUAUUAUACAUGCCACACAAGUUGUACCAUAGAGCUUCUUCUUCUAAAUUUUACGAUUCAAAACUUCUAGUGCUUAAGUUAUUUAUACAUUAUUCGGAAAACAUUAUAAUAUAUGUAUGCUGAUCAAACCAGUUCUACCAUCCAUAAGAACGGCCUUGCCUUUAAUAUUUUCCUAAAAUACUGAUAUCAGUCUAGCCUCUGGAUCCUGGAUAUGAAAAAUAUUGGUAAAGAUUAUGCCCAGUGAGUGACAAAUACAAUUUACAAAACUACUUCAAGCCAUAUUAAUAAUGUAAUUCAAUUAAAUCACAUAAGAUAUGAUACAUCUUUACAAGUAAUGUUUAUAGUAUUUAUUAUCAAUAAUAUCUACAUACCAAAAUUACAUGCCAUCUUUUCAAUAAUAUUGGUAUAAAGAAUUGAUACAUCAUAUCAGAGUACAAUACGUGUCCAAUAUCAUAAUCAUGCUUAUAUUUAUAUGUUUAAGUGGGAUACUUAAUCUUUUUAGCUCUAUAACCCUGACUGCAGUGUAUUUAUACUAUGCUGCUCAAGUAUCACCAUAAUUAUCCUCGUGGUGGGGUCACUAUAAUGUCGCCCAUGGUGGGGAUCACCACGAUCGCCCUUGUGGUGGAGUUGCCAUAUUAUAUUUACCAUGAUCAUCCCCAUGGCGAGGAUCACUAUAUAAUCAAGUCUGGACUCAUAUAUAGUAAGGUUGAGAGUCACACACACACACACACAUAUAUAUAUAUACAUAUAUCUAUAUAUAUAUAUAUAUAUAUAUAUAUAUAUAUAUAUAUAUAUANNNNNNNNNNNNNNNNNNNNUAUAUAUAUAUAUAUAUAUAUAUAUAUAUAUAUAUAUAUAUAUAUAUAUAUAUAUAUAUGUAUAAUUUAAGUAUUUCUUUUUUUUUAAUGCUUGAUUUCAUUAUAAUAGGUAUCAACAUAUAAUUUGAUAACAGAAAAGCCAUCACCAAUUAAUUAAUCGUAUUUAUAGAGAUUUCAAACACUAUUAAAUUUGAAUUUACCAUAAUAAAUUAUAAUUUUAAUGAUAAAAAUUUAAUUAACUUUAAUUAAUUAAUAUAAAGUGGAAAUGUUACUUAUCUUGUAGAUAUGAACCAUUCAACGAUCUAAGUACUUCUUUGGGGUUCCUCAUAAUCUAAUAAUCCAAAAUCACGUGCAUGUAUCGAAUUAUUAGUACAAUCAUAUUUUAAAAUUAAUUUCUAAAAAUCUCUAAAAGAAUUCCAUUUUUUCUUAUUUUUUAAAAAUUCUAAAAUUUCAGGUUAUAACAUUUCUUUGUACCUAGUUACAAGACAGAAGGUGAGAGUUGGUACGGUAAAAAUUGCGCCGGGCUUGCUCAAAAGCGAGAGAAAGAAAGAAAGAAAGAGUGCGAGCCUUUACCCUCUUAACAUGCUCGCGCACCAACACACGGGUGGAGAGAGAGAGGGGGGCCUUUCCUCUCUUUCUUUUCAUUUUGUUUUUCCUCCUUAUUUUUUGCCAGAGAGAAUCCGGAAGGAAGAAAGGAAGAGAAGAAGGAGAGGAAGACAGGGUGGGAGUGGGAGGAUGGGUGAGAGAGAGAGAGAGAGCGUGAGAGGAAGAUGGCGAAGGAGGAGGAGGAGGAGACGGCGGAUCGGUGAGGAGAUGCCGGAAGGGCGACCGGCCGGUGGUUCAGCGGAAAAGGAGGGUGGAGGGAGGAAAGAAGAAGAGAGGGUAUGCUGCGGUGGGAGCUAUGGUCACGGAAGAAAGGCGCAGGUCACUGCCUUAGGGCGGGCCCUCCAUAUUUUAAACCUGGUCCACGGGGCCCAGGUAUCACAAACCCAAUAAAAUACCAGCACCGAGACCACCCUUCACCUGGAUCUCGAAUCACCCUCCUCCCCUUCCGUCCCUGGCAAAGUCGCCGUUCGGACUUGGGGUGAGGAGGGGUGGUGGCCAUGGAUCCGAGAGAGGAGAAGACGAAGGAGAUGCGAGCGACGAUAAAGAGAGAGAGCACCCUCGUUUCCCCAACUUCAACAAUAAAAUCUAAACCUAAGGAUGGGGAGGCGAAAUUCAGCUCAUUAGCAUCGCCCAAAAACUUUGCGGGCUCGUUCCGUUUGCGAAAAAUAUUUUUUUUAUAAAAAAUAUAAAUUUUGAUAAAUUUUUUAAAAAAUAAAUAUUUAAAAAAAUAUUUUUAAUAUGUUUAGUUAAUCAUAAAAAAAUAAUAAAUUUGUAAAGUGCUUAUGUUUGAUUGACCAUCAAUUUUUUGUAAAAAGUUAUGUAUAAUUUCUAUUAUAUUCUUAACAAAAAUUAGAUUUUUAAUAUCUCUUUAAUGCUGAAGAAUUUUUUUAGAAAAAAUAAAAAUUGAAUAAUUUCCGACUCAUAAAAAAAACUUUCUCAUACUUCUCAUAGUAAAAUUUUUUUUUAUAAAAUAUAAAAAUUAUAUUUCUAUGAGGAUACAAUUUUUUUACGUCUUUUUUUUUUCAAAAUUUUAACAGAAACAUUAUUUUAUUAUUAUUAUUAUUAUUAUUAUUAUUAUUAUUAUUUUUGGCGAACCAAACGGGCCCUGCAUGUUGCACCCAAAAUUCGGGGUUUUGGACAUCACUUAUUGGUGUCCUAGUUCACACUGUUUACGAGAAUGAGUAAAUGCUGUAAAGAACCAUCUCUGACAGGCCAAGCAUAAAGUCCCAUUUCACAUACAUGAGUGCGACAAGGUAGAUUUUGAGGACACAAAAGUCGCAUUGCCUUCCAGUUGGUGAGCCUGGUCCGGCUCUGGUACUAUUACGUAAACUAUUUGCCCACAUUUUCAAUAGGUGAAGUGAAAGCAAAGCUAGAGGGAGACUGAGAAAUAGAUGAUGGCCCUCACAUGGGAUAGCUAUUUGAAAGCAAAAGCAGUAAUCAUGAGAGGGGAUGAAAAUGAGAAAAGAAGUAAUUAUGAGCAUCCAUGGAAAAAGAACCAACAACUAUACACCUGUGCAGAACCAUCUCUUCUUUUGCAUUUCUUCUUCUUCCAACUUUUUCUUUUCCUUUCCUUUAUGAAUUAUGAACAUGGCAGAUAAAGAAUGGUCAUCUGAAAAUGAUACAUGUCGACCACUUGAAGCAAAAGCAAAGAGGGUGUGGUAGGACUCCCACCACCCUUCACUACAACCACCAAACCAAUCCAAGCAACUGGGGUUAUUGGCACUCAUUACCAUACUCGAGGACAAGGCCCUCGAUCUAUCAUGAAAAUCUAAAAAGAAAGCCAGGAAACACGCAGCAUCCUUUCAAGAACCGUCCUUAUUUCGCAUUGUUCAUUUUCCCACCAGAUGAAGUCCGUUUCCCAUCGCUGCUGAUAGAAUUAGGCUGCCUCCCUGUCCGAUUAGACCCGUUCGACACUUUCCUGGAUGGCGAAGGGAGGUGUGCAUGGUUUGGAGUUCUAAAUUAUAGUAGAGGAAAAUAGGAACCAUUAGAAGCAUUCAGAAUGAUUUAAUUGAAAAAGAAUGUGCUUAAAGUAAUGCAGUAAACAGAAACAGACAGGCUUAUUUUGCUCUGUUGAGUAGUAGGUUCGAACAAAAUUUAGAAGUACAGAAAAUUCAAAAUUCAUGUUAUAUGUCAUAUAUGAAUCCCAACAUGGUAGUCUAUAUAUCUCACAAUACUAGCUUAAUUAAGCCAGCUUCAUAGCAAAAAAAAGGGGGUUGAAAUUUGUAUUUCUACUUAUGUGACAUCAACGGUUCGUAGAUUGNNNNNNNNNNNNNNNNNNNNNNNNNNNNNNNNNNNNNNNNNNNNNNNNNNNNNNNNNNNNNNUUCUCAUUAAACAAAAAAGAUGCAAAAGACUUGCACACAAAGAAAUGACUGAACACAUGCAACCAAGGAAGACCCUCCAAGACUAUAUCAUCAGUGACAAGCAUGUAAACCAAAGGACUUCAUCCUGACCUCAAAGUUGCCAACUAUGAGACCAGUAAGCCAAAUGAAAGAAACCCCCCCUAAAGCAUGAGAUUCAAGUUCAAUGCCAGGGCGGUUGGAAAGGGUUGGAGAUUGUUGGUUAUGAUCACAGAUCUUUUAUGGAGACAAAUAAGCUCUGACUAACAAGACUAUAUUAUCAGUGACAAGCAUGUAAACCAAAGAACUUCAUACUGACCUCAAAGGGGCCAACUAUAAGACAAGUAAGCCAAAUGAAAGACAACCCUAAAGCAUGAGUUUUAAGUUCAAUGCCAGGGCGGUUGGAAAGGGUUGGAGAUUGUUGGUUAUGAUCACAGAUCAUUUAUGGAGACAAAUAAGCUCUGACUAACAAGCACCCUAAAGUGGGUGCACUUCUAAUGCCUAGCUGUGAUGAGAAGGAUAUAACAAAAAGAAAGAGUAUUCCAGACAGUAAACCUGCACUUCCUACAACUGCAGCAAAACUUGCCAUCACUGAAAGCUGGUAGUAGCCUAGAAUCUCCAAUCUGAACAUAUCCAGCUGUUUGCCUAGCAAAUUGCAAUGCUCUAGUCUGCUGCAAGAGUUAUUGGUUGCAGCUAGACAACACUAUACAGUGAGUGAUGCAUGCUAAAAGGAUUAUUAGGGAAAAGAAUUGGCAUCUGCCGCAUCUCUGAUAUGGCAUGAUACCAUGCUGGUUUUGUUUUCAACAGUUACUGUAGCCUAGGAUGGUGUUCCUUCAAUAUAGCAAAAUUAAUAACAAUAAAACAUUAGAAAUUUUCCCCAACUAAACAACAAAUUUCUAAUAUUUAGAUCUCAAACAAAAGGCCACCAUCAUAAAACAUCGUGGAUAUGCAUAAUUUUGGUCAUCUGUUCUCAACCUACAAUAAAAGGGAAAAGUAUAAUUUAUUUUUAGAAUACUAAGAAACAAAAAAAAAACAUACAAAAUUAGAAUAUGUUAUCACUGACUAAAUUGACUCGUUGAUGUAGCAGUUUUAGCCGUAUUGGUUUUGGCAAUUCAACCAGAACUCAUAAGAGAGGAGUUUUAGGAUGCAAACAUAACUUCAAUAAUCCUGUGAUAAAAAAAAUUAAAAACAAGAAACUUUCUUUCACAUCUAGACUCAUAACAUUUUAAAAUAUCUAUAUUUGCACAAUCAAAGGUACAGCUUUAGCUAAAUUGCUGGUCAAUGAUUACCUUAUAUCUGGGCUAUUUGUUGGCUUUUGUUGAGGUUUUUUGAUCCUUGACCCACCUUCAUUAACUGCAGUAUUAACAUUUUGGAGAUUGAAUUGCCAUAAAGUGUCCGCUUCUGAAGAAUCACUUGUUGCAAUGUCUAAAUCAUCUGAAUCAUCAGUGCCCACAGAAUAAAACCGGCUUCUUUGCAUAUCAAAAUCAUGACUAUCUUUUCUCCUAGUGGCAUUCCUGAGGUAUUGUUCUGGAUAAGCUCCCACAUCGGAAACAUACCUUUGGUAAAAAAAGUCAGGCAGGGGUGCCCUAUCUCCUUCCCAAUCCCUUAAGGAAUCAUCAUCUCUGAUCACAGCCUCAUGCUUGUUCACCAUGACCUUGUCAACCCAGUCUCCAGGAACACUUUCUUUAUCUUCUCCCAUCUGAAAAAUUGUUCUGGGAUUGCUGUCUGGCCAAGGGGAAUCAUUUGCCAUUAACAACUCUUGGAGAUCAAAGCUUGGUUUCUUUUGUUUCAACGAAGGUUUACUCCACAUCUACAAAUAUAUCAUUAUUAGAAAAUUCAUGCUUCAGGAUAUGGCAAAGCAAAAAUGCAGUCAAGAUAAAUUACCAGCAAUAAUCUAUUUCAUGGUCAUAGGAACCAAUCAAAUCAAACCAUCAUCUCUGGGAAGCCAUAAAGAUCUUUGAGCAGAAAUUAACCAGUUUCUAUUCAAGCACUGAUGAUAUGAUAAAAAGUGCCAUAACCCAGUUAUGGUCCCAGCAAUCCGGGAUCCUGUGAGAGGUAAACUGGGGACAGUCCUAACGUUUAGCAUUUUUCUUGUCAGUCCUAACCUGGCCCCUAUAGAUGAUAUAAUACAUGGAAGAAAAUACAUAAUUGAUAUCACAGUAUUUAUAUAACAUUUUCUACUUGACAUAUAUAAAAUCGUCAAAUCACUUUCAAGAUGCUGAAUCCAAAAUAUAGAUCCCUAAAAUAUUUAAAAUUGUGAGGACUGAUGAAAAUGAUAGAGAUGAUACAGGUCAUCUAUGCCUAUGAACUGAAGCAAAAGCCUGACUUAUAUUUAAUAAUUAUUAAUCUUGAGUGAAAAAUCAAAGUCUUAAUAUUUAAGUGAUAUAUCUAGCAUCUAAUAUGCAAGUUAAACAUAUUUAUUGCAUUAGGGAGGACGUGUAUGAAUAUAACUGUUUAAUUUGAUAGUGAUGAAAUGAAUAGCUAAAGAGAAAUUAUAAUCCAACAACACAGCACAUUUAAUAUAGUGAGAGCAUUCACAAUCCCUAAUUUAGUAUUAGCUGUCCUAAGUACGAUACCUCUAUGUUUCCAACAUCCUCCAUAGGCUGUCUGCGGUUAGUUUGAGUAUUUAAAUACUCUUCACCAUGCCGCCGAUUUGAGUUUACAGGUGAUGGUGCCUUCAUGUUGAGCAUGUCAGGAUUUGGUAUUAUAUUCUGAAGAUGCUCUGAUCCUCCUUCUUUCCUUGCUAAUGCUGCUUUAAGACAGGCUAUCUGAAAUAAAGAGAAAAGGGAUCUUUAUAUCUGAAAGGACAAAGAAAUAUGAAACAGAGGGAUGUGUAUCAUAUAUAUCAAUUUAGAGGUAAAAGCUCAGGCAAAAAACCUGCUCCCUGAGCUCUUUAACUUCUCCAUUUUCUUUAUUUAUUCGAGCAGCACCAAGUUCAACAGUAGAAACCCGCUCAGCAAAUUUGAGCGUGCUAAUCGUUUCUCCAACAGCAUCCAUUUCAGGACUUAUAUGGACAAACAUCAAUGUUUUUGCUUGCCCACCUGAAUAUUUAAACUUAUAGAGCUCAGUGAAAUAGAGAUAGAACUUCUUUUAAUUCUCAUUAACAAAUUAACAACAUUGAAGGCAUAAAAUUUACCAAGAGAGUCUUGAAGCAAUUGCGUGAGUUUACUAUUUCUGUAAGGAACAUGCGAGUUCUUCUGGGCAAGAGCAGAUAUUACAUCCCCUAGAGCUGAGAGCGAUUUGUUUAUAUGUUGCGCCUCUUUUAGCCUUUCUCCCGUGGCCUCAGAUUUAUCAACUCUUUCACUGCCUGCAAGAUCAACUAAAUGCAUGCAUCCCCGAAGGAUCGUUCCAGAUGUCAUAUCUCUUCCUUGAACAUGAACAGUCAAGCAACUGCAAGCAAGAUCAUUUGGCAUCACAUACCCAUGUAAAUGGAAUUAUAUUAAUUUAUAGUGAAUCAAAUGCAACAUUAAAUCAUCAUAACACACCUAUGAGAACGGCUGCUACGGUCAUUCAAUGCUGUAGCACCCACAGCACGGUUCUUCUGCCCAAUGUUCAUUAGUUCAAUGACAUCAGAUGUUGACAUAACAGGGACUAAGUUUGCAUCAGGCACAUUAAGUCCUUUCUGGGAACUAUUACGAAUUUCUAAUGUAUUUACUUGUUAAGGAAAUUUAGUAUUACUGUCAGAAAAAGUUGAAGAAUGAGAACAUAUUAGCAAUAAAUAUGAUGCUUAAAAGUACAUCUAAAUUUGUUCCAAAAAUUACUACUACGCAUACCUGAGACAGACGUCCAACUACAAAGUCAAAACAAAAAUCUAAGAUGAACUAUUUUACAUAUUGAAACAUUUACUUGUAAAGGAAAUCAAACACAUUAAUGAAAUAUUUUGGAGCAGAAACAAAUAAAAGUGGGAAGGAUAUCUUUUGUUAAGACCAUCACUGACAAGAAGGUCUCUCACUUGCUCAUUGUAAAUUUCAAUCAUUUGAACAGAGAUUUCAUAAUAAAAUGCGCCCCUUCUUUGUUCUGAGAGUUUAAAUAGGUCACUCAGUGCCUUAUAAUUCACUCCCUGUGUUUGCUCAUUCAGAUUCCUAGGCCCACUCUGCAUAACAUAUAAAAUUAGCUCAACUGAGGUAGUUAGUCCACUAAAUGUCAACUUUUUAUAAGGGUAACAUCUCAAAUGCUCGAAGUAUUGAAAUAUCAUGAAAAAUCAUCUAAAUGAAAGCUUUUGGUUAGUCAUGCAAUUCUUUAUCUAAGAUGAGUUUUUGUCAAAUUUCUUACCAUAGUAUAUGUUUUCCCUGAUCCAGUUUGGCCAUAUGCAAAUAUACAAACAUUAUAACCAUCAAGAACAGAUCGAAUCAGAGGCUGUGUAUCUGAGAAUACCUCCUCUGCAGUAUGAUAAGAAAGAAGUGACUGGCUGCUCAAGAUAUUUACGUAUGAAAAGUAAGAAGCAAGACAGCAUCUCAUAAACCUUGGGUUGCUGAUGGACUGAAAAUUUUGUUGAAAUUGAAAGAUCUACGUCCUUCUUUUCCAUUCUUUGAAGGGGUGAGGAUUGUGAUAGUUCCAUCAUCGAUACAACCAAUAGUGCUACUACUUAGUUGUCCAGGUAGGAAGGGUCUAACUCGGCAAUAGACCCUGAUACUUCCUAUUAACGGGAAAAAGUGAGGUUAACACUGUAAAAAGUUAUUUCACACAAUACAAAAAUAACUAAACAGAUAGAAAGUUUACCCUUCAGAUCUUGCACUUGAUUGUAUAGCUUUCUGUUUUCUUCAAGUACUUUGUGAUAACCUGAAGCUGCAUGAGCAACGCUGAGAAGAUGCUUUCCUGUUAUACAAAAUGUGACGCAAAAGAACACAUAAAUAUUUCUUUCCAUGAGUUCAUUUAACCUUGACAGGUUCCCUAAUGAUAUGCUUUCCAUCUUACCAAGCUUACUGAAUUCCUCAGAGUACUUCAUUUGCACGAACUCCAUACCAGCUCUUGUAAUUUGAAGAGUACGUUUCAAUUCCUACAGAAGGCAUUGAAUACGGAUAUAAAUUGAUUAAUCUCACAUUUAAAUCAAGCCACCCAGGAACACCAUUGAAGCUGUGUUAUUACCUGAAUAUCUCUUUGUUGUUGCUCAAAUAUCUUAUGUUGCUUCAAAAUCUUCUCUUUUGAUGCCUCUUCUUCUUUCACAUUCUUACGAACAUAGCCCUCUUUCUUUGACCUCAUGAAAGUAAUUUCCUCCUUCUCCAUCUUAAAAAUGAUGAUGUAUUAUAGGGUUGGGUCAUUCCCACACUCAUUUAAGGACGAAGCUAUUGGAGCAAAUAUAUUAUAACAGGAUGUAAUGGUUCCAUUCUUUUAUUAUGACUAUUCAUGCUUAAAAAGUAUUUCAUAUAAGCUGCAUGAGAGAACAUUGCUUGAAAUCAAUCUAAUACAUACCUUCAUCUCACAAGAAGCAGAGGGGGGAUCUAUUGAAACCUUUUGUUUGCAAAAAGAUUUACUGUUGUCAGCAAGACCCUUCAGAGCUGUUUUCACCUGUUGAUUUUCCAAUACAAAUAAUUUUAUAGUCAUGAAUAUCAUCAUCAAUAAAUAUUUAUAGCUAUAAAAGAGUCACAACUCAAGAAGGGAUAAUAUAAUGAAGAGAAAUGAAGCACCUUCUUCAAAUAAACACACUAUAUUCACAAAUGACAGCCAAAUAGGAGGGUUGAAGGAUUUUAUUGGAAUAUGAAAUUAAAAUAUUACUUUUUUUCCUUCAAAUAAAACUGCAUACUAGAAAAACACUGGAAUAGAAUGUACCAGCUCGUUUUGGCUUGCUAUGCGGUGCUCAAAUUCUUCCAUUACUUUACCUAACAUAGACUCUAAAAGCUGCAAAUAGACAACAACAGUCUUAUCUCCCCCUUCUGCAUUCACUAAGAACAAUCAAUUAAUUAACAGGGAAAAAAUAAAUAAUCUUACCUGUGGAACUUCUUCAGGCCUCUUGCCGGAUAGGACCGCAUGUACAAGCAUACUCAGUGGACGCGAAGAAGUCUGUUUGGCAUAAUAUGCAGGAUGCUAAGCAAGGUGAAGCUAAUCAUUCAGUAGAAUGAAUUUCAAAAUUAGCACACUAACCAUUUCACUGGAUUCAAUUGAAAUGUCGCCACUUAAAUUAUGCUCCACACAUAAAACAUCAUUCUCAUUCAUUGACUGACUCCUUAACAAGGAAUUCUUGAAAGAUUCCGGAUUUUUCCUCAAGAAAUUUUUCCCUAAGUUGGAAGGUUUAGAAUUCCCACCAUAUUUCCAAGAACCAUGGCCGCCCAUUUGUUUCCAUUCACCAUAGGAUUUGAGAGCCAGAACGCAGUCCACAAUCCUGGCACUUUUCCCUCCCUGAACUUCCAGAAAGCAGGAUUGCAUAGAGAACACAAGGUUAAAAUGUAUUUUAUAUAUUUCAUCAUUAAAUUAUAAUGCAACACCUUGAAAAACUUUGACAAAGCCACAUAAUUAUCAGGUUGAAAUUAAAUGCAAUUCAAGAAAACUCAUUGUAAUAUCCAUCAAGCCUUAUUGCAGCUAAUUGAAGCAACUUACUGAAUCCACAUUCACUAAUCGUUCCAAAUCAAGAAAAUUCAAUGAAGCAAAACCAUGGAGAACAAUAUUUGAAAGAAGAAAUAAAUGAAAAGCUGGUUAACUCUAUCGACUUCCCCAAAAUGCACUUAGGAAGAAGAGUAAGAGUCUUGGAAAUCAAGAUAUAAAAUAGAACAUAAGGAUUCUUGAAUAAAAUGCCCAUGUGAACGAUCAAAACCAAAUCAUAAAUUAAAGUGAAGGAGGGACGAUUGUUAGACAAGAACUUUUAGUAUCUAAGAAUUACAAUGCCAUUCCUACCUGCUCCAAGUCAGAAGCCUCAAACAAAGGAAGACCAAUCUCUUGCACAGCCACAAGAAAGUUCCUUACAUUCUCAAAAUACUGGUAAGCCGAUAGGGCUGCACCAUCUGGGCGAAGAACUGAGUCUCCUGGAUUUACAACCACCUGAAAAGCGCAAAACCUGAGAAAAUAAACUGGUGCAGUCUAAAAAAAAGAACAAGAUAUAGCUUAAUAUUCAAUUGAGGAAAAUCAUAGAAGCCAGAGAUUUCAAUAUCUUUGUCGAAGUAGACUCACCUUUGGCACUGCACCAGGGUGAACCUUGUUGAGUGCAUUGCAAAGAAUCAACCCAUUUCUCAAUCCAAGCCUGAAUUCUUCCUCUGAAGGUUGGUCUGGCAAAUCCUUUGCAAGGACUACACCAACCACCUUUCUCAGCCACCCAGCUGCCUCAUACCUUCUUGUGGCUGGAAAAUAUAAAUCAAUGAAUUAAACGAAAAAUUUAAAAAGGAACAGAAAGAACUAUUUAUUCAUCAGUUAAGACGCAAAAAUUAAAACCCGUCACGCAGGAAAUCAUGAGACAUGCUAUAUUUUGUAGCUUGAUCCAAAAGAGAAGAUAAUUUUCAACCAACCAGCAAAUAGAAAUUAAGACAUGAAUUUUGUUGAACAUUAUCAUGAUGUAGAGAAGAAGUAGCAGCACAAAAACAUAAAAUUUUGACAUGAGAAACAUAUACAAAAAAAUGAAACAAAAAAAAUCAAUUUCAAGAGCUAUCUUGAUCAGGAAAUUCCUUUAAAAAAAACCCAGACGCAGGGUGUCUUACUUGAAUCCAUAAAAGAAGAGAUCAUGAAAAGAAGCAGCGAACUUUCCAAUCCACUGUAGCAAAGCAAUGAACAGGAAAUAAACAAAUUCAAAGUCGACCAAAUCUAUUGUAUCUAGUUUGCAAAUUACUUCCUCCAUGGCUCGCAUUUUGCCUCCUAUCUUUCGAUAAAAUUGUAGAUCAUCUGACCAUCUCAAAGAAAAAAGGAGAAAAAAAAGUAGUAGAAUUUACACGUGUUAAAUCAACAAGAGAGAAAAAAAAAGAAAGAAAGAAAAGAAAAAUUAGAAGUAUCUUGAACAACAAAUUUCAUAAAGUACAAAGAUCUCGUUUUUAACGGAAAAUGAGCAGAAAAUCUUUCACUUCUACAUCGCAACACGGCAGUAAGAACAGAUUCAUGUACAUAUCAAAUCAACAAGAGCAUUAUUCCAUCCCAGGGAGAAUUAAAAAACAAUGAUCAAAAGCUCGAAAACCCACCAGCUUCCUCCGCCUUCCUCGAAGCCAAAUCCACGUCGCUCAGCCUCGUCCCGUGCUGCUUGAGAACAUCCUCCACCACAGAAGCCACCGAUAUCGAAAAUAGCCCCUCCGACGCCAUUGCCGACCCCAAAAAAACUGCGGGAACAAAAAAAAUCACAACAACAGAGCCUCCAGUGCUAAAUCAGGCAAAAAUCCCCGCUUUCCCUUCCAUUCUCAACAUAAAAAAAAGCUCAAAAGACCUCUAAUAAACAAACAAUAAAAACUCUCGAUACAAGGGAUUAGGAAUAGAAUUGAGAUUAGGAGGAGAGAAAAGGAGAGCUGAAGCCUCUUUUGGAGGGGUGGGUGAGAGGAUAAAGGGGACGAGAGGGCGAGGAGAGCUCUUUCCGCUGGCUCUUAAUAUUUUCUCUCACGAAGACAACUACUACUCUUCUACUGUAAAGCCCUUCUAGUUUCUCCCCCACCACCCCACUCCAGGCCUCGUUCCGAACCUCCCACCCGUGGGCCGAACGGUUUCUCUUUCUUUUUCUUUUUUUUAUUGGAUGAAUCAAACAGUUCUAAUAAGGACAUAUUCAAAAAAAAAAAAAUGAUGAUCGGUUUCUCUCCGGAGGAGGCGGUGAAGUGGUGGGAAAAAAAAAUAAAGACUGACGGAUUUUAACGUUUCGUCUUUCACCUCGUCGGCUUUUGAUUUGUGCCGUUAACAUGUCGAAUGACGGGCUUGCCCUCGCGGUCGAACUUUUCCCUCUGCAGCUGUCAUGCCACGUGGCAGAGAAGAUAGGUUUCUAGAAACAUUUUUCUUUCGUUUCGUUUGGAGUCUUGUGGUUCAAGGCAAUGUUGAUAGUUUGGAUCCUCUAUGAAACUGAAACUAAGGUCUAUUUGAUGAUCCAGUUUAUUUUUUAAUUUUUAAAAAAUAUUUUCUUUGUUUCCAAACAUUGUGAAAGCAAAAAAAAAUUCUGUUUUUUUAUUUUUAAAAAAUUAAAAUUAUUUAUGGUUAUUACUACCAUCUCAACCGACCCUCACUACCACUACCCAAUACAAGUAACUAGCAAACAAUUUUUGAAUUUUUAUUUUAAAUAUAAAUAAAUAAAAUUAUUUUUAAUUUAGGUUUUCUACAUGAUAUAAAUAUUAAAUUUUGUAUAAAUAAUCUUCCAAAAUUGAUAAUUUGCAUGUAUUCCCUCGUAAAACAAUUGUUUUGCUUUCUACUUUUUUUUUUAUUCUUAUUUUUGCAUACGUACUCACGCCAUCUAACGUCGUUAAAAAAUUAACGGUUUCAAUUAAAAUGAUUAAAAUAUCCUUAAUUGAUAGAUUGGUAAAAAGAAAUAUUUAUAAGGCAAUCGUGAUAGAGAAUAAAAAAGUAAUUUCUAAAUUUUAUUUUAUUUUUAAUUAAAAUAAAUAUAAUUUUUAUUAAUAGUGUUAGAAGAACCAUUAGAUUAGCGACAUUUGUGCAAAAACAAUGUUUUCUGAGGGUACAUAAAUAAAUAUAAAUUUUAAGACGGUAUUUAUGCAAAUUUGAAUUUUUAAAAGGGUAUUCAUGCGAAAAGUUUAGAACUAAAAAUUAAAAUGAUGUUAAACAUAAGCUUAAUCCCCGCUUCAAACUGCCUGCUAUAAGCACUAGGUUUUGAUUGGAUACUGAAAUGCUUUAAUAGACGACAGAUUUUCGAUACUUCUAUCUUUAGAGCAGAGCUGCGGGUAGCAUGGGAGGGCAUCUCCUACGCGAGGCGCGUUCUAGGUGUGGAGUGCAUCCACCUGGAGGGUGACUCGGCCCUGUGAUCGAGAGGGUCCGCGGUCGAUAGUGGGCAGUUCCUACUUCGUGACAUACGGUGGAUGGCUCGAGAGUGUGGCUACUUCAAGGCCACUCAUGUAUAUUGAGAGGCCAAUAUAGCGGCCAACUACGUGGCCUCCUACGCGGCACAUCACUCUGGAGCUUUUCUUUGGGUAGACCAGGUAGAUGUACCUUAUUUAUUUAGUCCGCUUUUUUCUUUUCUUUUCUGAUUUCAAUGGCUGUACUCAUAUAUGUAUAGUGUGAAGAGCCAGUAUACCAAAAAAAAAUGCUUUAACAAAGCUAUUUUUUAAAUUCCAAAAACUCUGGUAUAUAUAAAGCGGUUUGAAAUGGAAACAUGUAGUAUUUUCCUUAACCCAACUAAACUUGAUAGUAGUAAUUACUUCACUAUACUUCUAAUUCACUAAUAUAGUAUAGCUACACUUGUUGAAAAUUCAUAGAAUUUGAGUGCAUGCUUGAUUAUAAUAGACCGAUAUGAAUUGGAUGAGAAUGAAAACCCUCAAUUUUUAAUAAUAUUUAUUGCAUAUAAGUUAGGACAACUUUAUUUCUUUUAAAUGGUAAGAGAACUCCAUAUAGAUCAUUUUGGCCUAUGAAAUCUAUCGUGAAUCCAAGGAUGUAGAUGAUUUGUUGCCUUAAUAUACAUCAAAGGAUUCAAAGUCUACUAAUUACGUCACAUGCAAAGCUUGUAAAAUCUCACUAAAUAUAUCAAGCAAGCAUCGAUACAAGUAGCAAUAGCAAAAUUGUUUGAGUUAUUACCUCUUAUUUGCCUUUGUUUUUUGGCACCUUAUGGUUGUGCAUUACACAAAGACAAGCAUUCCUGCGUUUGGGCAUGUGAAGUUUCAAUGCAUCCACAUUAGAGGACUUAUAAAUUAGGAUAAAGUUCAAUAUAUUAUGCAUCCAUGGCAGAUAUAGUGUUAAAAAAUAAUGUUUAAUUAAAGGAAAUAAAUUUGAUCGAAUGAAAGCAAAAUCAACAAAUUUGACAAUCUUAAAGAUAAGCUAGCAGCACAAGAUACUGAAACUAGAAGGUCAUGAUUCAAUUGUAGGAUAGCCAACUCUGCACUAAAUGGGACACAUUGGUUAGGACUCAAUACAGUAAUUGGAAAUAAUCUCUCUCGCAUUUAAGACGGGGGCAUAUAGCAAUUUAGCUGAGCUAUGAUGUAUCUCUUAAACUCUUUUUUUUCAUAAGUGAAAGGUACAUUUAAUAGGAAUACCUAAACAACUAGUAUCUAUAUGCACCAAAAAAACAACAAAUAUUUGCUUGGCUGAAUUCAUGGGAACAAGACCCUGAGAGGAGGAAAAAAAAGGAAAAAGGAAAGGAUUUUCUAUGCCCCAAGCCAGCAGUGCAUGGAAAUUUCCUGAUAUGACAUUUGGGUAUCCUGCUUUUUCUAGAGCUUUCUGCUAAUUUCACCUGUUGGAUCAUAUGUGGGUGAGCUAAAUGAUGCUGCUUCCCUGUCCUUAGAACAAUUUCCUGAAAGUAAGGAAGUUGUUGCUUGGUUGCAAUCUCAUCUAUCAGAAUUAGGUACUUGUUUCCUUAAUAAAAAAAUUAAGUACCUGUUUAAGUUGAUAAAUAAACUUAUAUAGGCUUAUCCUCCUAAGACUUAAUUAUAUGAAAAAUGAUAAAUUAUGUUGAUUCCAUUACAUGUUAANNNNNNNNNNNNNNNNNNNNNNNNNNNNNNNNNNCUUGUCAGGUAGAGGACAAGCUUCCAUUCUUUGGAUUCAGACCCAAGCAGUCUUCUCCUGCUUCUCUUGUUAAUUAUGAGAAGCAUAAGAAGGAUCUUCCACUGGUUGCAGGUAUUCAAGUUCACUCCUCCCUCUUAGCUUUUCAACUUCAAUAUCCUUCCUUUUAUUCUGAAGAAAAUUCAGUAUCAUUACUUUUUUUUUUGAGGAAAUCAACAUCUCUACUUCUUGAGUUACUGUUAACAAUGAUUAGAGUCUUUUCCUCGUGUACCUUUUACCCUCUCAUCCUUGGUGGUUGGCUGCAUCCCAAACAGUGCCCUUUCCUCUGACAACAUGACAUGCUUUUAUUUUGCUGUUAAUUAGGUUACUAGAAACACUACAGUCAAGAUGUCAAUACUAAAAUAUCCUGCUCAUAUCCUUGUGACAAGCUGAGAUUAGUGCAGUUCAUGAGGUUGCUGAUCAUGAUAUGCUACAUCAACAUUUUUUUAUGGAAAUAAAGUUGGCAUGAAAAUUGUGCAGGCAUGAAUGAAAUGUCAUAGUAUUUUUAUAAUUUUUUUAGCCAAUAAUUUGAUUCAUCUACAGCAUGAUUCUAGUUGUUAGACUAAGGUGAGCAAGAAACAUAAAGAAGAUAAAGUUUAUCGACCUUUGUUAAAAGAUAUAGAGACAAUAACUAUUAGCUUGGUUGGCAUCCUUCUCCUAAGAUCUUCUUCUUAAGAAGGUUCAGGAUGGCGCAUUACCACUCAAUUGCUAUAGAAAAAGAGAAAGGAGAUGAUGAUGCAAAUAAUGGUGUCUUUAAAUAAUUCCAAGAUCGAUGAUAUUUUUGUUAUGUUAUUUUUGUAGAUCCAUAAUUUAGAAGAUAUUUGGACCAGAUAAUUGUCGUUCAAUCGAAUGUCCAGCUAGUGGUUUAAUCAGAUUCUCCACAAACUGCCCCAUAUCAUUUUAGUACUUCUCUAAACUAUCAAAGGUUCAAAAGUUUCAAUCAGUGAAAAAAAAAAACUGAAGCUGGCUAUAUCUUUCUUGAGAAAAAGGAGAGAGACUCGCUCAUACCAUAAUCAUCUUGUCUAUAUUUUGUGAAAAAAAAAGAGGAUCCACUUAUAUUAUAAUUAUCCAUGUCUAUAUUUUUAAAAAUACCAUCAAAAAAUCAAAUGAAAAAUCCCUAGUUCCCAAACUUAAAGUUGUAAUCAUUAGGACAAGCCCAGAUUCGAACUUAGGUGUGUUGACACUUGCUCUAUCGAAAGUUUAUAGGUUUAUUGAUUUCAUGUCACUAUAAGUCAUCUUUCCAAUUAGCCCUAUUUGACAUGAUAGUAUUUCUAUUGUUGCCUACAAACCCUUUUUUGGCUUCUUACUCAAACAUCAUAUAAAUUUAACUACUUUUAGUAAAAAUCUAAUGUAUCUAAUUUUUCCAUAAACAUCUCGGAUCACGAGCCAAAUGCAAAAGAUUUAUAUUCUAAUGGAAGUUUGUUUGAUCCCUAGGAAAAUGUUUAAGGGCAACAUGGGAUUGAGAACCCUAAACAAAUCGACCCCAAUGAGGCAGGGUUAUUAAUCCAUUCAAAGCCAUUGCCUAUGGUGGGCCGGCACCAAAGAACAUGUCCUUAACCUCUUAACGCAUUCAUCUAAGUGCUAACAUACUUUGUAAUUGUUGUUUGUUGUUAUGUCAUUUUCCAGUCUGUUUGCUUCUUUCUACCGAAAAGCAUUUGCUGGACCGGGACCUGGUUUCGAAGAAGUUGGUACCCUCUCUCCCUUAAAGGCACCAGGUUGCUUUUGGACCUUCUAAGGUGCAGUCCCAUUGGUGGUGUGAUCUAGGUACAUGGUUUGGAGGCUGUUCGAGCCCUGUGGUUAGGUAUAAUGUCCAUUGACCACAAGGUUGUAUGCCUAUGGUGGACUCAAUGUCUAGCUGAGACAUUUUGGAACCGACUUAAGCUGAUAAGAUGAAUUGACCAAUGAAAGCUCGCCACCUAGCCACGGGUUGACAAUUUAAAGCUUGCCACAUAGCCCACCCAAAAGACAUGCGGAGAGUUCUCUACAUUUCAAACUCUUUCCGCAGAUGACAACAACUCGGCCGUAUCGCUAGCUAUUUUCUAACAAAUGUGAUACUCGAGUAAAUCCCGCUAUCGAGAAAUACAGGAGAGAUUCACAUGCGAGAUAUGUGAUUUGUUACCUUAUCAAAUGACGUAUCUUCCUCAAAUUACUUAGCGAUGAGUUCUGGCCUUUGCCUAUAUAUUGCACUCCUGGGUUCUUUAGGUAAGUUUUCUUUCAAUUCUCUUGUGUUGCAUGUGCUUAUCUCAGGCUUCCUCCUGUUUUCUGAGAGUUGGUAUAUGACUUAGGCAUCGGAGAGUUACUCGUCGGACAUGCUCUGAUGGAUGAACUUUUUUAUUUUUGUUGUUUUAGGUUGGAGCCAACGUUAGAACGCUAUCUAAAGCCAUUCCUCUGCCUUCCAACUCCACCAGAUCAUCACCGUAGAGGCGUGUAACAGUCCUAUUCGAUCUCUCUAAUCCGAACCAUUUCAAGUUGGAGCCAGCAUUAGAGUGCUACCGAAGCCAUUCCUCCGCCAUCCAACUCUAUCAGAUCAUUGUCGUAGAGGUGUGUAACGAUCCUAUUCGAUCUCUUUGUUAUGGAUGGCAGACAAGCUGGAAACUUCAGCGACUGCCAUCAACUCGGUGCCUGGUUUGGAAUUGUUCCCAGCAGCUACAGGGGUUCUUUAUCAAAUCAAUAUAAUCAUUUAGAACAAAGAAAUCAUGGAUCAUCUAAUUAUUGGGCAGUUUAUGAUUAAUUGAAGACAAAAUUCACAUACAACAAAUAAUCAAUAUGAAGUCGAAGAUGGCUCCACUUUUACCGGAUAGGAAAUUAUUGUAGGGCAAUAGACCUCUUGAACUACCAACUUCCAUAAGUCAAUUAUUAAGCUAGAAUUAUUAGAUAAUAAUAUAAUAUUCUAGAAUGAGUUUGAAUGAUGAUCGAAUCUUAUAUGUGUACCCUAAUUUGGGAUGUGAAACUCAAGCUUAGCGGCAUGUCAAGUUCAUGAUAAAUUAGGGGAAAAGGAUUUUUCGCAUAUAUAUGUUCUUAAAUUAUAUAUAUAUAUAUAUAUAUAUAUCCUAUAUUUAUAUGGGUAUACAUGUAAAAAAGAUUAACUUAUAAGGAUAUAUAUGUAAAUAGUAAUUUUGUGAGAAUGUAUCUAUAAUUUCAAAUAUUUAUAAAGAUAUACUAUAAGGACCAGUGUGGGUGUGUGUUUAGUCCUACAUCGUUUAUUCGCCGGGAAGAUCUUAAGUAUUUAUAAUAAUACCUUCUGGCUAGCUAUUUUGGAUGAAGUCUUAGUUGUUACAAAUGGUAUCAAAGCAGAUCUGACCGAUGACUGAUAUAGAUUAAGGAGCACUGCAGCAUGGGCUGAUGGAGGCUGUCCACGGGCUGAUUGUAGUGCCUGUGAUUAGAUUUGAAUACAUGUAAACUCUUAGUCUGACGAGGACGUUAGGAUUUAAAUGGGGAAAUAUGUGAGAAACUAUAUGAGAGUGUGUUUAGUCCCAUAUUGUUUAUCCGUCAAAAAAUUUUGGGUACUUAUAAAUUACUUCUAAAUAGCUAUUUUGAAUGAGAUCAAAUUAUAUAAAAAAAUAUUUUUAAUAUAUAAAUUUUCUACGGAAGCAGUAUUAUUAGUAUCAGAUUCUGUCAUGCUCUCACUAUCAGAUCAGCCUGGUCAGCCUUAAAGAGUAGUUGCAGGUUGACAACCAAUGGAUUCAAAAACCCGCCCAUAGGCUAAUAUCAAGAGUGCCGCUUAGCUAAACUUCUAUUCGAUAUCUUAUACGGGCACGGGUACAAUUCGCUAGAAAAUGAUGAUUUUUUAAAAUAAUAUUUUUAAUAUUUCCUUUCAUCACAUCACUAAACCUGGUAACGAAGCGGCUCCUUGGCACGUUCACUUCAGAGACAAUCCCAAGAAGGCGCAGACCAUGCACGUGCCUACUGACGUCCCAACGUUCCGAAAAAAUUCAAACGGAGGCUCGGGGUCGGAACCAGAAAGGUUCGGGCUCGGCACCAGCGAGACUCGGGAGCUCCCGCUUUGAGUGGGUAGCUUCGAUUAAUCGAUGGGGGAAAAAAGAGAAAGUUCCAAGUGGGGCCCGAGAGGCGCGUCUUCGGGGGAUGGGCGGGGCCCACCUUCCUCGCGCCGGCCGGCCUGGGUGUAUCUUUCGCGCGACAGAAUGAUGGCCGUUGGAUCUCUCCCUGAACAGCUCUCAAAGCAGUCCGAACUCUUCAUCAGCGGCCAAAGCGCGAUCCAACGGUGGAUUUGCGCGAAGGAAGGUGAAUCCUUGUUUCGCGCGAAAGAUGCAACCCCUGUCCGGCCACGACAAAGGGAAAGGGCAAAGCCAAAGGCAGCCGGCCCCGCUCCCACCCGGCUUGUAAGGGGCGGGUCCUUCGCCGGAAGACUGGGUGGGACCCGCGGCCGAACACUAUGAACCCCCCGCCGAGCAAAGAUUUCUCUCAUGCGGCCUGCUGAUAGAAGACGGCAAUGCAUAUAAAAAACUCCAGAUAAAAUGAAACCCUUCUAAAGAGAGUAUAAGAAAUGAUGAGCGUACUGUACAAUUGUUUUGGUCACUUAUACAUGGAAUUUUUUCAAUAAGAAACUCUCAAUUUUUUUAGUUAUUUUAUGAAAUUUUUUUUGAAAUAAUUGGCUCGUACAACUUUAGAAUGGAUGUAUUAAGAUAAUCGGAAAAUGAAAUAUCCCAAAAGUGAAAUGAAAUAUCACCAUAAGUCUUCCUGCUGAUGUCUCCCGAAUGCUCAGUCAUAUAGAAAGCUACCCGGCUAGCCGCACCAUUCACCUCGCAAUAAGCAUGAAUCGCCUAGAAUUCAUCAAGGUUUUGAUAAUAUUUCAAAUGUCUCGGAGGAGUGGAUGGUCCCACCCAUAACCGGCCGGCCUAGCCACCCACCUGCAGCAUCUUUAAAAAAAUUUGAUUCAAGUGGUGUUUCCAAGCAAACUAUUUUGCUGUUAACCAACAGAGUAUUUUUAGCCAAAAUAUGAACACUCUUUUGAUGUCCCCAGCUUCACAUGCCAACCAAAGCACUAUAUUCUAAGUCAAAUUCAUUGCUGACCCUUUGUUGGAACAAAUCUCAACAAACUUAAUCACUAGGCAAGGAUUUGAACUAAAAAAAGAAGGAAACGCAAGUGUGAUUCAUAGGUGGACUAGCUAUUAAGAUGAUAUUUGAUAAUUAAAAAUUUCAAUAAUUUGCAGUCAGAUAUUUGUCUUUUUUUUAAAAAAAAUUCUAUAACCUUUAGUUUCUGCAUGAGGGUGUAACCAUUGAGGCGACACCUAAUACACAAAGUUAGGUGUCUAUUGAAGAGAAUCUAACAUCAUAUAAUAUGAAAGCAUUCAAAUUUAGGAUAAAAUAAUUGGAUUAUGCAUCCAAAUAAUAAAGAAUCGAUAGAUUAAAAUGAUAAGAAUGAUGAAGCCCCUAUCGCUUCAAUUAUACUAAUCUUGACACCAAUGACCAACCUUGUCGAUCAAUCUGAUUAAAUUACUGCACUAGUAAGAUAUGAGGGGCUUUUUGAUGUCUUCAAUCACAAUUUUUGUGGAAUGGAAACAUGAUAUGCGAAAAGAUCAUCUGUGAGGUAGGUAAUUAUGACGAUGUUGCAACUUUAUGAUCAAUUGAUAUACUAUUAUACUGGAUUAAGAAAAUUGAUCGAAUUGCUAAUGAUCAAAAGAUGCCAUUUGUUUAUAGGAUUGUUGGUCUACCAAAGAUUUUUUUCCCCUCCUUUUUGAUGAUAGAGUUCCUAGGAGCACCAUCAAGCGGUCCAAGAACCAUGCAAUCACUCUGCUCUCUAUUUUGUGCAUGCAUCACCAAAUGGAGGCAUGAAAAAUUAGCUUGUUGCACUUUAGAAUCAACCAAAGAUACAAUCAUUGAGCAAUGGUGGAGCUCCCUAGGUUUUGAUGGUUCAAGUUGGGCAUUAGAUGAAGAUCAGGCCUUCAACUAGGCUUGCUUAGUCUAGUGGUUAUGAAGUCAUAAUAUAUGCUGUUUGGUGACUCUCUUCCAUUUAAUCUUGUCAACCAACAAUUUGAUGAGUACACGAGCGUGGGUUCUCCUCACUUUCAAUUAAAUCAUGAAGGCCUGCUGUCACUCCCUUUCCUCUUUAGUUAGUUGUCUCCUAUUUUUUUAUGAACCGACCAAGGCGAAUGGUUUCUCCAGAACGAUGGUGCUUACUCGCGGUGAAGCAAAGUAAAGUCUUACCUAUAGGAUAUGAUGUUUGGAUAACCUGUCAUGAGCCCGUGGUUGGCCUCUCCUCAGGUUUAGAGGAUCUCAGUGUGCUUUUUGCCCGGUAGAGUCCUAUCCUAUCACGGAUGCCCACCAUAUUGUCCGUUUCAUAGAUGGACGGCUCUCCUUCAUCACCAUAACGCUUCAUGUACUGCACUAACAGUGCCUUGUCGUAUUUCGAGAAUGGAUGAGAGCUACCUAUCUUUAAGAUGAAUGACAUGGCAGCUAUCCAUGAUUACACUGGGUUUCUGCAGUGCAGAAGUUGCGCCGCAGAGGAUCCAAACUUAUAUUAAUGAAGAUGAGGUAAAAGGCUAGAUAUAUGAAGCCAAUGAUCUUGUUCCUUUUAUUGCAACAGAAUCAUAAGCCAAAAUAAUAUAGUAGUAGCCACUCGAUUGUGUGGAUCUCAUCAUUUUAGAACACUUUAACCUAACUGUCCACCAUAAUGCACGAAAUGUUAAAGGAUUGUUGUCGUGCCUCUUUGUGCAGGCCAACCUGCAGCCAUGAUAUGGAAGCAUUGGCCCUUAGGCUUGUAGGCUUCAUGGUCCAGGCUCUUAGGCUUCAUGGUCCAGGCUCCAUAACUAGCUUUCUCUACGUGGGCCUGUCUUCCUUUUCGAGGCACAUGCUUGUAUAUAACUCCUGAAAAGAAAACAAUGUGAGCUACUUCUAUCCCUCUUUAAUAUAAUCUCCACUCCUGGCUUCAUGAAUGCAUCGAGAUGGCCAGGUAGACUGAACAUCAUGUCUAACACAAAAGAAAAGGAAGCAGCUUCAUUGGCAUGUAAUUUUCUAAUGCAAACUGCAUUGAAUUGGACAACUCAACCCACUCAAAAGCUAGGGAAGGAAUGGUGGGUUGUCGCUGAGGGAGUGGUCAGGGUUUCUAUCUGGCCUUUUAACUUCUAUAUUUAGUUCUAUUUGCAUAAAAAUAUUGCCCAUAUACAUUCCAUCCACUGUAUGACUUAGCUAGUGCUUAAGUUGCCAAGGUGGAUACUGUAAUGCAUCCAUGACGACGAAAGGAGUAUGUGAGUUUGAUUACAAUUAAGGGCAUGUAGGUGCGAAGAUCGAUUUUUUAUAAGCUGUACAUCAUACCACGUGUCGAACACGCAUAAACAGAUUCUUAUUCAUCCAAACUACAGAAGACUCCACUUUUGGGAAGAUGGUUCAAAGUAUAUACAAUCUAUGUUUCUUAAUGUUAAUUUCUUACUCACUGAUGAUAAUUCUCAUAAAACCUCGAGUCCAACAACUCGAAAACUUUUCAAUGUAGGUCUAUUCAGGUUAGAUUGAUUUUUGAUCAAAUAAAUAUGUCAAGGAAAGAUUGCUGUAUGCAUCUAUUAGUUAGGUUGAUGCUGGAGGUUUUAAGCUUCACUCGAUCUGUAGAUUGAGUUUGAAGGACUAAAAAUAAAAGAAAAGACCUAGUACAUCCAUGCCAGUGCAGACUACACAAUCUUAGAUCACAUUGUCCUGUGUCCACGCAACAAGUAUGUGCCAACUCGCAAGCAUUUCAUCCAACAGGUCAUCAAAUGGGAAGGUUGGACCUUAGGACUGCUUUUUUUUUUUGGUACAUCGAUAGCUUACACUAGUCUCGCGUGAGUAUUGUUAUCUGAAUCAAAAGACAAAAUACUACAUAGAGGUAGAGGAACAGAUACAAAACAAGUCUAUAGAAUAUCACCAGAAUAAUGAGUAGCAAAGGAGGCAACCCAAUCAGCAGCUCUUUUCGUCUUCCAGAACACAUGCACAACCUGGAAGACAUCACACUUCCUCGAUAGUUGCCAAAUGUCUUCUAAAAGCGGGUGGUCGAGCACCCCCAGCUCAUUCUGUAGAAUCCACUCAAUCACCUCCGUAAAGUUCCCCUCCAGAAUAAUGCUUCGGGCCUCCAGAACUCAUCUUGCAUAAGAGACUCCCUCCUAGACGGUUCUAAGCUCUGCCCUGGAAACUGAUGACUCAAAGAUGUGGCUCUUACUGUUUGUGGGAGGGCCUGAAGCUUGAAUACUUUGGGCCCAGUUUUGCAAACUUGAGUGGGGCUUGUGCUCUAAAGAAUGCCUACCAAAAACUACAUAAGAACUCGAUUGGAAGGCAGAAUCUACCUACAUUCCUUAUAUAAUUCAUCAUUAAAAUCUCAAAAAUUUCCUUUAGGCAAAGGAUAAGAAAGUUGGAGGGAUAAGCGGAGUCCAAAGAUUGCUCCAGUCCCUAUUUUUAAUGGAUAACACAAUCCAAGUAGGUGCUCCGGUCUUCCUUGGAGUGUGCAAUCUCUCAAAUUAUAGAUACCGGAUUCUUACAACGAUUUUUUUUUCAUCUACAAGUUUUUGCGAGAAUUUGUGAUCUCAAGUUUACCGACAGGGACUGAUUCACCCCCCGGCACUGUAUUCCUAUUUGGAGGAGAUAUCAACCGGAUACCUUAUACUGGCGGCAUGGAGGCAGACAGUCCUUAGUCUUGUGCAUCUUAUACUGCAUGUUCGGCCUGAAUCUAACCAACCCAAUCUGUUGAUUGGAUUAACUUGGGCCGAUAUUUGCAUGACUUGAGCUGGGUGUGGGCUCAAAAGUUCCAAGUCUAAUGGGGUUUAAUUGGGCAGAGAUUGAGCCUAUCACCAAUAGGGCCGGCCCUGCAGAAAACCAAUGCUGAGAGGAAAACAAACAAAACAGACUUCUUAAGCAAACACGGUGCUAAGCCCCCCCAAAAAAAUAAGAACUCCCCUUUUCAAGUGAGCAGAUUGAAUCCCUCAGCAAGAUAUGGCUAGACUUGUGAUCUCUGAAUGCAAGGCCUGGACUGAUUUCCACCAACCAUCAAUGCACAGUUAAGCAUGGUAUAAACAAACGCAACCAUUCUAAGUUGAGAUUCACACUUUCUAUUUUGUCAUGCUCCUUACGAAGGCCAAUCAAACAUUAAUCCUGCCCGAGUUUUCCAAACCUUUCCUCUAUCAAAGAUCGCUAUUUCUAGCCGAACGGGACUGACUAAAUUGAUAUGAACCUAGGUUAAAAUAGGUUUGACUUAAUUUUCAAAGAAAAAAAGAGAUAGGGUUGACUUGGAAAAAUCACGAACCUAAAUCAAGUUGGGUUACAUAGAAUCGGGACACAUAGAAUCGGGACGUAAUCAAAGGGAUUGAUUUCAAUCAAUAUGAACCUUAAGGUCCCUAACUAAGCCCAGUCGGCUGGGCUAUUCUCGAAGUAGUUAGACCUUAUAGCAUUAUCUGGAACAAAGUACCAUCCAAAGCUACAGCCCCCUCCUUUUGCUAGGACUAGGGAGUCAACGAUUUACCAAAGCUUCUCAUAAAAUUUAUGGAUGGUGAACAGAGGGAUGCAAAUGGACCACAAACCGUGACGUAACCGACCAGAAUUGGGUUGCAUGAUAGAUCUACUACUUAACCCUUGUUGGGUUAAACUUAAGGUCGAACUACACAACCGCAACGGAAACACACUUAACAUGUACUGACAAAACCAAGCUAGCACGACAAGACUAAAGAUUCGCCACAUCAUUAGCUUGAAGCACUCAACCCAACUUAAUUAUGGUUUCACUAGCACCAAUACGUUGAAUUUUGAACAUUCUACAAUUAGAACAAAGUCAGCCAUAUACCAUGUGCUCGGUCAAGUUAUAUCCUGGCACCAACAUGAAUAAGACCCAAAGAAAGAAGACAAUAUGAUUGGCAUGAUACACGGCCAAAUAGUGCACACAGUGUAGGAUAUAAUUUCUUCUAGUUCCCAACGUGCAUGUCUAGCCAACUAAGACUAUACCGUGCCAAGCGCGAGUCCAAAGGUUUACGUCACGUUGCACACGGCAAAACUUGUGUGAAUUGAACCAAAACCUCCAUAUAUUGCAACACCAUGUAUUUCUACAUGCUAUGAAGGGAGCCAGAGACAACAGCUUGGUUCGAAGCUAGCGAGGUGGUCUUGUAUUACCUGCCCAUUGCCUAGUAAACCUGGCACGACUGCAGCGACAUUUCUCUGCACCCUAUCUCUGCGAUACUUCGUGCGGAGCUCUAGAGAGCGCCGCUUGGGACUCGCAUCCACAGAGAGCAAAACGAAGUUGCGCUGAAAAAACAAAAAUAAUAAUAACAAGACUUCUCUGACUUGAGUUUGUGCCUAUCGUUUCUCCCUUCCUUCUGCUUAUGCCUGUAACUCUUCUCUUCCAGGUUCGUAUUCUAGAAGCAAUGCCCCUCGUCUUACUUACCCCAAACAAAACAUGGUUCUCCUUUUUCUCGAAUCUGGGGGCAAUACUUCUUUGUCUUACGAAAACAGAGAAAAGAGAAGACACGGCACGUAUCCAUUUCCAGCCCUUCUUAUUUCCCAGUCCAUUAAUCGGCUGAGAGCAUUUAUUCUUCUACUCACCUCGCUGGAGCGCUGCAUCCAUAACGGCAGAGACAAAACCCUCGCAAAACCCCAAGCCCCCUCCGCCGCCGCCGCCGGCGUCGAGAGGUGGCGAUCGCGACUUCCUCCUCCACCUCGAGGCCUACCUCGCCCGCCGGGACGGCGUCGACAAGCUCCUGAAGCUCUCCCGCUACGCCGCCAAGAUCGCCCUCUCCACUUCCCUCCCCUCUGAAUCCCUCUCCCCCCGCCUCAGGGCCUUCGAGUCCAGCGUCGGCCUCAGCCGCAAGGCCUUCCGCCUCGGCAAGUUCGUCCAUGACGUCAACGCCCUCCGCGCUGCCGCCGGCUCCCCGACCUCCGCCGACCGCCUCCUCCUCGCCGCCGCCGCCUACGGCGGCGAGGGCCUGUACUUCUUCGUCGAUCAGUUUGUGUGGCUCUCCAAGGCCGGCCUCAUCCCCUCGGGCUACUCGAGGAGGCCCCACAAGGUCGGCGCCUGGGCGGAGGUCGUGGCGCACUUCGGGAGCAUCACCUUGAAGGCCAGAGAGCUGCGGAAGAUCCGGUCUUGCCUCGCCAAAUCCAUGGAUGGUAGGGGGAACGAUGAGGAGACGAGCAAGUUGCGAGAGAAGCUGUCGCUCCAAGCGAUGUGGCUCGUCCAGGAUCUCGCGGACAGUCUAAUGGUAAUCGCGGAAGUGAGUGAUGGGAAGGGCCUCCUCUCGAAUCCUCUGUUGAUGGCCUCGGUCGGCAUUCUUUCGGCAGUAAUCGGCGCUUACAAGAACUGGAUUUGUUGCUGAGAUGUGUUUUUGAUCAUUUUAACUUGUCUUGCUCUGUUAUUUGGUUUCGUAUUUAAUUUGAUAUUUAAUAUUUUUGCUGAAUCGUACAAAUGUUGCUUUCAAGCCAGGGUCAAAGCUUCGAGUUUUAAGCAGUAUUAUUUCACGGAAUUUGAUAUUUUCAUUUUUGGACAAAAAAUUCCCAACAUCAAAUUUAAAGGUUUAUGAAAAGUUAUCAGCUCAAAAAAUACGAUUCCUUCGGAACUCAAAAAUAUUUUUUAUAUUUUUUUACAUAAUUUUCGUACAAUUUAGCAUUAAUAUUUUUUAUUUUUCUAUAAAUUUAUAAAAUAAUUUUUUAUUUGUGCAAAUUAAUUAAAAAUCGCAAGCAGAGAAGUCACUUUUACUGAAACGAGACUUAUAUAAUUAUAUACGAAGUCUGUUGUUUUAUCUUCUUGAACAAAGAGUGAAAAAGCUUUUUUUAGUUUUAUUGGAAAGAUUUUCAUACUUUGAUGCUAAUAAAAAAAAAUAUAGAUCUUAACAUUUUUAUGACUAUGAAUAUCUUUCAUCAAAAAAGCAGCUGAUGUAAUUCUAAAAAUGAACAAAGAUAUCUAAUUUUUGCCCCUUUUUUUUCCAGUAAAGGAACACUUUUUAAUGUAAAUAUCUGCAAUUCUUUGGAUAACCCCUAUUUUCUACGGAAGAAAAUGAAUUUAUCAUCCCAGAAAUUCUUAAGUCAAUUAAUGAGAGUGAGAGCACAUAUAAACCUAAAGAUCCAUCUAAAUCUGGGCAUUAUUUACCAAGACAAUAACAGACUUGAGCAUCAACAUCAAAGAAACGGGAGAAUUUUGAAAAGAAAGGAAAACCUUUUUUUGAGGUUCUAAGCUAUUACCUCUGAUUUUUUUUCUUCUUUUUUUUGUGUUUUUGGUUUUUCUUUUUCUUUUUUGGGGUGGGGCGCGGGGGGGAGCUGAACCACAGUUUGAGUGGCCCAAUUUGGUGCAACAAAACAUGCCCUAGGCUGCAUUAGCUUCCAAUAACAUAAACACAACAAUGCUGAUAGAAUAAAGUGUGCGUAGAAGAUGACAUGCUUCUAAGUGAUCUCGGAUUGCCGAACUGCCAGUAUUUAACUCAACUUGGAGCAGCCUCUCUAUGGUGAUGCUAGUGCUAUCUAGUUUCUUUCAUUUGCUCUCUUAAUUUGUUCAAGAAUUAUUCAAUUCUCAUUGUUCAUUUUUCAAUUUCCUCACUCUAGCUUUUAAGAUUUGGCAGUUUGAGGUCUUACAACAAAUCCCCCGCUUUAUGGACUGCAUCUCGACCAUGCUUCCUAGAUCCAAUUUGUUUUUGUCACUCACCUCUCAAUUAUACUCACAAUACAUUGGAUACGGAUCAGAGUGGCGGCUUGCUUUGCUAGCUCACCUUGUGCGCCCUUUGCCACUUAUACUGGCUUGCAAUGUAUGAUUGUGCAUUGAGAGUUGAGAUUGCAAUGGGUUAGGUCAUAUCGGAUAGAAUCUGACUUGACUUGCAUAACUUGUUUAAUAAACAGAUCCCAUCAAGUUAAAUAGGUUAAAAAAAACUAUUUUAAAUAAUUUAAAUGGAUUAAAUGGAUCUUAAAUAGUUUCAAUCGUAAUUGUAUCGACCUUUGUCUUAUUUUUCUACAAGUAAAAAAGAAAUAAGUUAGAUGAGUUAGGACUAUAAAAUUAAAUCCGUCCCAUUUAAUAAACAAGUUAAGUUUGGUCAAUUAUCUUACGAGCUGGAUUUGUUUAUCAAACUUAACCCACUUUCCUUGGAGUGCUUGCAGGUUAGGUCCCUUAGAUCCUAGUUCCUUGCAGCCAAGUUAGGGAAGGAGAAGGGAACAGAUUAAGAAAACCAAAAAAUAGAGAACAUUAGGGGUGCCAACGUGCCGGCCCGAGGCCAAGGCCCUGUAAAAUUUCUACAGGCCCAAAAGCCCAUCCCAAAUAAUUUAAAAGCUAGCCCGCAAGCAGCCCAUUUACAUUGAUAGAGAAUAUGACUGUAAAUCUUUAUCUAUCAGUAUUCACUAAAUAAGGAAAAAGAAAAAGCCUAGUAGUCGAUGAAGUCUUGCGUACCUAUUCUCGCAUUCCACGGUAGGUGGUUGAGACUAAACAAUUAAAAGAAAACAAAUAAAGUCUAUUAUACUAUGCAUUCAUAAACACGCAUGCGCCCCCAUUUGCUGUUAAUGAUUUGCAUGAAUUUAGUCUAGACACUGGUCAUUAUAACAGUUUUGUAGAGGAAUCAAUACAUUAAACAUAUUAAUAAUGUGUAUAUUUAAUCAAAUAAUGAUUAUAGUUACCACUAUUCCAUUAUAAUAGUUGUUAUAUAACAAAAGAAAUAGUUGUUAUUUGUAUUCCUACUGUUUUUCUAGAAAAAUAACUUUCUAGUUUCGAAUUUGAUGAAAUUUUUGACUAAAAGAGUCUGUGCUACUAUAUUUAUUAUUGAACAGUUAAUAUUUUUGGAUAAUAAUGCCAUUAUUUUUUGUUAUUUUUGUCAUAAUAUUAUUUUUUAACAACUAUUACAAUAAUCAUUAUUUUAAUACUUGUUGCCGCCGAAUUCAGAUUGAGGUUGGAGUUCAGAUUGGACGACACUGAGGUCUGUUGGAGAUAAACUGAGCAGGCUGGUGAUAGUGUCGGGUGUCGGUCUCCUUCGGGGAUAGCCUGCAAAAAGUCCACUUGGCAGAAAGUUUUCGGUGAGGAACUUUCCGAUGCCUAAGUUAGAAUAGAGAAGCAAUGCUGAUUGAAGUCAGUUUGCAUGGGCAGCGUACAAUGCUGAUUGGGCAUAGAUUGUAGUGUUGAUACGAUUGCGAGCUGUUAGAGCUGUCGGCUAUCAGAAUUUGUCAGCCUUUGUUGACGCUGAUGAGCUCUUCGGUUAGGGCCAAAGUCGCUCACCUUGCGUGGUUGGAUUCUUGGUUGGAGCUGAGGUUGUUCACUUUAGCGGUCGGCUCCUCGACUAGGGCCAAAAUUGUCUGAAGUCGAGGUUGAUUUUUUUCGAGAUCGAGAUGUCUAAUAUUUUCUCUAUCACUAAAUAUUUUAAAUUAUAUAAAAUAGAAUAUAUUAUUAUUACUAUUCUCAUCGUUGAUGUUAUUUUUAUCAUCAUCACGAUCAUCAAUAAUAGUUUCAAUAGUGGCCGAUAUGCAUGCAUGCAUAUAAAGGCGCUACCAUUUUCUUUUUUUCAAUCCUUCGCCCUCCAUUUAUAUAAUCUCAAGGUUGUUUUUAUUCAAAAGAGAAAUUGCCUGCAAUUUUUCAGGAACCUUUUUAUUUACUUUAUUGAAAAUUAAUAAAUUUUGAAAGUAUACAACUAUUUGAAUAUUGGAAGGUCUGUGAAUUUUCUGUUUAGAGAUUUCCGCCUUGUUCCUUCCUUUAGUUUUGAUUUUCAUAGAGGAAAGGGAUAAGUUUCUACAAAGAAAUUACACGCUGUACCACAUCAACAGAGCACCACAGGACCAAACUGAGAUGAGGCGUCAUCAAGGCGGCAAUUCGAGACGAACAUAGGAUGAAUGAAAUCUAUUGAAAUAGAGAUAUAUGAUUGGUAUGGUGCAUGCUACGUGGUGCAUUUGGUGUAAAGUAUAAUUUCUCGUUUUUAUGCUCAACAUGCGCUCUAAAAGAUGAGGUGGCGUCCAAAAUGGGUGUAUUAGUGGUCUAAACCUCAUCAAGAUGACACUGGAUUUUCGUGGUAUGUUAGAUAUGUUCAUAGAUAUUGUCAGCAAAAGUCGCCGCCGUCUACUGCACAAUCUUUGAGCAAUUUGGUGGUGGUGAUCACGACACGAUCAGUUGCGAUUUCCGAACAAAGAUGAUGUACUCCUCGUUCUUAACAGCCUCAACUAACGCCACUAAGAUUUUUUUUAAAAAAUUCUUUUAAUUAGAAACCGAUCCUUUAGAUUAACAGAAACAUGAUUCGUCUCUUCACUCUUCUUUCUUUUUUCUUGUGAGGUUGAAUAUAGGAAAGUUAAAAUGCUGGAACAUUGUAAAGGCUUUCCCCCUUGGCAAGGCCUGCAUCUAGAAAGAUUUGAAAAAAAAGGUAAUAGAGAGCUUAUUGGGUCGAGACUCUCAUAAGACAUGGAUUUUUUUUUGAGAGAUGAAAUGGAUGCACUUUUAAAUCAUUUUAAAAACUAUGCGGCUACUUGAAGUUUCAACCAGAGUGAGUGCUCAGCACAAUGAUGCCUUCAUCCCUGCAGUAACUGAGGAUGACAUUGAAGCUGCAGUUAGAUGUAUGAAUCCUGAUAAAGCCCCGGGCGCAGAUGUUUUUCGACCCUUCUUCUUUCUAAAGUUUUGGCUUAUGAUCAAAAAUGAAGUUGCACAUAUUGUUAUAUAGUUUUUCCGAUGUACUGUGAUGCCAAACUCUUGGAUGAAAUCAUACAUAGCCCUUAUUUUUAAAUGCACCAACCUUGCUCAGGUCAUCGACUGCCAGCCUAAUAGCUUAUGUAACACAGUCUGCAAGAUUGUGGCUAAAAUCUUGGUUAAUAGAUUCAAGCCUAUUUUGCCUUAUUGAUCUCACCAGCCUAGCUAGGGGCCUUUGUGCAGGGCCGAAAAAUAUCUGACAACAUACUUUUGGCCUAGGAAAUAAUGCAUUCACUUACGAAAGCCUCCCAAGAAAAAAAUCUAAUGAGGAUUCAAGUUGAUAUAGCAAAAGUAUAGGAUUCAAUGAUUUUACCUUCUAUACGUGUUGAUUCAAUUUGGUUUCAAUCAAAAAUUAUUCGACAGGUGCAUGCUUGUGUUAUACAGCCAAAAUUCUUCUUAUUGAUUGAUGACAAUCCCUUAGAAUGGUUUGCUAUAUAGCUUGUUGUCUCCGUGAGGGUGCCUCUUGUCCUCGUUAACUUUUUAUCUCAUGCUCUAAGAUGUUAUCAGUCUAAUCCGGUCGGACCGGCCAUUUCUCACAUUUUGUUUGCAGAUGACUGUCUACUUAUGGCUCAAGCUACAACUUGAGAUGCUCUAUGUUUAAAGCUAAUAAUAGAUGCUUAUUGUUAUUUCCCUAGGCAGGCUCUUAAUAUAUCAAAGUCACGUAUCGUCUUCAGUCCUUUGACACCAAGCUUCGUCAAAGAUCAAAUUAAAAGCCUUUUUCGGAUGCAUGUUACGAGGGGGUUUUGGAAGCAUCUCGGGGUCCCAUUGUCAGGUAUGCGCCUAAGGCCCUAAGGGCUUCUGAUUUUAACUUCUUAUUGGAUAAAGUGGCUCUCAAGGUUGCUAGUUGGAAGUGGAGGGCUUUGUCCAUGGCUGGCAGAGCAACCCUUCUAUACCUACUUAUGUCCUGUGUUUGUGUUCCAUCAUCUGUCAUUCAAGUCUUGGAAAAAGUAUUGAGGGCUUUUCUUUGGGGCCACCCAGCCAUGCUGAUAGGGAGGGGAAUCCAUCUUUGUUUCUUGGGAGGCUGUUUGUACUCCAAAGGACUUUGGGGGCCUUGGAUUGCAUGCUCUCAAAAGAAGACAGCAAGCACUCUUAUGUAAACCAGCUGCCCAUGCUGCUUUUCAUUAUGGGCCAAAGUGGCAAGGGCAAAGUACAAAUUUUCUGCUCUUCAAUAUGGAGCAAAAUCUGCAGCUAUGGAACUAUGAUUCAAUGGCAAUUUAUUUGGUCCAUUAGUGAUGGCACACAGAUCAAUGCCUUGUAUGACCCUUGGUUAACCCCCAUCCCUUUUAGUCAUAAGCCGACCUUCAUUAAUAUGGAUGUUCCUUCUCGGGUUAAGUUUUUUUUGGGUGGAAACUGUUGAAGCUGAAAAUUUCUUGCAGAAUUGUUUGAUGCAGUAGAGGCAUCCUUCCGUUGGAUCUUUGUACUUGUGACUUGUGCCCACAGCAACUUGAGGACUUGCUGCUCACUGUUGGAUUUGUACCUUCUUCUUUGCUGGGUUUGGUGAAAUUUUUAAGUCGCAUCCCAGGUAGAGAAAGGGAUUCAAUCCAUUGCUGCGUACAUGUCUUGGGUCCGCCAGAAAUCAGAGGCUAUUUCGAGCGUUGCAAUCUUCGCCGGCAGACUUAGUAAGGAGUACCCAUCAUCUUUGUAAUGAUACAUUCAAGCAUCAGAUGUUGCAUUCCUUUACUUCUCAGUCAAGGCGCUGGAGCCAAUCUUCUCUCUCCCAGCAGAGUUCAAACCAUUCUACUUCAAUUUCAUGGUUGCACCCCCUUCUCUGCCCAUGUUAGUGUUGCUGAUGCUUAUGGAGCUAGUUUCUUAAGAGUUUGUUCCAAUGUCUUUGUCUGUUUUUACGUAAACUUUCUGCAUAUAUAUAUAUAUAUAUAUCAGAAUCUUGAAAGGAUUGGCCUGAGAGAAGUUGGAUUUCAUUCGUACUUAUGAUAUAUUUUGAUACUGUUAUUUAUUUUGAUCUAAAAAUAAAGUACUAAAAGCAAUAUAUUAAAUAAUUUGAUAAUACGAAAACAAAGUAUAAUAAUAUUUUUAUUAUAAUUAAAUAAUAUAUUAUAAUAUAAAUCAUAUUGAUAUAAUAUAUUAGGUAUUUUGCUAUACUAAUUUUUUUAUGCUGAAUUAAGAGAUAUUUUUAUUUUUAAAUUUCAGCCAAAUUAACAUUUCUAUUCUAAAAUAAUUUUGGAUAUUCGAACUAAAAAAUAAAUUUUUCAUCAUUAGAUUGGACAAUGAUAUAAGAAGUAAAAAUGAUUUAGGAUCACUGUGAUGCAAUUAAGCAUAAUAGUCCUACCAAACUCUCUUUUUAAAGCUUUUCUAGGAUCGAUAACACGUACCACCAUAUGCCCUGCCCCGCAAUUGGUCCAUGGAUGGAUCUAACCAGUGGGAAAAAAAAAAAAGUUUUCCGAGAUUUUAUAAAUUUCAUGAGUCAUAACUCAUGACCUUCCAUCUACGGGGAUCCGAAAUAACUUUCAAUGUACUUCGUCUAGUUUCCGUUCUCCUCCCGCGACACGCCCGUUUAUUCGAUCAUUUGAUCGCGAAGCGACGACUGAUCUCUUCUCGCCGGAUCCCUCGCGCUCUCUGAAAUCCAUGGCGGAAGAGACCAAACCCUCGCAAAACCCUAAAACCCCUCAGAUGGCGCCGGUUCCAGCGACGGCGAAAGGCGGCGAUCGCGACUUCCUUCUCCAUCUCGAGGCUUACCUCGCCCGCCGGGACGGCGUCGACAAGCUCCUCAAGAUUUCCCGCUACGCCGCCAAGAUCGUCCUCUCCACCUCCCUCCCCUCAAAAGCCCUCGCCCCCCGCCUGAAGGCCUUCGAGUCCAGCGUUGGCCUCAGCCGCAAAGCUUUCCGCCUGGGCAAGUUCGUCCAGGACGUCAACGCCUUCCGAUCCGCCGACGGCUCCCCCUCCUCCGCCGACCUCCUCCUCGCAGCCGUUGCCUACGGCGGCGAGGGCCUCUACUACUUCGUCGAGCAGUUCGUCUGGCUCUCCAAGGCAGGCCUCAUACCGUCGCAGCACUUGCGGCGGCUCCAAAAGAUCAGCGCCUGGGCGGAGCUCGUGGGGUACCUCGGGAGCAUCUCCUUGAAGGCCAAAGAGCUGCGAAAGAUCCGAUUUUUGCUUGAGUCGAAGGUUCGGAGCACGAAAUCAUCGGAGGAUGACGAUGAGAUACAGAAAUUGCGGGUGAAGUUGUUGCUCAAACAACUAUCGCUCGUCCAAGACUUCGCGGAUGGUCUGAUGGCGCUCGGGGAUGUGAGCGAUGGGAAGGGUUUUCUCUCGAAUCCUCUGUUGAUGGCUUCGGCCGGCCUUCUUUCGGCUCUAAUCAGCACUCAUAAGAAUUGGACUUCUUGCUGAGGGGUAGGCCUUUCGCUCUGUUCUCCGAUUCAUAGGAAUAAAGCCCCUGUUUUUAUCUGUGUUUUUCAUUGAUAGCGAGUAUAAGUUAUGGGAGAUGAAGUUCCAAACAUUUUGCAUGAAAUCUUAUAAGCUGCUUUGGUUUCUAAUGAUGUAAAACCGAUAUCAAUACAAUUCAGUUUUUUUUCUUUUCCUUCUUCCAACAGAUAAAUGCACUGAAAUGGAAUGGGCUUAUGAAGGGACUCUACUUCUCUAUUUUGCUGUACAAAAAUGUGUCCUUUGAUUAUCUUAGAACUGUGGUUACCUAGUUCAUUUAUGUGCUAGUUCAUUAUGUGCUUCAUCUUAGUACUGGUUGCAUUCUUAGUUUUCUCUUUCUAAAUAACUUGGGUAUAUAAUUUAUCCGAUUUGAACAGGUGAUCAAUGUUCACGUGAAUGCAGGGAUAAAUGAGAAAGGAGACAGUUUUAAGUGACAAUAGAAGCAAAGAAAUUUAGAAGAUAAAUAAAAAAGGUGGUAGUGAUACUGAAUGGCUCUUUACAGAAUCUUAACAGUUUUAAUGUAGACUUUGAUAUCCGGUGUAAUCCAGCAAAUUGGGUAAUGAUGGCUUUUCUUUUUCUUUUUUAAAAAAAACAAGAAGACUAUUCACUGCAUGGUGCUAUGGCACUGGUAUUAUGCCUCUUUAGUUCAUUAACAUUUCAAUGAUUCUGUCCUUUGAUCCUGUUUGUAUUGCAACUGCCUGCCCCUUCAUAAGAGGAAGCAUUGCAUUAAAUCCUCUUGUCAUUGGCAUGAGUCCUACAGCAAUAAUGAGUUGCGCAGCUUGGCAGUAGCUAUUUUGAUCAUUGAUGUAGAGAUUAAUAAUUAUGCAGGGGUUAAAUUAGGGAAAAAGCAAUUUUCUUGAAGUCUCCUUCCAUCUUGUUCAGUGGUGGGUCGCCUCCAUGGAUUCAAAUAUCAGGGAACCACUCAGUGAUCUGUAGUUGGGUCUCAAAUGCCACAUAAAAUAUGAUGAUCAGAAUGAAUAGGAGAGCAGUCUGGGUUUGAGAUCUUCAAUACUUUACCAUGCAUGAGAACCGAGAAGAGGGUGAGAUGGCAGGGAUUUAGAAGAUACAGAAUGAACUUCAGAAACUUAGAUCAGAAAAUUAGUUCUGGCAUACUACAUGGUAGAGCCAUGCAUAUCUACUUUGUUUGCUUAGUUCCUCGACCAGACAAACAAGACAUACUUUACACCACCUCACUGAAACUGAUGCACAUGCAAGCAUAUAUAUAUUGGCCACCAAAGCGAAACUUUAAAAUCCAUUAAAAUUUAUUAGUGAAACCUUAGAUAUCAACUUCUGGAAUUCUCCCUGUAUCUCAAAAAUUUAAUUUGGCCUCUCCAUCAAAAAAAAAAAAAAUCCUCCUAGUACAUCCCAUAUUUAAUAGCCUAUGCUUGUUCGUUUCUUCUUGCUUCUCUUCACCUGAUUACCUUUUGAAGCUUGGUUUCAGUACUUGAAUUUCAUGAAGAGGAAGACCCUUUGACUUGUGAUUGCCCAUCAGCUUCACGAUUGUUCUAAUAAAUUGGGCUUUUUAACUUUAAGCACUUUCCAUUAAAUUGUCAAGUUGAAGAAAGUAUUUGAACCCUUGUAAAAUUAAAUUGCUAAUUGAAGAGAUGUUGAAAAGUAAAAGUUCAAAGACAUCUUGGAUCUUUCAUUUCUUGAUAUAUUGUAAAUGGUUGAUGGCAAGGCAGCUGAUGUUCAUGUAUUACAGGUUUAAUGAAUUCGCAACUUCAUAACCCAUUUAGGAACUGGAUGACUAAUCCAAUGUAUCAUUAUUGCAUUAACACCUAACUACAGAUCAACUCCUUAUUCUACUUAAUAGUAGGAAUGGUUGAGAUCAUUUGCAUCAUUACCUUGUUUUGAUAACACGUCCAUGUUCAAGAUUGCAUAGACAAAUUCAGAUACAUUAAUGUUAUAUGGUAUACUAAGAAAGCAUGUCUCAUUUUAUUCAAGAUCACCCUUCUAUGGUUUGAUCAUCAGCAUAAUUGUCCCAUAUCAAAUUUUUAAGACACCAUAAUAUUCUAAAGGACUUACAAAUGCUCUUCUUUAAACUUUUGGCUGAGCAGGUAUCCAGAAUGUUCAGGUAAGUCUUUUGCAGGGAAACUGUAUUCGACAUUGUUGAGAGUUCUGUUUGGUUAUUCCCUUAAUAUUUCAAAUGAUGAACAGACUUAUGUAGGUUUAAUAAGUUUUGCUUAGAUCUCUAUAGUGUAUCUGAGGUUUAAUACCAUCUUCACUGCUGCACAAAAAGUGAUGAGUUAACUUGGAUGAAAGAGCUAGAAUUUUUAAAAAAGAACAUGGGAACAAAUUUAUCAUUUUCCCUAAGAGGGUAGGUUAUGAUUUCAUUUUGAUUUUUCAUGCGAGGAAAGUCUCUCUGUCUCUUCCACCCCAAUGUCGACAACCUUCAUCAUUUUCUCUAUCAAGCUUGGUUUCCAUAAUGAUUAGCUAUGCAGGUUUUCAUCUGGUUACCACCUAUUAACAAGUUUAUAAUAGCACUCUGCAACUUCAUAAGGUAAGUGAGCCAUUUUUCAGACACAGUAGCUGAAGGUGGUUGUAGGAGGUAUUUUGAAAAUUCAGUCAGGAUGUCUGGGACCUGAAUCCACACGCUACGUUCUACCUUAUUUAAGAAUCAAGAUUACAAAGGAUUAUUUUGUCUGCUUUCUGUAUCGCAUUUGCUUACCUAUUUUGCGGUUGCUAAUAUGCAGAUAUAAGUUCAACGGAUUUAAGAUUUGCUUACCACUAAUAGUGGCUACUCAAAGGUAAUUUCAGUAUUCAAUCUGCUCAUAAAACUCGGAAUAUCUAGCAACUGUCAAGUUACAGAUUUUGAGAAUAUAUCUGAAGAUCAUCAUGCUUUUUUUUUAAGAAAUAAAAUGGUAACUUGGCUAUUUUACAUGGCUCAAGAAUUAAUUUAGUUUCUGAAUAUAGAAAAUAAAAUAUGCUUCAAGAUCAUCAUGCUAUUUGAAUGCUUCAGUGUAGAAAGGUCAUCAAUGUCAGUUGAUCUAAUCUUCAACUAAAACAUCUAGAGUUCUGUGGACGCACUGUUGUAUAUCGCUACAGCAACUUAAGAACUUAUCAAAAAAAAAACUAGCGAGAAAGUAUUAUUUAGUUUUUUUAAGUCCUGUAUAGAUAUUCAAGAUCUCUUCGAUGUAUAAAAAAUAUGUCUGCAAAAGUCUUCAUGCGCACAUCUCUUUGUCAGGUUAAAUAUCCAAAUCUAAUCGCAAAUACCAUGAUGGUCCCGUGGUCAAUCCUAAAGUGUCAAUGCCAUAAUGUCCUCUAGUCCACAUGAGCUAUGAGCAUUUUGAUACUAUUUAUAAUCAACCUACAACCUUGUCGAAGAAGGCUAAUCAAAAGGUAUUAUUUGGAUUUUUUGAACUUGUAUAGGUAUAGGCAAAUGCACACCCAUCCAGAUCCUCACAAUCACACUGUAGCAUGCUCUUUUCAUGGGAAAUAUGAAUAGUGGUAACUUGAGAGGGAGUUUGAUAUUGAGGUUGUACUGCAUGUUAGAAAAUAAUUCACAGCUAGCCUAGUCAUUUAUUAUCAAUCUGUAAUCGAAUCUAAUUCUCACACAGAAUUUGAAACUCUUCGAAUGUUAAUUAUAUUCCAUGGGGAAACUUUUUUUUUUCUUCCGUUUUUUAGCCUAGUCAUAUUUGAACAUGAGACUUCUCCCUUAGAAAGCUACCCGCUAUGAGUGAAAUUCUAACUAACUCUAAGGUUAUCUAAUUAAACAUCGGAAGUUACAAAUGAGACUGCCCAGGACUAAAAUGGUGAGUGUUGGGGUUGUUUGAUGCUAAGGAGCAUCUACAUUGAGUAGGUUAUAGAAAAGAAAGCAAGGAUAAAGUUGGAGAGGUUUUAAGGAAGUCCAGAAUUUUCAGGCCAUCUCCCUAUGUGAAUACUUUUGUAGUUUGUCCUAAGACUCCUAACUCCCAAGUAAGCAUCAAUGUCUGAAAUCUUGUUCAAGAAUUAAAUCUAGAAUUAUGUUCCCGAUCCGACAUUGUUUUGGAUCCGAACUUGUAAGAACGCUCAACUUUGAUUGGCCCGGGACAGACCUUGGCCCAGCGACUGAAAGCCCCCAAAUCAUCUUCACGUGUGAAACUCGUAGGUACGAAGCCACGUGCGAUAAAUAAUUGGCAGGUGAGCUGCGUUUGGAGGCGUAGACUUUUCUUUUAUGCUGGAUCCGUGAUCAAACGCAUCACCGCUUAUUACAUCCCCAUCAACCACGAAAUCUGUGUUCGUUCCCCCGUCACAUCACACUCUGUCUGUAUUCCAUUUUAAUGGGCCCAGUUUCAGCUCUACCACAAAAUGUCAAAACUAUAGUAUUCCUCCAAAUCAAAACUCAUAUAUUCAAUGGGAUCAAAACCAGCAUAUUCCAUGUUCCAUCAUUGUAUGCUAUUCCUCAUUUUGACUCCUCAAGCUUGUUUCUAGAAAUUAGUAAAGCUAUGUGGCCCAAACCAAUGCUAUUCUCUGCAAUUGGAACACUGCUGAUAACCAUGCAUAGAAAAAAAGAAAAAAGAACGCAAAGCAAAUUAGUGCUCUCAAACCUAUGUCUUCUUGCCUUGUAGUCGGCCAGCACUGUAGAAAAAUAUUUAUUUAUAUUUUUGAAUCUCAUAAGACUUCCCUAUGAAAAUAUGAGCAGGUUUGAAAUUAUCAGCGGCAGUGUAACUUUUCAGGCCAAGUAUGUGUUUAAAAAGUAAAGAAGUGAACCGUAUAGCAUGUUACUAGUACUUCAAGGAUGUCCUAUGGAUCGAAAAGAAGUUGUCCCGAAUAUUCUGAAAUUUAUUAUUUUUUAAUUUUUUUAAAUUAUUUGAAUCAUUCUUUUUUUAAAAUUUUUUUUAAUAAUUUUGGAUUCAGAUGUGUCGUAUAUGGCAUCCUGGGAAAAUAUCCACCCUGUCAUGGAAACUUUUAACUCACAUGAUUCCGUGCGGCUGCGGGUCGCAUUCAACACGGGAUUUGGACGCAGUCUAUCCAGGAUAAACACGAAUGAGGUAAUUAGCCGAGGGAGAGAAAUCCAUACGGUUAGAUCCGCGAUCAUCUCUGAUCUACGGCCACGAUCCCACGACGCCACUGAUAACGGCUGAGGGCCACGCCCCCAACUCCUCCACAGCCUUCGCGAAGCCACCACCCCCUACCCGCUCUCCCUCUCCAAGUCUCUCCCACCAAUGGCUUCCCACCCGCAAGAGGACUAGGUUUAGGGUUGGGGUUAGGGUUUUGGUUCUCCCCAAUGGCGUCGGAGCUGAAGGAUCUCGGUGGGUCCAACGGAUCUUUGGACUCCAAGGAGGAAUCCCCCCGCGUCGGCGGCGGCGGGGAAUCCUCCGGCAAGGCGAAGGACCAGCGGCCGCUCCUGAAGCCCGGGUCCGCCGCCUCCGACGGCGACGGCGCGGCCCGUCUCUCGGAGAGCAUCGAGGAGCUGGAAAAGAAGUACGCGCCGUACGCGCGGAAGGACGUAUACGGGACGAUGGGCCGCGGGGAGCUGCCGGCGGCGGAGAAGGUGCUCCUCGGGGUCGCCCUCGUGACGCUGGUACCGAUCCGGCUCGUGGUCGGGUUCUUUCUGAUGUUGUUGUACUACCUGAUUUGCCGGCUCUGCACGCUGUUCUACGCUCCGAACCGGGAGGACGGGCGGGAGGACUACGCCGACAUGGUCGGGUGGAGGAGGGAGGUCGUGGUCCGGACCGGGAGAUUCCUCUCCAGGCUAAUGCUGUUCGUGCUCGGCUUCUAUCGGAUUCGCGAGCCCCGUCGGAGUUUCUCCGUGGAGGUAUGAAUUCAAUGAUAUCAGAUAUUUUCUUCGAUUAGUAUAUUGUCGUGUUUGAAGUCAAUUUAAUGGUGUCAAGAUUUUCUUUGAUUAGUUUUUGAUCAUGUUCGGAACUUCUUGAAGAAUUAUUAACUAUAAUUUGUAUGAACAUAGUAAAGUGACUUUCUUGAUUGAUCGAGACCCUGAGAAUGGACAAGUUGAAGCCAUCUUAUGUUGAUUUAGAGGGCAUUUACUUGAAAAAGUAGUUGGUUUACAUUCCAUGGGCAGGUACAGUUUACUCCAUUUAUCCCCGUAGCCAAAUUUUGGAUCAUAUUAUGCGAAGUAAUGUUCAUAAUGGAGAACUCACAAGAAUAAGUACAUUUAUAGUGAAUCGUAUGUGAUAUAAGACUUGUUAUGAAAUAAUCGAGAUGAUCUUCAUCUGCUGAACUAGCUUAUUCUUUAUCUGUUGCAAUUUACAAAUCAUGCUCUUCUGCCAUUUCUUCUUGCUUUCUCAAGUUAGCAACUAAACAACAAUUUUAAAAAGUAAAUAAUUAUUAACACAUUGUCAAGCAUGCCACGAAGAGAUCGAUAUACAUUUUUCUUUUUCAUGUUUUUGGCAGGAAGUAGAUUGUAUUACUAGAUGUUAUUGAGCCACCUGCUAAUACAAGAAGUAUACAAAAGUGGGAAGAAAAUAAAUGCCUCUUUUUCCCUUGGGAGUUGUUUGGUUAUCGACUUAAAAUAGGUAAUUAUAAAACAUGAUAUUAUAUAGAACAGGUUUUAUGAAUAUGAAUAAGUACCUGUUUUUAGAAAAACUCAUUUUUCAGGUUUCAUGAUUUCUCAAUUUUUACUAAACUAAUUUUAUGGCAAUCAAUUAAACAAGCAUUUUCAUAAGACCCAUUUCUUGAGGUUUUAGAUAAGCCCGUUUUACCAAUGUCUGAUAACCAAACAACCUUUCAUUUGAAACUUAGAGAACUAAUUUCUAGCAUAAUUGCAAGGAGCUUUACUUGUUCUAUGCCCUGUGAAGCAACCUGUGGCAUUAAAUCCAUGGUUAUUAUAAUAUUUUUUACAUAGAGUUCUGUUAUUUCUCGAAGAGGGUAACAAAAGAGGGCCAUCAUCCCUGUAAAGUCUUUUUGAGGCCUUCCUUUCAAUUUUCUUAUUAGUUUUUUUUUUUGGGUAUAAGAAUUUCUCAUAAACUUUGUGCCACUAUGUUGACCUUCUUCUUCUUCUUUUUUUUAAAACUCUUUAUACUUCCUACUUUAUUUAUAAUACUACCUUAAGAGAAGAGUUAGCUAGCAUCUCCUUUCCAACUAGGAUUUUAGUUGAGACAUUGACCAAAUCUAGAAAAUUUGCACCAGGGGGAGUGCACAAGCUCUUUUUUCUUCAAAUACUUGAAUGUGUGGUCCUUGAAAGCGAGAUCAAUGCAUUCCCAGAACUCACACUUUUCAAAUGCUUGUUUUUCCCUUGUAAGAAUGCUUUGAACUGCGUUUCAGACAUUUGGUUUUUAUGUUCUUGUUGGAGUAGAGAGGGAAACAUGAUAUUCUUGGAUUUCAGUGGUCAAAUGACUGUGGCUGAAGUGGGACAGAAAAAUGGGAUGGCUUUUGUGGUUUGAGAAGUUUCAUCGCUUAAAUUAUUGAAGGUUAUGGAGGUUAUGUACAGUUUCAUGUGUGGAAUGUGCAGGCUGUAAUUUUUAAUUCUAUACUGAAACGAAAAAAGGGGCUUAACCAGAGGCAAAGAAAUAGUUUCCUUCCCUUGCUAUUCAGUGGUGAGCAAUUAUAUCCUAAAUGGUGUAGAUUGCUUCUUUUCCUCUUUGCUUGUGUUGUGCCUGUGCCGAUGCCUAUAGUUAAAAAGAAAGUCUUGGAAUUUGUUAACCUUUUUGGGUCACAUGGCUUCAGACUAAUAAUAAUAAUAAAACUAAAAAUAAAUAUUUCUUCUUUUCUCCUAAAGUGUCUGUAUACAAAAAAGAAGAUUUUUUUCUUAAAUUUCCUCAUCUUGCUAAUUGCAAAAUCCUUUAACUAGAAUUUAGCUCUUAAAAGACUAUCAACAAAUACGACUACAUUGUUCCCACUAUCAACCGCGUCUUACACCACUAAUUAAAUGUUGGCUUUCUUGGCGGCGCAAUCAGUUUUAUUAGUCGGUCAAUGGCCUUGACAUAUAUAAAUUCUGGUCUGGUAAAUAGGUCAUGCAUAUUCUUUUCUCCUAAAUGUAGGUUGUCAAAUAGGACAAUCGUUCAAUUUCAAUCUUGAAGGUUGAUCCCUCUGUGGUGGUCCAAGAGUUACUGAAGUUAUAGAGAAUGAUAAUGAAUUUUAUUCUGGUGCAUAUAGAUAUUCGGAUGUUGAUAUCUUGUUAAUGAAAUUUCCAUUUGAUAGAACUUCCUUUGAUGCUGGGUCCAACUCUACAGUUUCUCCUUUUACAUCAAUAUGAUCGCCAAGAGUUCCACCUCUAAUCGCUUUGUCUCUAUGUUUAACCUCUUUUAAAGGUGGUUCUACCUCUUCUUUUGAUGGAUUGUCUUCAAUGAGUUUCUCAUCUGAAAUUUUUUUUUAUGAAAAAAUGGUUAGCAUGUUGAGAUUGGAACUGCUAACUGUUUGUGCCAGAACUAAUUUAUAUGAUGAAAUAAAAAGGUGUUGAAGACUUGAACUAAUGUGCAAUAUGCAGAAAGAUGGAGAAACAAAAUUUCUAGGGUUAGAUCCGACUUUUAAAAUUUUUUAUAUGAUUAUCGCUUUGGAGAAAAUAUUAAUAAUGAGAUAAUAAAAGAAAAUUAUGAGGAUGGUUGAAAAGGAAAAGGGGGUACAACAGAUAUGGGCUUACAUGGGACUGUUCUUGUUCUCCAAUGGAUAAAGCCCCGGAUUCUCAAGAGAAAAGGAAGAGAAUUAGUUCUUUCUUAUCUAGCAGCACAUGGAGAAAAGUAAGAAAAUAAACAAUGGAGUUUAGUCUGUCCCUCCUACACAAACUAUUAAUUGUUGGCUGAUCUCUCUUCCAACAUCCUUGUUUAGAAAUUAGAAAGGAUAUGCUAUCAAGCCUCUCUCAUCCUAAGAUGGCGUUCAAGAGAAAGAGGAAAGGAUCAAGAGUUAAAAUAGGAAAAGGAUGGUCAGCCUCUCUAUUAGAGAAGAAACAUUCGUUGUCACUGAAAAUUUGGGGGCAAGAUUUCCUUUUAUGCAUAAAAUUCUAAGAGAGAAGAGAAAGAGACCGAUGCCAAAUUUAUAAGAAUAACCAACGUCUUUCUUAUUUUAUCUAUCUUCUCACUUAAAAGCAAAUCAACUUUGAAACAUUAUUCGAGGACUAUGGUUGUAGAUCAUCCAUGGGGAGUAUCACAAGGGCAGAUCUUUGCAACUAUGUUGGAAGUCACUUGCCAUGAAUAGAUGAAGAGAUUAAUAGAGCGGCUUUUAAAGGAAUUAUGUAAACUCUCUUGAUAACUCUUGAAUUGAGGUUUUGUGCCUUAUCUGGAUGGUUGCCUAUUUUGGAUACAUACUUCAGCAAAGGAAGGUUGGAUAUCCAGGGUGUGCUUUUUGAGAACAGAUGAUUAUCUAAAUGGAAACUUAAUUAUACAUAAAUAAGUAAUUAAUAAAAUACUAAAAAAGUUGUUUUAUUUGAGGGCCUAUGUUCAUGCUCCUGCUGGCUGUUCCUGAGUUUGGCCCACAGUUUGACUAGGUGACUCAUAACUUGAAGAUAUAUUUAGUUACAGAACGAGAUUUAAAGGGAGACAUUAAGAUAUUGGCAUUAAAUCUCUUGAAAUCUCAGGCCAAAUUAUUCAAGAAACCCAAAUUUUGAGAAUUGAGCUCUCUCCAAUCCUAUUCAAUUUGUUUUUUUGGAUUAGUUGAUGAAUACUUAGAAUGCUGGUAAACAUAACCAUAGCCCUUGUACUUAACUGUUGUAGAACUCACAAUUUCGUCAUGGCCCAUAUUAUGUUCCAUAUUUUGCGAGAAAUUUUUUUGGCUAGUCAUGUUUUAUUUUAACGGAUUACUGCAGCAUUUUAAAUUCUGAAGUUUUUCUUCAUCCCAAAAUCCACAAUCUUGGUAUUGGGUACCAUAUCGAAAUCUUAUCAGUUUGGUACGGUAUGGUACACCCCUAUACCGAAAUAGCUUUUUAACCAUUUUUCUCAAUUUUUAUCUCGGUACGCCUCGGUAUGGGCCGGUACGCACCUCGGUACAUCUUGGUGCAUCUCGGUACAGGUCGGUACACCUCGGUAUGGGGCUUGCCGAUUUAAAAUUAAGUUUCAUACCAAUUUUUUCCUGGUACGGUAUGGUACGCCCUAUAUUGGGCGGUACGGGAUGGUACGGUACGGCAAACCAUGCUUCAACCACUAUUGUUUAGUCAUAGUGUAGAGGGAUUACGAACUGCAGUUUCUCUAUUUCUGCCUUCUGCUUGCUGCUGAUUGUAAAGGCUCGUGCUUGGAAUUAAAAGAUAAAAAACUUUAGGAUGCUUUUAUUUGAUUGAUCUGUUAUAAAGACAAACUGAUAGUUUUUUAUACUAUGAAUGCUACCCCAAUGUAGAUAAUAUAAAUUCAGAUACUUGAGGAGUAAGAAAAUAAUUAUUUUUCAGAGUAUGAUUUUCAGAGAUGUUGUGGUAUUAUAUAUUAUUCAUUGGUCUCGAUAUGCCUAUUAAUCACCCUUUUCAAUUAUCUCAGGAUGAGCACACAGAACAAUCUGAUGAAUCUGAAAGACCGGGGGUGAUUGUUUCUAAUCACGUAUCAUAUGUGGAUAUUCUCUAUCAUAUGUCAUCAUGCUUACCAAGUUUUGUUGCAAAGGUAGGUCAAUGUCUUGUCUUUGUAUCUAAGCAACAUCAAACCAGAAAUUGUAUACAUGGUGACAUUGUUCUGACAUACUCUCCUAUUGGUAAAAAAAAAAAACUUGGAUUUUGUUGCUGAAGAGAUCAGUGGCUAGGCUUCCCCUUGUUGGUCUCAUCAGGUACUUACAUAUAUUGUUUCCUUAGUUGUUCGUGGUAAAUUACUAUGCUACUGGACCUCGCUUUUGUAACUUCUCCAUUUAUGUCUAUGCAUUGUUAUUUUAAGUUCAACCAUUCUUUUUUUUAAUAUUUAAAGAAGAAAUUGCAGUAGUCCCGUAUAGUUUUGUAGUGAUGUUCUGUUAAUAUAUUUUUCAAUUCUUUGUUAAUUUAGUACAUGGUGUGCUAUCAAAUUUAAAACUGUCUUACAGUUAGCUGUCAAAAUUCCUAAAGUAGUUGUCUCAUUGAGAGGCUGGGAUGGGACUAAGAUAUGUCGAUUCUUAUUUGCUUUUCAACUUUUAAUGCAGCAUAAUUAUAAAUAGGGGCAGGAGUAGACUUUCUUCUAAGGUGGUCCCAGCAACAUGGUUGAUAUAAAAAAAUAGCGUCUGAGCGAUGAGCCCCAUAAAAAAAUCCAAAUCUGUUCCCUCCUUCCUGCUUGUUUCCUACUUUUGCAUGUAUAUCCUUUUCCAUUCCCCCUUUCUUAUCCCAAUUCCCAAACUGAGGUCACUGUUCCUUUACUUCAUAUGAACAAAUUGUAGUUUUAGAGUGUCUUAGUUUGAUCAUGUUAAAAGCAUGAUUGAUAUUUUAAACACAUGGUUAAUAUUAAAAAAGUUCAUAAAGUUUUAAUAAACUCUAUCAGUUAGGAGGAAGCUCAUAAAGUUUUAUUGAACUGUAUCAGUUAGGAGGGACUUGAUAUGUCUGUCAAGAGAUUUAGAUAAAAUGAAUAACUAGAGGGAUUUUAAAAUUGCUUUUAGAUACUAAUUAGCAAAGGGAUUUGGGUGAUGUGCAUGCAACUAAAAUCUCACGAUGCAUUAAAAUCUGGGAAAGAGGUAAGAAGCACUGCAGGAAUUAUGGAGGGAAACUAAGCCUGGUGGCUUUAGCAGUUGCAACCCACACUAUUGUAACAUUGUUGAUCCUUGAUGAUUGUCAUGUUCAUCUGCAUCAUGAUCUAGAGCAUCUUGAGUAAUUGACUUACAGUUUUUGAUCCUUCAUUUAAUGUAUUAAGUUCCUCUGCAUCAUGAAUCACGACGUCUUAAUUAAUUGAGUUACAGAAAACAAUAUCAGAUAAACAAAGGGAUGUAAUCAAAUUUCAUGGAGGAAAACUAAGCUUGGUGGUGUCAUUAGCAAUUGCAUCUUAAACCUUGCUCGAUUUUUAGACCACCUUGUCCUUUCAUAUUGAGAAGCUGAAGAACCAAAAUAUUGCCCUCCCACCUNNNNNNNNNNNNNNNNNNNNNNNNNNNNNNNNNNNNNNNNNNNNNNNNNNNNNNNNNNNNNNNNNNNNNNNNNNNNNNNNNNNNNNNNNNNNNNNNNNNNNNNNNNNNNNNNNNNNNNNNNNNNNNNNNNNNNNNNNNNNNNNNNNNNNNNNNNNNNNNNNNNNNNNNNNNNNNNNNNNNUCACAAAUUUCAUCCAGACUUGCUCGGUUCCUGAAUCUGACCCUUCCCCAUCUGAGGCCAUCAAGUUUUUUAAGGAUUUCUCAGCUCACUGAUGCACGAUCACUCUACUUUGAGUAGUUCUCUAUUGCUUUAUAAGUGCAAGUCCUAAAGUACUUAAUACUCAUCUGUCCUUCCUAAAUCUAUCACUAUGCCAUCAAACUGUUCUUACUCUCUUCUUCUUUGCUACACCCAUUUUGUGCACGUGCGCUCUACAUUGGCUAAUGAUUAGGCCCAACCAUCAUCAUCUGCCUAACUGUUUGUCACACAAGAUCAACUCAGACCAACAUGGAACUUUGAAACCACACCCGAAGCACAUCUCUGUUUACAGUUUUAUCUAUAUAUCUUCCAGUGGAUUGAAUUUAUAAUUUUGUGGUCUCUCUGUCAAAGGAUUCCUAUUUAUAUUAAUAUUUCUACUAAAAUUAAACUCAUAUAGUUCUGCUAAUUCUUUUGGACCCUUACCUUCGACAACUUUCUUUCACAUUUUAUUUUCUCUCAUACUAUCAUCCCAUCCACUAAUGGUAUACAUUAUUUGCAAAUUGCAUAAAUAAUGAGAACUUAAAUAUCAAAAAUUACUUCAUUUAAGACAAGCAUAAGGCUUCCAAUUGGCCCUUCAUGCAGUUUUAUACUUGGCUGUUCAAACUCCCCUAACCGACCACACUUUUUUUCACACUUGUCAUGUUUGAUUAAUUAUUGCUCUAAGCAUGCCUUUUCAUCUCGGUGCCUUUUCCCACUUUUCAUCUUGUGCUACUCUAUUAUAUGUUUUUCUUAGAAUUUUGUAGUUUAUUGCAAAAAAUUUAAAACAGAUAAUAGUGGUGGAUCUUGCUUUAUGAUAUUGAAUAGAUAAGUUGCUGCAUGAAUACUUCUCUCAUCAAGUUCUAUAUUGCUUUUACUCAAGAUAUCUCAAUCCUGUAGAUGUUCUUACUAAGCAAAUUGAUCUGCACGAUUUUUAAUAACAAUUAUUGCACCUAUCCCAUGGUCAAUUCCUUCCAUCUAUUUAAAUUGUAGCUGCUGCUAUAACAUAGCUGACCAAUGUUAGAUAGCUUCCAAGCUCCUUGCCUAAUGAUGUCGUUUAAAUAUCAUUUUGUUGUUUUAAUUUGUAACAGCCUCCUAGUAAUGAGUUUGAGCCUUUCAAGAAGUUAGGGUGGCCUUUGCUAGCAACUCAUCAUUCAUACUUAUUUCUAUUUGUGGUUGAUACAUGUAUGAGUUAGCGGUAAUUGAGGCCCUGCCCCCUGGAUUGAUUGCCGUUUUACAUUUAAUCCCCAUGGAAUGAAAUUUUUUUACACCUGGUCCUUGAUCUUGAUGGCUAUGUGCCUGCAAAACAGGGAUUUAACUGUAUGGAGAAACAAGCCUCACUCUGUACAAAACACAAGCCUAAUGACCUUAACUGCAUACAGAGAUUAAAUGUAAGGUAUAGUCAAACAAAGGACUGAGUGUUCAGUUACCCUAUGAACUAAGUCUUUUUCCUUUGCACCUUACAUUUUACUCAUUAUAUUUCUUAAUGUCAUUUUUCCCUAUGACGAAACAUAAAUAUUGUCACUCCUUUUACUUUUCCAUUUAGCUUCUAUUAUUACUAGUCAUAUAAUGUUCUCAAACUGUGAAUGAUCAUACAUUGACCUGUAAAUCUGAUACCGUAUAAAUAGGGUAAGGCUUGUUGGUUUAGGUUCAAAGCAUUCCUGUGAUAAUUGUGGAAACUAUUUCUUAAACUUGCUAUUUCCAUAUGCAAACCUACAUAGAUAACUUCAUGUCACUGUAGUUUUCUUGCUGAUGUCAUAUUCUCAGAUCCUAUGAGUUGCCAAGAUUUCCCUUGCGCAGAAGUUAAAAAAUCCUAUGCCCUUUACCAUAUUACCUUGCAGAUUUUUAUUAUGUUUCCUCCUAUCAUGUAUUGUGUUAAAGAUAUUAUAUUUCUAUCAAUUUACUAAAACUUAUGCAUUAUCUUUCUUAGAAGGAUGCAUCCUCAUAUUGUUGUUUCGCACCAUAAUAUGCACAUUUCAUGCUGUAUAUUUUAGUUCAUAAGUGAAGCUUAAAUAUGCUAAAUAGAAAUAAUGGCUUUAUUUUUGCUUUUAUUUGCAGCAAGUGCCUUGGUUGUGUCUAUGUUCAACGAGAGUCUAAAUCUUCCGAGUUUAAGGGUGUUUCAGGUACGUUAGCAUUCAGAAAUCUUAAUCAUUUGUACAUGCAUUUCUUUGUUGCAAUUUAUAUUUUUAUAUAUUCAACAUAAGCCAUUAUAUUCAAUGUGUUACUUUUGCUGCUCAACUGUUGAGCAUGCAAAGUGAUUUGUUUUCUUGGCAAUUUGGGUAUUGAUUGGGUUACAUCUUUGUAACAAUAUAUGCACCAUUGAAAUUUAAAAAAAAUGGUUUUUGUUCUUGUGAACUGUUACCAUCACUGUUAAAUCUAUGAACAUCUCUAGUUCAACCUUAAGAGUACCGUUUAGAAAUCUUUGUCCUCCACCAUGUCCAUCAUACACAAAGGUACCACAUGACCAACCUUUAUAGAAAAUAAAACACAUGAAAAUAUAAGAAGAUGAUAUUACAGACAUGUGCAGGACUUUUCACAUUGUGAUAGAACCACUAACUGUCCAUGGAGAUGCAGAAAUUGGAUAGCGAUUAAGAAUGCAUGAGAGCCUAGGGCCUGUAUAAAAUCAUGUUCUUGCAAGUGAUCAAUUUUUUCAACUAAGUAACACUAAAAGAAUUUUUUUGUCAAAUAAACUAAGAAACAUUACCAACAAAUUGUAGAGACUUUAGGUCCUCAAGUUAAUAAAUAAGAAGUUUGAAGCAAGCAUACGUCUGUUCAUCUAAUUAACUGUUGGAGUUUUAAAAUGCAUGGAAUAUGAAACUGACAAUAUCCUAUAUAUAGUUGUAAGAGAAGAAAUUGAUUCUGAUCUUUAUUAGGUAAUGGUUGUAUAUGCACUGAUUUUAUACUUUCCUGGUAGUCUUACCAGCACAAUACUCGUGAGUUGCAUCAGCCUUAUAGUAUGUGGUAUAUUUGCAUCUGAAUUUAAUUUCAACUACAUGCAGGUCUUCUGACAGAAAGAAUUAAAAAGGGCCAUCAAAACAAGCUUUACCCUAUGAUGUUGCUCUUUCCAGGUCAACAUGUGCCAUGAUUUCUUUAUGAUUUUCUUCUUUCACUGUUUUAUACUGCUUAACUGAUUGUGGUUAUCUACCUGUUUGAUGUCCACACACAUAAACAGUUUUUUAAGUUCAGUAUAUUAAAACAAUGAAUUCUGAUUUUUUGAUUAAAAAUUAUAUAAUGAAUCUUAUUCAGUAUUUGGUAGUCCAAGCCUCUUUCUUUUUUAUUUCUUAGGUUUCUGUUUGAGUAUGAGAUGCAUAAAUCUUUUGAGAGAAAAUUCUUAGAGUGCCCAAAUUAUGAUUAUUGCUAUACCAAUACGAUGCGGGAUCACAUGCCAAUUUUUUGAAAGCACAUUUUGGAAUUAUUUGAGAGUUGGAAGGUAGGAUAUAUACAUGUAAAGAAACUUGCUAGUGGGAUGCCAAGGUUAAAAGGUAGUGAGGUGGGAAAAAGGUCCAAAAAAACCAAUGCAUAAAAUAACUAUGGAAAUCUAACUGAGUAAAGAAAAAAACAAAAAUGUUUACAUGAGUUAACUGCUUAUGAUGGCCCAUACUAGUUACACUUUAUGAAAGGCUACAAGGAUAUUUAAUUAUAGUAGAAUUAGGUGAGAUUUAUAGUUCUCCAUUGCCUUAGGUGCUCCAAGAAAAGAGACAACGAGUUAUUUGCCUUGCCAAGGGAUGGUAAGUAUGUGGAUAUUGACUUAUUUGGUAAUCUAGUAGAAACCAAAAUGACAUUUUUGAGGAUGUGACAAUGUUUUUUUUUUCUGUAACAAGACUUAGAUCAAGAAUGAGGUCAUGACUACUCAUGAAUGGUGCCUUGAGAGAAGUCUAUGAUUUAAAUUGAUACUUAUGUGUGCUGUAAAAAUUGGAAGAGUCUGAUGGCUUUAUGGAACCUGAUAGGAAUUAUAACAGUUGUCGUUUAUUACUGUGACAGGCAUCAGAUUCUAGAUGCAUAUAAAAUCGCCAAACAAUUUGGAUAAAACAUCAAUGGAGCUAAUCAAAUAAAGAAAACCACCUAGAGAACCUAACAAUGAGUCCAUUUGUUGAAGUAAUUAACUCAAAAAAGGAUAGACGACAUCAGCUCUUUUCUUGAGGAAAGGCCUAGAACUUUGCCAACCUAUUGCUUACAUAAUUUGAUGAAAUGGAUGAAGGUAUAUUGUCUAUUAAAAAAAAAAAAGAAGCCUUAGGCUUGCACCAGCUUGUCACCCAACCGUGGGGAACUGUUCUGCAUCCAGGUAUGUAGAUGGGAAUGAUCUAAACAGUAUGAAGUUUUAGGCCACUUAUUCAAGCAUUCAUGUAAUUUAGUGAUUAAAUGAUCAAAUUUACAAGUAGUCUUGUACGAACAUAUAGGUAAUCCCAUGUGCAAUACUCAACUGGUUAUAAUUCUAUCCUCUUAUCUCCUUUUGGCUUCGUUUCAGUCUGUUGCUUCUCUUCUUUUUCCAUGCUCUAACUGGCCUUUUUUGCCAACUUCAGAAGGUACAACCACAAAUGGAGAUUACCUUCUUCCAUUCAAGACUGGUGCCUUUCUAGCUAAAGAACCAGUGCUUCCAGUGAUUUUAAAAUAUCCUUACAAUAGAUUCAGUCCAGCAUGGGACACCAUAUCAGGGGUGAGAAAUCUCUGAGCUUUUUAUUAGCUUUGAUAAAUCCAGAAUUUGUUUUUUGUUCCCUAGUUUAGUAAUACUCAACUAAUAUAUAAUUGAGGUUUUUCUUUGUUUUAUUAUAAAGCAAUUUUGUGUAAUUACUGAUAAUACAUUUUUGUUUCCUUGUUGACUUAAUGAGCUAAACCAGUACAGCAAACUUUAUUGACUUAAUGCCUUUGUAGAUUACUUGGUUUGAUUAGUAAAUUUUUAAGACUUCAUUUGGAUGACAGUGGAUUUAAAUCAUUUUAUAAUGUCUUAAGCAUAUGCUUUUAAAGUAUAGAUGAAGAUAAAUGACACAUUAGAUUAUGCAUGAGCAAUGUCAUGAAGCCUUCUAGUUGGGUGUUGCACUCCUUUGAUAAUUUGUCCCAGGACCACUUUGCUCCCAACUCUGAGUCUUCAAAUUGUGAUCACUGGUUGUUUCGUACAUAUUUCAUCUAACUGUGAAUUUUUUUGCUUUCUAUUUUUUUGGACCAUCUGUAUAUUUGAAAUCAUGUGCAAUGCAUGGUAAAUUUCUUUUGAUGCAAUAUAAUAUUUUCUAUAGAUGUUUUAGGUUUUCCCUCUUCCCAACAUAUUUCAGGACCAUCACUUCCCCGGGCUCAUACUUGAAUCUGUUGCCAAUUCCUUUCUCGCUUUAUGUUUCCAUAUUUGAAGUAUAUUGUUAGGCUUGUCUAUGUAUUGAACUGUUGAUCAUUUCAUGAUAGAAAUCAGCAAGCUGACAUUCCAUGCCAACACCUGGCAGAUUGACAUAAAAGAUAUCAUGUGCAAAAAUAACUUCUAUCUUAAAGGUAUCCAUCCUAUAGAAAACUGGAAUUUAGUUGGUCCAACUGAUUAAUAAUCGAUGCAUGCAUUCAUGCAUGUCUACAUUGACCCAUUUACAAGAUACAGACGUCCAACCAUGCAGGUUUUUUUAAUUUCCCAACUCUAUUUCUUUUGGGAACCUGGACAAACGUGGCACCCUUGUCACAUGUCUGAUUACGGUGGCUUCUCUAGCAAUUACAAGUAACUGCAUAUGGAGAGAUCAGUCCCGUCAACAAUGAACCCUCACUGAUGAUCAAGUUUUCUUUUAUUUAGAAGGUUAUUUGUUUAAUUUUAUCUUGUUUAGAAGGAGGCCUCAGAUUCAAAUAUCAUUACUGGAUUGCUGGACUAAUGUUAACUUCUUCAUAAAUUACUGAUAAGCCAUUUUGCAGUAUAGGUUUAAAGUUGUUGGGCCAAGCCACUUUAAAUGAAAUAAAGGAAUGGUAAGCUUACACGGCUAAGAAGGAAGAGACAGCAGAUUGGUGGUCAAACAAUAUUGACUGAUGCAAAAGCUUUGUACACCCUGCUUUUUUUCUUCAUUAAUUCUUUAUUCUCGGGCAUUCAAUUAACUCUUACCAGAAUAGGUUGAAUGACAAGUUCUCUGAUCUAAUAGACCAAUCGGUCAAUAUCUUAUAACCAGCUAGUUUUUUGAGUCAAGGGGAAUGGUUCUCUCAGCUUUAUUCAAAGAGAGUAGGAAUUGACAUGCUAAUAAAUUUUGUGAUGAAGAGGUGCUUCAUUUCUUUUUUGUUAUACUAUGCAUGAAUUUUGCUGCACCAUCCUUCCCUAUGAGAAGCAAUAUUGAACAGAUACAUGAGUAUGAUCUCAUGAUACUUGACUUUAUGUUCUUAAUUCUUCUUGUGCUCUCCUAUGAUAUGUCUUUAUCAAAAGGUAAAUUAUUCACUUUUUUGGAUAGACAGAUAACAAACUGUAAUUACUUUGCCAAACUGCUUCCUUCAUUCACCUCCACCCCACGCUGUCUCUCCCACUGUAAUUAGUUUGCCAUUUNNNNNNNNNNNNNNNNNNNNNNNNNNUUCUUUAUCAAAGGUGAAUUAUUCACUUUUUUGGAUAAAACUGAUAAUAAACUGUAAUUACUUUGCCAAACUGUAAUUACUUCUGCGCAUCCAGCCCAUGCUGUCUCUGCCACUCUCCUUGUGCUGUCUCUUACAUUUGUUUUAUCUGAGCUGCAACUUUUGAAGAAAAUUUUCUUGUGUUAAACGUUCUAAGACACUAGUAAAUUCGUUUUCAUUUAACAUUCUAAAAGUUUGCAGGUACGCCAUGUGUUUUUGCUUCUUUGUCAAUUUGUUAAUUAUAUCGAGGUGAUCCAGUUGCCUGUAUAUUAUCCUUCUGAGCAAGAAAAGGAGGACCCUAAACUUUAUGCUAGUAAUGUUCGGAAGUUAAUGGCUACUGAGGUAUGCAUGCAUUUGAUUCUUUCCUUUUUCCUUUUUCACUACAAAUGUGGAUUUCUGCUGUUAUCAAGUAUGUAUAUAGGUCAUAAUUAAGCUCCGGUCUUCCCCAAAUGACAUUUCAAACAUAGGGCUGCAUUUGGGCUGGGUUAGGUUUGGAAUUAGUCUCUAACAACGCAUACCUGAAAAAUUACUAAUGGGAAUACUUGGGGUCAGGACUUGAAUGCACUUCUUACACCAAUUGGGUACUUUAGCAUGCAUAGAUCUUGCCACAAGCAUUGAGUCUAGAUAUGGAGGCCAGGUCACCUAGCAUGAUUCUGUUAACUGUGCUAGCAGUAAUAUUGAUUGUUAGCAGGGAGUAGUGCUAGCGCUGUUGAGUCAUUGUUGAUUGGUAAUGAGGGAGCAAUGUCCAGACAGCAGAAAAAAAAAGAAUGGCAGAGAGUUCAAAAACUGAGAAAGUGAGGAAAUAAACAUUCGGAGUAAUAGGGUAUUUGGAUAUUUAGGUGUGGUGAAGUGGCUCCAAGCCUUAUUCUUGUUCAUAUAUUAGAUUAAGAAUGGAUUGCUUUUCAGAAACUUGAAUGAGGUUUCCAAAUAUCAUGGUUGUACAUGGGCGCACAGAGUGUUAAUCUAGCCUUGGUCAGGUCUACUAAAUUUCAAGUUUGCUACGGACCAGUUAUGAGUCAACCUAUCCAUUUUACUUCUGUAUAUUGCCAAGGAGAUAUUAUCCUUAGAAUGCUCAUACAAUACCAAAACAUGGUAUUAUUAGUUUGAAUCUUCUAUAUAGAUUAUUUCUCCACAAAUGUGUAACAGUAAUUACACAAUAUCUAAUUUCAAGAUCUUAUAUUUCAAAAGUUUAUCAAGUUGCACUUAAUGUUGUUUACCUAUUGCAAAAAAAAUCUCAUUUCAGAGGAUUGGUGAUUCACCUGCAGAUAUUCAAUGGAUUGAUGGAUGGGAAUAUAGUACUUUAUUCCCAAACCUCGUAAAAGGAAAAACCAUGCCCAAUCUAAAAUUAUAUAAAAACCUGAAAACAUGGAUUAAAGGGGACAAAAUAUAAAAAGUAAUCAAUGAAAUGAUAAGAUAUGGCAAAAGAGAUUGAUGACCUCUAGAUGAAGAGCAACUAAUGAUUUCAUGAAAAGAUUCAAUAAACAAGCCAAAAAUCAUCGGUAGACAUUCAUGAUUAAAAGUUCGAAGCACUUCUUAUCAUGGUCUGCCGUACCGGUCCGUACCGGCUGGUACGGGCCGGUACGUACCUGGGACCGGUACCGGAUCAGCGUAAAAUCCGGUACCGGUAAUUUAUUGUUGAAGGACCGGUACGCCACCGGUUCGGACCGGUACGGGACCGGUUCGGACCGGUACGCCACCGGUUUCGUACCGGUCCGGGCCGCCACCGGUACGCCGACCGGUACCGGUACGGCGGACCUUGCUUCUUAUACUCUUACAAACUUCAACUGAACUUGAGCUAUAAUCCAAUUCUUCCUUCUCUAAAGGGGAAAAAGGGAACUUAUUAUUGCAAGAUCAUAUUUUUUUCCCUUAUAGUGCUUGACAAUAUCCUUGGAAACUCUAUGAGGGAAAAUACUAGAUGAAGAAUCCAAAAGGUACUAUAAGCAGUGGCAAUUGGUCACGUUGCGUCAGGUCAACCUCGGUCAUCAAGACCAACAAUCCAACACAGCCAUUGUUUAAUCUUGCCUGACCAGAACCUGAACCUGACCUUAGUAAGGAUUAGCAAGAAACGAGGGAAGAUGGGAGAAUGGAGGGGAGAAGGCAGGCGAGUGAUGGUAGGCUUAGCGGGACUACAAGCACUGGCUACAACAGGAGACAGAUGACUAUGAUGUGGUGUUCCAUGAUGAGGCAAUGAUGAUAGCAAGCAUCAUCAAGGGCCAAUGGGCAAAGAGCAACUGAGAAGUGGACUGGGGAGGAGUAGGAGAAUAAAAGGAGAGGAGGUUAACGGUGACAAUGAGAGGCAAAAGAAAGGAGAGAGAGAGAGAAGGGAGAGUAGGGGAGCAGAUGGAUUGGGGGAGGCUGAGAAAGAAGGUAAGGGAGAGGGGGAAAUAAGGGUAAGGAUUAGUAUUUUUCUAAGAUUAAUAUUAUUAAUUGUAUAAUCAUAUUUGCAUCACUACCAAAUAAGUUGGAUUGAUAUAGGAAACAGAAAAGAAUAGAACAAACGUACAAAAAUAAUUGCCUAUGUCGAGAUAGACAAACUUGACAGGUAGAACAAUUGGAUCACAUUUAGGUUGAAUCCAAUUAGGCGGAUGGAUGUGGGUCAAAGUUCUUGGUCCUAGUUCUUUCCCUGGAAAAUUUGUUGAAAAGAUGAGUCAAAAAGGUGUUAUUCUAUCAUUUCCUGUUAGCUGUACUUACCGUCUAAACCGUGUUCUUUUAGGUUUUCAGAGGAGUGAAGGUUUUCUUUUAUUAUAUAAGAAAUUUGCAUCUUCCAAUGCAUUAUCCUGAUGAGCAAAAGGACUCGGUAAAUAUUCCCAAAUGAUAAUAAAGAAAAGGUAUCCUGAGUCCUUGUAUUUAAAAGAUCAACAUGAUUGUUUAUCACUAAUAUCUUCUCAUCCUUGAGAUUUCUACCCUUGAUCAAAAUUUGACUAUUAGGCCCAAUCAAGAACAAUCUUCAUUUUCCAUAGGCUAGUUAGUAAAGAUUGUGCUAGAUAAACAGUGCAAAGUAAUGCCUAUGGAUUUGUAAAAGCCCAGAGGCUACAUAUAUAGUAUCUGUAUAAUAAUAGAGUUUAAUACUAUUGGCAUCAUAUUAAAUUAGGGCCUGUUUGGAAAAUUCAAUAGGAUUGGGCUGGAUUUCCUACAGAAAUCAAGCCUGUUAGCCUGCCUAGCCCAUAUCCUUCUAAACGCCCAUCCUAAUCUCUGCCUAAAUCCUAUUUGUGGGCUUGUUAGCCUUCAGGAAGAAGAAAAAGGUCCCCAUGGGUCCUUUUUCCCCCUCCCACAUGAUUUGGGCUGGGGUGGUAUUGGAUUAAUAUUGGCCUACUCAAAUAGAUUGCCCACUUUAUGAAUCCGAUGGGAAAUUCAGCCCAAUCCUGCUGGAUUUUCCAAAUAGACCCUUGGUAAUUGAUUUGUCUUUGCUCAGGAAAAAGUAAUUGGUUUGUUAUUCAUAUUGUUGAUUAAUAUUUUUUUUUUUGAUUUUAGUGGUAUAAAUGUUAUAGUUUAAUAAGUUUUUGUUUCUGAUUUCUUUUUCUAAUAGUAAACUUUACCUAGUUGUAUAUAUCUGAUGAUUACACACAAGACUUUCUUUUUUUGUCUUUGAGAAAUUUGGUAUGAGUGCCUCCAUACCAAGUCAAACCACAGACCUCUCCAAAGAGGAGAGGGGUGCCGACCUCUUACAAUAGGGAGUUCACAAAGGAUUUAAUCCUUGUUGAUGGAUAUAUCGAAGUGUGCAUUUGCUAAUCUUUCAUGUUUCUGAUAUCUAGUUUGUUGGUCAAUUUCCUGCAGGGCAAUUUAAUACUCUCAGAUAUUGGGUUAGCUGAGAAGCGAGUCUACCAUGCUGCGCUGAAUGGUAAUAGUCUACCUCGUGUUUUACAUCAGAAAGAUGAUUGAAAAACUAUUGACCUGGCUCGCAGGAUUCGUAUAAUCAGUCGAGUUGCUUGUUUCUAUGCAUUACAACUAUAGCCAGAAGUGCUAGUUUUCCUCGUUUUGUUUUGAGAGAGAUGGGUACUAUGCAUGUCAUUAUGCUGUAACAGCCCAUAUUUGUGGUUUUGACUGCAAAUCGUUUGUCUAAAGGAUGGCAUAUACAUGAACCAUAUCCAAUGGUUUAAGAUUCAGUCUUAUACAGCUUUGGAAACUAAUAAAUUAAUGAAUCACUUUGAUGUCUAAUAUCUGCGAACCAUCUUCUUGUGCUCCAUCAUUUUCUUGGGUCAGCAUCACCAGAACUAAAUCCUCUGUUUGGUCUUCCUGCAGGUUUGUUAUGUCAAAGCUAAUUCGGAUUUGCGCCUGUAUAUUCUUCAUAGAUGUUUCUGUAGUUUAAAAAACCCAGAAAAGAAUAGAACAGAAAGCAGCUUGUUGGGAUGAGUAUUUCUUUCUCAGAUCCUCUUAAGCUCUACAAUAUGCUCAGGGAAUUUCCAAGGGCAACUGUUCGCUUGAUAUAUAUCAUUCACUGGCUCUCAUCAAUAAGGAAAUAUCUGUUGUCUUCUGAAAUUUCUUUUUGAUGUUUGUCAGUAAAUUUCAGAAAAUCCUCAGAUAAGUGUGCUAGCCAGAGAAGAAAAUAGAAUGCGACAAAACUUAAAAAAAGAUUCUUUUGGCAUCUUGCUCGGUGACCCAUCGACCAACUCAUUAAUGUCACAAAGAUAUGUCAUGAUGUUUGCAUCAAUAAUUAUUAACUCUUUUCACAUUCAAUAAAAUGAGCUCGUGUUUUAUCAUCAAUGUUUUGCCCAGCACCUGUCGAAGUGAAGCUGACGUUGAUGGUUAGGAUUCCCAUGUCGAGCCUUGUCCUGGCAAUCUAUUUAUUGAGCGCUAUACUGGACCAACUUAGGUUGUGAUAUCAGACCGUAUUGCGUCUCUUCCAAGGGAUGGAAAGUACCCAGGCUUAAGAUCUAUGGUACAAGUCAACAGGGGUUUGAAUUAACUACGCCUGGGUAAAAUUAUAUACGGCCGCUAGGUGGCACCCGAGCAUGUAGUAUCCCGUAUCCGCAUGUAGGCCUCACGUAGUACCAUAUGUAGAACCGUUAACAAGUCGAGUUGCUCGAAUUUAGCUUGGGCUCGAUACAGUAAAAGCUCGGCUCGUUGUUCAAAUCUAAAAUGAAGUUUAUUUAAAUUCAAGCUCGAGUCUGAACAGCUCACAAGAUCAAACGGAUCUCGUGAUUUAACACUGCCCACCGAUUACUAAAUAAGGGGAGGCUUGGAGAUCCGACAAUUGAGAUCGCGCCAUCGAUGAAACUGUGGGCGGUUAGAUCUGGAUCUCACUUGGAAAUCCUGCAUCCAACCCAAGGGCUAAGGCCCUCUCCUACCCCUCCUCUCCAACCAUCUUCCUCUUCCAACUUGCUGCCCACCUUCGAAUAUCUUUCUUCCCCACCUCUUUCUCCAUCUGUCCUAGCUUUUGCUCUCCCCUCCCUUUUUGGUGCUGCCAUUGUCUCUUCCAAAACCACCUCCAUUAUUGAGCUGCCUUUUCCCCGCAGAACUCGUCGCUCAUCCACAGCCCUAGCUGAGAUAAUCUCUUCUUCUUCUUCCCAAGAGUGAACUUUUCCCUCUCCCCUGUGAUCUUUGGAGCUUUGUUGGCUGUUGGAAAGUAGAAGGAAAAUCAGAGAACAGAUAUCAGAAUUGUGGGUAUGUUUGUGUUUCUUCUUCAUUUUUGACUUCGGAAUGAAUCAAUAAUUUGUGUUUGGUGAAUUUUGUCAAUAAUUUGGUCAAUAAUUUAAAGCUCAUUUCAAUUAUGAGCUCGAGCCUAAUAUAGAAUCGGUACCGAGCCCGAGCUCGAGAUUCUGCAAAAUAAGCCGAGGCUCGGGUUCGGCUCGGCUCGUUAACAGGCCUAUCCUUUUGCUUUUAAAUAUAGAGCAGGUGAUCUGCCAUUAGUAAAAACUGGUUUCGAGAAAUGACAUCCUUUGACCAGGGUUUAAAAAACUUAAAGCACCAAAGAUUUCACAUGAAUUUUAACUAAUAAAUAUUAGGUCAUGACAACUCACGUAUAUGUUCGAUUAUUUUAUGGAACGCCUAUUGCUUCUGCCGAAAGCUCGCCCAGAUUAUUUGAUUGGAGCCAAUCUAGUGGAAGGUUGAAAAUAAUGAUAAUUGUAACUAUGGUUUGCUUUACUAGUUCGAACUAGAUAAUAUGAGGCGUAUCGGUCCAGUAUUGAUAUCUGAUAUGGAUAGCAAACCGAUUACGUUGAACAAAUUUUAUACCGUACCAAAGAUCUUAUACUUAGUACUAGUAUAGCACCGAUAUGAGGUUCAGUACCAAGACGGCAAAUUUUAAUUGUAACAUCAUAAUAGCCUUAAACAUGGUUUUGAAGGCCUUUAUUUAUCUUUCAUUAUAUUAUACUAGAUCUAGAGAUAUCUGGCUACAAUAGAACAAUUGUUUGUUUUUAAAUUUUGAAUAUGAUAUUUUAGAGAAAUGUUUGUUGGACUCGAGGAGAAGGUGCAGAGUUCUAGGCCAUGUAUCGGAUUUUGUUGCUCAUGAUUUUUCCUUUUUCAAAAAUCAUGACACAUUAAAAAAGAAAGGAGGAGGCUAUACAAGACCUUUUCCCUAUUCUUUUUUCCUGGGAGCAGAGGCCGAAAUGAGGUUAAAGGGAGGCUUUGCUAUCAUAUAUUAGCAUAUGAGUAGAUAAAUAAUAUUCAUUAUUUAGUUGUUAUUUCUUUGUAAUUACUGAUACGUGAUUUUUUUUUUUUUGAUAAAGCAGGUGGGCCAUAUCAUCCUGGUAAAAAUACAACUCGAAGAAUCUGAAUAUAACUUAGCAAAAAAAAGAAUCUGAAUAUAAAAUGUCCCGAAGCUGAUCUGGGGCUGAAGCCAAAUUCUCCCAGAUGGUGUCCACUAUUGUGUGAUUCUUUCACUGUUCAAUCAAAUGAAAUAACAUUUGAUUCAAACAUCCACACCAGCUAAAAAGUUUUGUUUUUUUAUUUGAUUAAUGACAAACAGUUAUUUUUCAUUAUUUUAUAUCAUAAAAGCAUAUAAAAGAAAUUGUAACAGCUAUUAUCUUACUCCAAAGAAUCCUGGGAAAGGGCUCAAAUUGGCAAACAAAUGACAUUGUUUUUGUCAUAAUGGUAAGUAAAACCCAACACACUCACACUCCUGCUUGACGUUCCAAUUUGUUUCUUUUUUGAAUAUUGACUGAAAUCCUUCUGGUCAGGCUAUCGGCAAGCCCUCCCAUCUCCUUCCUUUUGAACUGCACAUUUGAAGUGCACAUCAGCUGGCUCUGACCGAUUCAAGGAAAAGCAGAAGCCAAAAAACAGAUAUUCCCCUCAUGGAUUACCUUGCAACUUGCUCAGAUGUCACGAAUAUUCCAUUAACUAUUGCUUAACUCUAAGAUUUGUAGGAACCAGGCAUCAUUAAUAACUAAUAAACAUUUUUCCAGGAAGCAUGAUGUCAUACGGAACUCCACUGGCGGAUCAAACUUUCAUAGACUGUAGUGGAGCAAAAACACAACCAUCCGGUUUGAUUAUUGCAUCCCAUGCCAUGCAUCCACAUCCAACAACUCCAGUGUGCCAAAUCACAAGCUCUUACCUAGCUGAGACAAAGCAGCUUGAUCCAGAUUAAAAUUAACUUUGAUUACUAAUACAAUGGACAUGUUCACAGAUUUACCACCGUAGUGGUAAAUAAUCCAAUACAAUGUAGUGCAGAAGACAAUAAGCCCAGCAAGCUUAGCUUGCAAUGAAGCAACCUGUACUUGAGGCGAAAAUUGCAACUGAUGUCAUAUCAGUAAAUGAAUUCCUCAAUAACUGCUUUAAUGUAUAUUCAACGGUUGUCAUCAUCAUUAAUCUGUUGCAGUAUCUGUUUCAGUUUUCCAAAAAAGAACAAUGUCACCGCUCAAACCUUGCACACCUUUCUCCACAUGAUGGUAUUACUUCAAUGAAGAAAGCUUUUCGUCGAUUGGAUAGCAUGUGGAUUGCUUUCACUGUACCCAAAUCAUAUUUUACUUCAGCUAUGCAAGUGUAGUGAUCCAAUCAUACUGUAAAAACUGGAAGAUAUAAUGCCUUCCCAUAAAUGAAUGGGUAGCAGGUCAAGAACAGUGAAAAACAAAUUGGUGGAUUGAUUUAUUGGAAUACUCCCUUUCAAAUGAUCCAAACCGGGUAUAAUCUAUAGUUAGAGUGUAUGUGGAUGUUGUUCAGGAGGGAAUAACGUAAUCAGGAAUCUAUGGAUCAUCUCAAAACUGGUGAAUGUAAUUACAGCUGCUGGAGUGGUUCGAAGCAGGUUUGUGGCACAACCACGAUAAAAACCAGGAAUACCCUCUUCUUGAAGUACUUUCUUUAUGCAGUCAAUUACGCCCAUAUAUCGCAUUUCCGAAUGAAAUCCCUGUUCUUGAAGUCUUGAACGUACCACCUAGCAUUAAUGGAUGAACCAAAAAUGUUCAAUUAAGAUGGUGCACAGAAAUGCACAAAAGGAUAAUAAUUACUAUCACCUUUAAAUUAUGACAGCAGUCAUUUCGUGCAUAUGAUAUGCCUAAAAAUUGAUCAACUAAGGAAUACUGAACGUUUGAUGUAAGUACCUCAUGUGGAUAUGUCAAGGUCGAUGCAGCUAUCUUAGAGACAGAUGAAGCAACAGCAACAUCUCCAGCACUGAGUGAAUUGAUGGUAGUAUUAUCUGAUACAACCGCAUUUAUCAAGGCAUGCAACAGAUUGUAAAGUAUGCAAAUUAAGAGACAAAGCAGUUUCUUUUCUUUAGCAGAAAAAAGCAAUAAAAGGAUUCGUUUUUCCAUUUAUAAGUAAUGAUGAAGUAGUACCUCGCUUGGCCAGGUAGGUUUUUAUCUUUUCGUAUGUAGGAAACUGGAUAGCAACAUGACUGAUUCCCGCCAAUGCAGGCACAAGACCACUGUUCACCACAUUAGAUAAGUAUACAGUCAAAAAGACAUUGACAAUUCAAUUAAAAAUGUAUUAUAAUGCCUCGGAAAAUCAAAACCUGUACAGGCCCCUUAUGCCUUCUUCAUGGGCUAUUCUCCUCAAAGCAUUAAGUGUACCCUGGUAUGGCACCACCCCACCUCUCAUUCCUUGAGUCUGUGGGAAAGGCAGCAAAUAAUUUAUAGAAAAUCAACUACUCUAAAGCCAGGUAAUCUUAAUGUGGAUCUUACAAAAAAGAACAAUCCAGCUUAGGAUCAUUAAUACAAGAAAAUAGUACUGAUAGAUGUUGCAGAUUAAUGCUUUGCUUCUCAAAAUCCUCAUGGUUUAGCCUGGGUUGACUAUACCUCAGUCCUCAUUCAGCCUGUAUAGAGUGAUAUAUAGCCGCUGUUGGAAAUUGCUCACUAGCAGUAUACUUCCAGCCCAGUGAAAGCACGGCAACUACUAUAACAUUGUGACAUGGUACCAAAUUUUGGCUUCAUGCAGAGGUCAAUACCAAAAUGAAGCCUUUUUGACCCCAAGAUGGCUGGUAACACAUGAUUUUAGAAAACCAUGCAACUAUGCCACAUUAUAAAUCUUGUAAUGUUUUCUGGAAAAAUCUUAUAAAUAGUUAGUUUAAACUUCCCUCAAAGGAAAUCACUGGUAUUAACAGUUUCUGUAUUAAAAGAUGAAAAAAAUAAAAAAAAAUGGCAUGGUACAUUUUAAACUAUCACUUGUAUAUGGUUCUUAAAACAAGAAUGAAUCAUAUUUCAACUUCCAAGUGCUAA
This 90231-nucleotide long non-coding RNA is filed under the name Phoenix dactylifera (date palm). Its description in RNAcentral is "long non-coding RNA (PDAC_LNC005080)". The record is from RNAcentral. Lineage: Eukaryota; Viridiplantae; Streptophyta; Magnoliopsida; Arecales; Arecaceae.